This 151749-nucleotide long non-coding RNA is filed under the name Malus domestica (apple). Its description in RNAcentral is "long non-coding RNA (MDOM_LNC003322)". Lineage: Eukaryota; Viridiplantae; Streptophyta; Magnoliopsida; Rosales; Rosaceae. The record is from RNAcentral.
UUUUUUUGUUUUUUUUUUCUUCCAAUUUCAGGUUUUUUAAAAAAAAAUUAAAAAAUUAUUUUUAUUUGCCACGUGGCAGACAUUUGGCAGCCACGUGUCAUAUAUGUGGCAGCCACGUCAGCAUUUAACAGAUCCAUGGAUGGAAAAUCUAACGGUUGUAUGAAAUUGAAAUAAAAUAGUACUUGAGGUAUGAAAGUGAAAUGUUUUAAAGAUGUUGUAUGAGAUUGCAAUAGAGCUCAAACCUGAGGGGCUACUAUGUAAUUUACCCUAAAUGUUAUGACAAUGUGAUUCUAGAAUAGUAUAAGAAGUAUUCAGUAGAACUUAUAUGCUUAUGUGACAUAUUAGUUGGUGGCUAUGAGAAGUUGAUGGUGUAGGUGACUACGUUGUAACUCAUAGGGGUUGAGGUAUAGGUAAGUUGUGUGUUGAAUUUACUACACCAUGUAGCAGUGGUACAUGGAUGGUCCUGCUUGGUAUAUCCGCGAUGGGGGACCAUACGUAUUUUGAGGGUGAUCAUGCUUGGUAUAUCUGCAAUAGGUGAUCAUCACCUACACGAUUAGACUAUGCAUAUGGUUCUGCUUGGUAUAUCCGCAAUGAGGGACUAUACACAUUCUAUGAGUGAUCAUGCUUGGUAUAUCCGCAAUGGGUGAUCACUACGUAGAGCUAUAGGAUGCAGUCCUGCUUGGUAUAUCCGCGAUGGAGGACUGUUAGGGGUGAUCAUGCUUGGUAUAUCCGUAAUGGGUGAUCACUGCCUACAUUAUUAGACUAUGCUUAUGGUUCUGCUUGGUAUAUCCAUGAUGGGGGACCAUACGCAUUCUAAGAAUGAUCAUGCUUGGUAUAUCUACGAUGAGUGAUCACUACCUAGAGUUAGGAUAUGGUCCUGCUUGGUAUAUCCGUAAUGGGGGACCAUAUGUAUUCAGGGGUGUUCAUGCUUGGUAUAUUCGCGAUGGGUGAUCACUGCUUGCACGAUGAGAUUAUGCCCAUGGUUCUGCUUGGUAUAUCCGCGAUGGGGGAACCAUAUGCAUUCUAAGGGUGAUGAGGAUUAAUUGUACUUGGUAUAUUUCGAUAGGCGAUCAUAUUUUGGUUCGAUAUCACUUGAUUAUAUAAUGUGAAUCUAUUGAAAUGUGAUUAGUCAUUGAUCUAUGUUUAUUAGUCGCGAUUUGACUUAUGUAUUGAUGAUAUCUAUGAAAUGUGAUUUGAAGUGCUUGAUGAAUUGUUCGAUGGAAAGUAAUUUGAUGUGCAUAUUUGAAAUGAGAUUUAAUUUGCAUGAUUGGCAUGAUGUGAUGAAAUGUGAGGGCUAGUAGUGGACCGUUAACCCAUUGUCAUGGGGAUUGUUGCUUCGUUGAGCCGUUCUAAUUGGGUAGCUUGUGCUUUGUUCCAUUUCUUGUUUCGUUGAGCUUUUGUAUUUGAGUAUUUGUUUCAUGUCUUGUUUUUCGAGUGUUGCUAUAUUUCUUGGACUUUGGCUAGGUUCCAUUGAGUGAUCCAGAACUAGGUUUCCGCUGGGGUUCUGUUGAGUGGUCCAGUUCCCUGCUCUAUCUGGAUUCCGUUGAGUGGUCUAAAAUCCCUCAUGCUCCGUGAUUCCGUUGAGUGGUCCAGAAUCAUAUCCAGCUUGGAUUUCAUUGAGUGGUUCGAUAUGCAUUGUACUCUGCGAUUCCGUUGAGUGGUCCAGAAUCGUAUCUUGGUUUAGAUUCCGUUGAGUGGUCCGGAAUCCCCUUUGGUGUCUUGGUUCCGUUGAGCGGUCUGAAACCCAAUGUUGAUGGAUUUCGUUAAGUGGUCUGAAAUCUCAUCAUCUGACUUGUUGGUUCCUUGGAUUUAAUUUCAGUUUCAGAGAUGUACAUUUUGACCGAACUGUGUCGCUAUAGCCCUGCAUUUCUGUGUAUGGUAUGUGUUAUUGAUAGAUGUGAUUGUUGUCAUCAUGAUUAGACUCGUUGACCAAUAUGGCUAGAGAUUUAUGUUGCACUUCAUCGAAUGUUCCUCGAGAUGUUGCAUGCCUGUUUUGUGGUAUUCUGUUGAGAGACAUAGUGAUUUAUGUGAUGAUUGUUCGAGUGUAGUGAAGGACGAACUACGAAUGGCUUUAUCCCUGUUUAGAGUGCGUAGGCAGUCUAGCGAGAAUGUUAGAUGCAGCCAUAAAGUAUACGAAAAAUUAAUACGCAAUUCUAAUCUUGAGUUGUGCUUUGUCCAUAUCCCGGAGGCAGGGUAUGUGAGAUAUACGGGUAUUUGGUGACGUCACGUGUCGAUUCCGGAAGUAUGUCGGGAUUGGGGCGUGACAACUCGAGUUAGAAAUUUUCCAAAACUCCAUAAUUUCAUCACUUAUUUGCAUAGAGUAAAUCACAUGUCCUACAUAAAAAAUAAAGUAUCCAAAUCUCACAAAAUAAUCACCAAAACACAGUAAGAAUAGGGUAAAAUAUAUAAUAUAAAAUCGACUUAUCAAUGUUCAAGCUUUUACUCAAGAAAUAUUAAUAAUAUGAUAUUUACCACAGUGGUGGAAAUGUGCUGAGCCCUUACAUGACGUCGUGAGUUCGCGGUGGCUAAUCUAACAAAAUCUAUCGUUUAAUAAAAAUAAAAAAUGAUUUUUACUAAGUUCAGCUCAUUUGUGGUGAGCUCAAGCUUUUGACUUGGCUCGGUUCCUUUCAUAGGGUUUAGGGUUCAACAUUUCACAAUGCAUUAUUUCGAGAUAGUAAAAUACCUUUUAGUCUUCAAAUGUGUAUCAAAUCCCUAAUUUUGUUCUAAUUUGGAGUUUUUCAUUCUAAUUGAUUUACUUGCUCUAUGGUUGUGUUUCAUUUUCUUGCUUGUGCAUAUUAUUUAUUGGAUUUUAACAUGGUUUUGAUUUAUCAAUGUUGGUUGUUUUUUAUAAAGAAAGGUGAUUUCCAUAGAUGGUACAACAUUAUGACUUAACAUAUAAGUGUUUCGUUUAGUAUAUUGCGUUGUCCAUUUGAGUUGAAGUUUAAACUGAAUUGAAGCUGGGCAUUAAUUUUGAUCUAAUUUUUAGUUAUGUCCUCUGACAUUUGAUUUUGAUCUAAUUUUGCCCCCUGAAACUCAAAUUUCGUCACUUAACCUACUGAAACUCGAUUUUUGUUCAAUUUUGCCUAAAUUAUGUGUACUCCCUUAAGUAUGCAUCAAAUUGAUGACGUGGUAGAAAGAAAAGGAUAUUUUGGUAAAAUAAACAUUUAUUUACUUGUUAUUUAAAAAAAAAAAAAAAAAAAGAAGGUAAAAGUAAAAGGCCAAAAUCUCAUCCCCGUGCCUUCUCUCUGCUUCCCCAUCUCCCAUCACCACCUCGCACGUCAAAAUUUUCUAGGGUUCUUUUUGUCGAGGAUUUUUCUUGUAUCUAAAGGCAAACUGGAGUAAAAAUCAAGUUUUAAGAGGUUAAGUGACGAAAUUUGAAUUUCAGAUGGCAAAAUAAGUGAAGUCAAAGUCGAAUUAUAGGGCAUAGCUAAUAAUAAGCCUAAUUAUAACAACAUCUGCUUUCAAGUAUAAAUUGUAGCCACAAUCUUCGAUAUUUUAUUCAGGGUCACAACAUAUUCGAAUCAAAAGCUAGCUUCGAACUUCAAUAUCUAUUACUUAAUCAUUAAACAAUUGUUAUGGACAGAUUCUCCGAUGCCUUUCUAAAACCAUGCACUUGAUCAGCUACACUGCGAAAAAAUUCUGGGCCACGGUUGCUUUCUUCACUUGAGGUGAUCACAGUAAGUUUCUCCAGCACACGAGCAUGGUUGACAAGAUAGAACAUCACAUAGACUUCAUUUGGCGUCCCCUUGAAGCCCUUGAUCUCAACUUUCCUCAAAGUUUGAGUUAUGCACUUGAAAAUUAUUGCACUCCGAGUCCACAAACACUCGAACUUAUCCCCCAAUGGAGGUUCAUAUUCCUGAAGGGAUUGAUGCAACAAACAUAAGAAUUGCACAGUAUUAAUUAGUGUUAUGCAGUUAAUUAAAAGGACUAGUUACUAAUUAAUCAAUGAGUACUCACAUCACAUAUUCCGCGUGAGCGGUCUAUGUCGAUUGUAAGAGUCUCCAAACGAGGACAACUAUUAAAGAAAAACCGGAUGCCAUAUUGUUCAUAAUUAUGCAUGGCAGUCCUUAAGGUCAAAUGUGUAACAUUCAACCUAGGUACCAUACCAAGUGGUUCCUCUCCCAUAGGAAUAACCUGCAAAAUCGACAAAUUAACCAUGAAACCAACCUUUAGUUAAUUAGGAGAGAAACAUACUCAAUUAGUUAGGGAAGAAUUUCAGGGGUUGAAAAAAUGAUUUUAUACUUAUAACUCAUAAUCUUAUUGCGGGACACUCUUUUCUCCUUUGCAAAUCCCGCCAAAAAAAAAAUUCGAAGCCCACAUAAAUGCAAAGAUAAUUUGUUUAAUGUGACAGGUAGAUAAUGAACACUAUAUAGUUUUUUCCUAUUUAAGGUUUAGGGUUAUAUCACCCACAUAUUAUACAGAUGUGAAAUUAAAAAGUUGAAGAGGGGAAUUAAGUACCUGAAGCAUGUAGGUGCAAACGGUCAAAGCCGUAGUAGGGCAAAUUUGAUUGAGUGAUUGAUAGAGAGAAUCUCCCAGUGACUCAUCACAUUCAGACUCAAGCCCAAAAUCAAGGUCUGCCUCCUCCAAUCCAGUUCCGUUCACAAAAAAUACACCAACAGUGCCAGAAUACUUCAAAUAUUUGAGAUUUGGAGCCUCGAUUUCAAAGUACGGAUUCAGAAAAUGGCAUUUUUCAACAACCAAAGUUGACAACUUCAAGUCCUUCCCACAAACAUCAAGGCCGUCCAUGUUCCAGCAACUCUUCACGCUCAAACUCUCGAGACACCCACAGUUGGCCAGCAAAGCCUUGAGAGUAGAAACUUUGAGUUCGAUCCAACGCAGCGAAAUACUUUUCAGCAACCCAAAAUUCUUGAAUCUUAAAACGUCGAAUUUGCAAGAAAAGAGCGUCAUGGAUUCAAGAACUUGAUGGUUGUAAAAAGACAGAGGCAAAUCAAACAUUGGAUGUGCCGGGCCAUCGAGGUCGUUUUCAUCCCAUGUGGGGUCGGAGAAAUCAAGCUUCAGGUGUUUUACGUUGCGCUCGAAAGAAAAUGUGAUGCAUUUUUCCACCAAUUCUUGGGAGUCUCCAGGCGAAGAAAAUGUGAGGGAAAGUUUGUCCAUGAUGGGACUUUUGUUGUUUGCAAUAAAUUGUUGGACGAAAUCGGUGAAGAUUUGUGGUUGGAGUUUGACAUCUCCGUUAGAAUCACGAUUGGCGAAGUAAAGGUGGUUGAAGUCGAGGUUUCGGGUUGAUUUCCAUUGGUUGCGCCAUUGCUUCGACAAGGAGGAGGUUUUUGCCGCUUCUUUGAAGGGCAAGGAGGAGAGUAUGUGCGAGAGGAGGGGAUGAGGGAGGUUUGAGAGGCGGUCCAUGGUUGUGUUUUUGUUUAUUAGGGUGGCGGGAUUGAACUGAAAGAAGUUGAAGGGACCGGGAUGACUUAAUAGGAGAUGAUAUGAUUGUUUGAGGCACCGUUUCGGGGUUUGGCGAAAAGUUGUGUGCCUCUUUGAUGUUGAGAGACGACCGGGAGAUGGGGUGUAAUAGAGAGACACUACGUUUUAUGGAGUUGGGUUCAAAAGGGUAUUUGUUGUGUGGGUGAAUUGUAUGUUGAACAAGAACAAGGUAAUAUGGAUCAAAAAUAGGAAAAGUGAAACGAUAAAAGAAACUAAUCCGAGUUUAUAUGACAAGUUUUUUUUUGUUUAUUUAUUCCCAGUUACGAUUGUUAUAAAAAUAAUGCUGUGUAGUUACUUGAAUCUGAAAAGUUAACGAAUUUAACAGUCUUUCACGCUAAAAUAAUAAGCUAAGUACGUGAAACUCAUCACACAUAAGUCUUUCUCAAGUAUGCUUAUUUUUUUAUUAGACUAAACUGUCUUGCGCCAAAAUAAUAAGAUAAACACGUGAAAUUUAUCAUGCAUAAGCCUAUAUAUCACAUGCUUGCAUCAAUGAAAUAGGGUUUGUGAUUUUUUAUUAAUUUUAAUUCUAGCAAUAAUAGGAGAGGGAUAUUCAAAUUUGGGACAUCUGUUGCAAGAGAAUGUUUUUAUCCAAUUGUGCUACAAAGUUCUUAUGAUUGUGCAUUUUAGCAGCCUUGUAGCCUUACUUUCCUCCCACAAUGCAAGUGAAAAGAACAAGACCCAUAGUUUGGUCGUGGAAUUACCUAAAUAGAGUACUUCUUUCCCGCUCAGAGCAAUUAGAAAGAACCAACCUCUCUAAUAAACUAUUCCCCUCCCUUGAAACUAUAAAGUAGUUAAUCUAAAUAUUACAAUUCUUCAACAAAACAUCUAAAAUUAAUCAUGAGGUUCUUCAUAACCAAAUGUAAAUAUCAUCUGAAUAAAGUGCAAGGCAAGCCAGACGAUGAGCCACUUUAUUGGCAACAUUUUUUAGUGUAGCAAGAAGGCAAUUUCCUUGUAGUGGUAAAAUGAACCUCAAUGAUCUAAGCUAACAUCAACUUGGCAUCCACUAAUGCUGGCUCAGUCAUAAAUUGGUCCAAUUAGAUUAUGAAGAGCUGAAAUGAUUUGAAGUAAAUCGCUUUCAAAAAGAAGAUUAUUUAUUUAUUUUUAAUAUAAGUACGAUAUUCAUUGAAGAUUGAGAACACGUACAAACUGAGGAUAGGAUGCUUACAUUAGGCCUUAACAAAAACCUUGUCAGGGCUUUCAACCCGAUCGAAGGAAAAAAGUGUGUUUUGCACCAAAUUAACUACUAGAACUAUCCUUUAAUAAUAAAUCAUAAAUUACAUCAGGAGGUUUUUCAAACUAAGAAACUGGGUGAUCAACAGUUAGACUAAACCUUGCAAGGCGAUGAGCCACCUUAUUCGUCUCUCUUCGACCACAUGUGAUUUUCCAUUGCUUGAAAUCUUCCAGGAGCCGCCUUUCAUCGAACAUAUGUCUGUAGUGACCACUGUACGCUGCACCUGCAUUUUGAACUAUAGAAACCACCAGUAAUGCAUUCCCUUCCACCUGGACCUACUCCGUGACCCAUCUGCCCAAUUGCGGCAGCUGCCUCUGCAUGUAAUGCUGAUUUGAUAUCAUCCUCCCUGCUCACCUAUGGCACCAGAAAACCUCCCUUCGAGUCCCUCACGACCAACCCAAAACCUCCAAUUGACUUCUUCUCAUCCCAAGCUGCAUCAAAAGUGCAUUUUAUCCAUCCAGAAGCCGAAAGCUGCCAUUUAUAUGUUCUUGUCGAUGAGUUUGGCGGUUCCAUAGCAUUCCAUUUUUUAAAUUCCGCUAGCCACGUUUGUGCUUUGAUUUGGGUAUCCGAAAGAGACACAUCAACACCAUUCCAAAGAAACUCAUUACGUACCUUCCAAAUACUCCAAACAAGGACAAGUAGCAGCUCAAAACUAUCCUUAGACAUAUUUUGCGCCAUAUUCUCCAACCAACUUCGAAAGCCCUCCUCAAUUCGAUGAAACAAACGGAUUCCUAAAGGACUUCCAAACCACACCCCAGCCGCUCUAGGACACAUUAGUAAAACAUGCACACAUUAGUAAAGCAUGCUCCAUUGUCUCAGCAUCUUUAUCACAAAAACCACAAGUAACCUCCGUAAGUACUCGUCGAUUCUUCAAAUUCACUUUGGAAGGCAAAUAUACCCACGCCAUACACAUAUCUUCACUUUCCCCGAAAUUUUAGCUCACCACAAUGCUUUCCAAAAGAACUUAGUGUUGGCAUUAAGCACCUAACGCGUAGGCUCAUCACCACCCAUUCCUUGGCAUGAUCUUGCUACAAAGUACGCACUCUUAGUUGUAAAUAAACCUUUAGGUUCUUUUGCCCAAAUCAUAGAAUCUACUGGGCAAAACAAACUCAAGGGAAUGAUCAAAAUCAAAUCCGCUUCCUCCUUCAAGAACCAAUUGCAAACCAAAUUGGAAUUCGAAUGAAUCCCAUCAUCCUCCACCAUUAAUGAUCUAAUCGUAAGCUCUGGAUGCACCCCCAACAGUCUUGGGCUAAGAACUUUAUAAAAAUGCUCUCGUGGCAGCCAACUAUCCCCCCAAAUAUGAAUUCGUAAACAGUCCCCCACCCUCCAUUUCGCACCUCGGCAAAUAAUUGCCCGAGAUGCCACCACACUACGCCAACAAUACGAGGAAUUAGGCUUAACUAAAGCCUGUAAGAACUCAGUGGUAGGAUGGUAACGAGCUUUGAACAUUCUUGCAACAAGAGAAUUAAGUUGUUGUAGUAAUCUCCACCCUUGCUUUGUAAGCAAAGCAAGAUUGAACGCAUAUAAAUCCUUAAACCCCAAGCCACUUUCACUUUUUGGUUUACACAAUCGUUGCCAUUUUACCCAAUGUAUUCUCCGUCUUCCUGCUUCUUUUCCCCAUCAAAAUUGCGCCACCAUUCAGUUUAGCUCAUUAUGAAAGGAUUUUGGCAACAAGAACGUCUACAUUGUAUACAGUGGCACAACCUGGGCAACCGCUUUUAUCAAAAUCUCUUUCCCCGUACUACUCAACAAGGAUCCACGCCAACCAUUGAACUUUUUCCACAAACGGUCUUUAAUAAAAGUAAAUGUAUCUUUCUUAGACCGACCAAUGAACACCGAUAAGCCAAGAUACCAAUCGUGGUACUCCACCCGCUCCAUCCCUAAACAAUCAGCCAACAAUUGAGCAUCAAUCUCCGUAAGAUUCUAACUAAACGCAACACAACUCUUGGAAAGAUUGACCGCUUAUUCGGAAGCCCAUUCAUAAGUACGUAAUAAUUCCUUUACCUGCAAACACUCUUGCAGAGAACUCCUGGAAAAAAUAAAGCUAUCAUCCGCAAAAAGUAAAUGAUGGACACUUGGUGCCCCAUUACAAACCUGCACCCCCUGAAUCCGGCCUUAGGCUUCCCAUGAAUCAAAUAAGGCUGAUAAUCCCUCCACACAUAAGACAAAUAAGAAUGGUGACAGCGGGUCGCCUUGACGAAUUCCCUGUUUCGAAUAAACAAGUCCCACCAGUUCCUCGUUCAGUUUGAAUGAAUAAGAAACUGUAGACACACACAUCAUUAUCCAGUGUAUCCAUUCCUCCGCAAAAUCCAACCUUUUCAUGAUUUACUCCAAGAAACUCCAUUCAAUACGAUCAUAAGCCUUACUGAUGUCUAACUUCAAUGCCAUCACCCCAUUCCACCCAUUAUUCUUCCUAUGCAUAUAAUGUACAAUUUCCGAGGCAACCAAACAAUUAUCAGAAAUUAGCCUUUCGGUAUAAAUGCACCUUGCGAAGGUGAAAUAAUUUCCGAAAGAAAAACCUUCAGUCGGUUAGUAAGAACUUUGGAGCAAAUCUUAUAAAUCACAUUACAAAGACUAAUCGGCCUAAGCUAAGUCAUUGUGGUUGGAUCAAUUUUCUUUGGAAUCAAGGGGACAUGGGUAUAAUUGAUUUUCCUAAGCAUAUGAUCUAAUGACAGAAUAUGCCUUAUCCCAUCACACACAUCUUGGCCAAUAGUCUCCCAAUGCUUCUGAUAAAAACCCGAUGACAUACCAUCAGGUCCUGACGCUUUAGUCGAAUGCAUUUGAAACAACGCCUCUAUAAUUUCAUCAUUUGAAACCGGCCGAAUAAGCUCUUGGUUCAUCUCUGCUAAGACCUUAGGGGUCACCACCCGCAUGAUUUCCGCCACAUCCAUCUCGCCCUGGGAGUCAAACAAUUUGGAGAAAAAAAGAAGAUUAUUAUACUCCUUGAUUUUAUUUUAUUUGAAAUUCCUUCUUUUGUUAUCACUAUAAUUAUUUUUUUUCUGAAGAAAAAAAAGUUUAAAAAUAUAGAAAUUCUUUUGUCACAUGGGACCAAAAAAAGUUUAGGGCUUGGGCUUGCACAGUCUCAUACUCUCCCAGUCACUUCCGAUCCGCCACCGCCUUCUGGUUUAAACUUAAUCGUAUUCAUAUUCCUUCCACACUUUACAAUCCAGAGCUUUAUGCUACCAAUUUGCAGCGACAACCACAUCGUCGACGAAGCUUCAACCUCGCCAUUGCCGCUCUACUCUCUCUCAGGUUAGUAGAUUUUUUCCCUUUUCUUUUUUUUCAGUAAAACCUCUGAUACCAAAACCCUACCGUUUCUUCUGUUUCAACGUCGGGAAAUUCCAAAGCUUCGUUGCCCCAAAUCGUAUCUUUCCAUUUCUGUAUUCUGCAUAUUUGAACUUCUAUCGUAAGCUAUUGCCGCUGCAUCAUAACAUGCUCCAACGUGCACACCGACUGUUUGAUGAAUGUCUCUACUAAAAAUUUCCAGUCUUGAUUUUUGUGUUUUUAUAAACGUUUUGCUUUUGCGAACUCUCUGUGUGUUAUGCCUGCUGGGAAGUUCUUUUCUUAUGUUGCCGUUACAGAUGAUUUCUGGGGUGGGCUUGUUAUUUGAAUUUUUCACCAUUUGAAAAUUGUGUGUAGAAUAUAAUUAAUGGUUGAUUGUGUAUUUAUUUAUUUAGCAUUUCCAUUAACAAAUAUUGGGUGAUGAGGAUAUUGAUGCAUAUUAGACCAGUACAUGACCUCGAGCUUUUACAAUUUUUUUGUUGUUGCUUUAUCUGAAUUUUUACUUUGUGUGUCAAUUUUUCUUGGAUAGGUGAAGAGGCUCAUGCAUUUGUGAAUUGAUUAAUGGGGCGUAACGUUUCAAAUCGUUCAGUAUCUCCGGUUGGGUCUCCUCGUAGGAGGAGCCCAUAUAGGAAGAGUCCAUCUCGAACAGAAAGAUCACCUGCCCGACAUAGGAGAUCCAACAGGGGUAGUUCUCCACCAAGGGAGAAACAUUCGAGUCACCAUAAGUCUCCGAAGCAUGCAAGGUCCCCUUCUCCUCUUGCUCACUCUCCUUCUCCCCGGACAAAACGGUUAAGAAGAGCUCAAGCUGGAAGAGAGGCUGAAAGAGUAUCUGAAAGGAACAAUGGGAAAGGACCUGAUAAGGAUUUACAGAAGGAAGGGGGUUCAGUGAGAGAUGUUGGGAGCGAUAGAAAGGAGAGACGAUCGGGAAGAGAUGAUACUGAUGGUAAAUCUUUAACAUCAAGACAUGGUACUUCUCCAUCAGAUCGACAGCGCAGGAGUAGGCAUAGAUCCUCCUCACCUCAACCUGCUGGUGAUACUAGAGGUGUGGAGAAAGUAAUUGAUAAAGACCAUGCAGGGAAUCAUGGCAGAGGGAGUGAUAGAAGUAUGCAAAGGGAAAAAGGUUCAGAUAGGGAAACUGAGAGUGGCAAAGUGGAGAGAAAGUCAGGAAAAGACAGUGCUGAUCACAGGUCUUCAAGAUCAAGACAUGGGCGGUCUACUUCUCCAUUAGAUCGGCACCACCAGAACAGACAUAGUUCUCAUUCACCUCAACAUGCUGCCAAUACCAGAAUUCGUGAUGAGGUGUCUGGUGAUAUCCACACCUUCAACUUCUCAAGCCCCCCUCCCCCAUAAUUUUAUUCCGUCUUGAAGAUUUUUACUUCUUAAAUUUCAUUUUUUUAGUUUACUUCUUAAAUUUCACUGAUGACUUUGGAAAGCAUUUUUACAUCAUUAUAGAUUGGCAGAGGUUAUUUUGCAUAGGUUUACUUUUCAGUAACUUACAUUUCAAUUUAAAACAGUUAUGUUAUUCUCUUUUUUUCACCCACCUAUUCACUCGUGCCAGUAUGUUUUAAGACUUUUUUUAAAUGAAGCAGAGCACAGAAAAUUAGUCAGUAAUCAUUAAUUAUUUUAGUUUCACAAAAUAAUCAUUAAUUAUUUUAGCAUUCAUUGUGCAAUGAUAUCCUGUGAUGCUUAUAAGUGACUUCUCUUUCGGUUUGCAUUGAUUCUUAUCUAAAGUAUCUAACCAAAGGUAAUUUCUUCAGGUGCCAAAUUCAAGAGGAGCUGAGCAAGGGUGAGUUGAUCUGUUAAAACUUUUUGUUUUCUGUUUAUUGUACUUUGGUAUUUUUAAUCAUUCUAUUUAUUAGUUUUGGUGAAUGAGAGGAGAUAAAGGUGAAUGAAGCAAUAUAUUCUUAAUUAACAAGAGUAAACCUUCAUGAUGUAGUAAAAGUAAGAAAACAUGUUAAUUUUUUAAUAAUAAAUAAGAUAUAGGUGUCAAUGGAAGAAAUAUGAAGCCAAUUUUUGUUAAUUUAACAGAAUAAACCUUCAUGUAUGUUAACUUUUUAGGCUAGAUUCACUUGAACAGAGGUUCUACACUUUUGGACUAAGUUGAUUCAAUUUUUUUCAAAGUCUGAGUGCUCACGUUUUAAUGUCAAUAACCCUGGGUGUAGAUUUUGAUGACUGUUGGUUGCUUUCUUGGGCAGGGAUGAUGAGAAUGAUGCAGUAGCGAUGAUGAAGGCUGCAGAGGAGGCCUUGGAAGCAAAGCAAAAGGUAAGUAAUGCAUAGAUAACAUUCUUUCUUGAUUCAUAACUAUCAUCUACUUUUUGUUAUUCAUGCUGAUAUUUUCAGCUACCGGGUGCAAGCUGUGAUAGAUAACCUUGCUUCAUUUAUUUCCAAGUAUCAUUUUAGUGCAUAUUAUUCUUUUUGCAGUUGUACUUACCUUUCAUUCCUUUUACUAUAUACAGCAAAAACCUUCUUUUGAGCUGUCUGGGAAGCUUGCUGCAGAAACCAAUAGAGUCAAUGGUGAGAUCUCCAUUUCUGAGUACAAGCGGAUCACAAUAGGAAACUAAAUAACAACCAAUCACUUAAAUGGGGAAGCCAUAUGUCACAGUGAGAAACUGAAUGGCUAUCUCUUACAUAACUAGGAUGUUAAAUAUUCUUAUUACUUAUAUCCUAAAUUACAAAUAUUUGUCUUCUCUAAAAAAAUUCGCAUAGAAAUUGUAGAGAUUUUGCAUUUCUAUUUGUUUGUUAUUAUAACAAAUAAAACGAAAAUGAUCUUUUUCAUGUGGUUAUUACUUUGUCAGGUGUAACACUAUUAUUCACCGAGCCUCCAGAAGCACGAAAACCUAACGUGAGAUGGAGACUUUAUGUUUUCAAGGGUGGUGAAGUUUUGAAAGGUAAAUUAUCUACUUGUUCUUGUGCCUUUUUUGCGACCUUCAUGCGCUUCGUUAACAGUGACACUUAGAGGUUGAAUGACUAGUGAUAAUGAGGGAGCUGUUAAGUACUGACGGGUUUCUUCUGUAUAAAUGUAAAAUGCUUCUAAAGACCUCGUGUCAUGUGUGAUUAAAGUGCCUUUUUUUGUGUGGAGGCAAAAUACCUUAUUUGAAUUCAAGUUUCAAAAAUAGUUAAACACCAAAGGUUGAAGAGCUACUGGCUGAAGAUUCUCUGAUUUUCUUAAGACCCGGGCUGCAAACCCACAAUGAGGCAUCAAUCUUCAUUUUUUAUUUAAGUGACCAUAGGCUUGUAGGGAGAACUAGUUCUAUGUGAAGAAGGAUAAGUGCUUGUGCUGAAGAGGAGGUAGGCCUUUUGUGUUCUUAAGAUCCAUGUAGUAACUUCUAUCACACACUUAACCUCUCCAGAUAACAUUGUUUAUUCAGACUAGCAGACUGUAGUAAUUCUUUUCCUUUUCUCGUAAUGGAAACAUCUCCUUAAAAGUUCCAAUCAGUGAUUGGCUUGGGUGCAAUGGUGUGAGUAAUAAAUAUUGGACAGUUUAAGAAAUAUUUGAUUGUUUAAGACUUUUCGUUCAAAUAUAAUAUAUUGCAAGUUUUGCACACAAAUAAAUGGUUGUUGUACAUUGUGGUGUUUACUACUACUGGAAAUUUAUUUUAGAUUUUGAGGCAUUUGCUCUAGUUUUCUUCCCAAAAGAGAAAAAUAUAAAACUAUGUAAUAUAGUAAUAUACUGAUAACUGUUUUUGUUGUUGCUUUAGGUUCUUAUUGCACUUAGUUUAAUUUUGUGUUUAAACUUUAUUGACUUUGUAUUACUGAGUAGACCAGUUAAGUUCCAUUGCUUAGGUGAGCAUAUUGUUGUGUAGUGAUUACCAUUCCCAAGCUGGGCUUUUCCAUUUUCUUUUCGUGAUGACUUAGUUUUGGUGAUUUUCCAUAUAUAUGAUUUCCAGACCCCCUUUACAUACAUCGUCAAAGCUGUUACCUAUUUGGGAGGGAAAGAAGGGUAGCAGACGUCCCUACAGAUCACCCAUCCUGCAGCAAGCAACAUGCUGUUAUACAAUACCGGUAGAUCUAGAAUUUUGUAGUUCUAUUUUUGCUAUAUAGAUUCUUGGUUAGCAACUAGUAUCUUAUUCUAUUUUACUUGUCAUACCAGGCAAGUAGAAAAGGAGCAACCUGAUGGUAUGUUAUCAAAGGAAGUAAGGUAAGACAAAGUUACCUUGCGGUUAAUUCCAUUAAUUUGAGAGUGAAUUUUUCAAAUCUCAUAUCUAACUUCUUGCGUGCACAACUGUAGGCCGUACUUGAUGGACCUCGGAAGCACAAAUAAAACUUUUCUUAAUGUAAGUGGCUCAUUAGAUUUAUUGGUUUUUGCAUUUGUGUUGUGUAGAGUAAAGCUUGGUUUUACUGUAUUUGCAGGAACUUGGUUUUAACAUUUACUUUGUUGUUGCAGGAAAAUGCAAUCGAACCUCAACGAUAUUAUGAACUUAUGGAAAAGGAUACAAUCAGAUUUGGUAAUAGUAGGUACGUCACUAAUCAAUUAUCUAACUUGAGCUUUGUGAUGCUUAGAUUGUUGUCCCCCUGAAAAUACUCAUCUUUUUUAUAAUGCUUUCUUCCUUACCGAUUACUGUAGUGAUCUUGCAGGUGAAUACCUGAAUUGAAUUUGUUUGAUUUAGAAGGUUACUAUAUUUGGAUUACGUUGAAACAAUAGUUCUCAUGUUCAUGUAGUUUCUAGGACUAGAAGUGUAAGUAAUUGGAAUCAAUUGAAGAAUGACAUGCAUGGAAACAAACUAGAGCUUUAGAAAGCCUGGAACAUAUGAACAAUCAAAUAUCACCCCUACGUGUUUGUAACUGCAAUCAGCUCCAAGUGAUUCAUAUUUCCUGGUCGACUUUAUUUUCAAGUUUGAAAGAUGAUUUCCUUGGUUAGGUUGGUUGAUUGGGAAAACUUCUGUAUAUCUCUUCAAAUUUGUUCAUCCGUUCUGAUGAUUUGCAGUCAAUUCUGUACUGUUGCUAAUAUUUAUGUCGCAUAUUUUGACACCGUCCUCAUAAUUUGGUUUUUUGCAGCCGGGAGUAUGUUCUGCUGCACGAAAACUCAAUGGAUUGAUGGGUACAAUUUGGCGGCGCACCUACCUUUCUAGCAUGUGGAAUGUGUAAUGUACGGACCUCUUUUAGUUUUGGCAAAUCAGAAUGUAUGGAAGUGAGUCGAUUUUACGAAUACCAUCAAAGUUUUCUGAAUGUUAUUUAAGGAUGUUACUAGAUAGAAUGCGUGGUAUGUUGCCUCAGUCUUAGAGUAUAAUAAGGGAUGGUUUGGGAGUGAGGUGCUUAAAAAAAAAAGCACCCAUGAAAAAAAGCUGGGAGGGUUUUAGGUGUUUAGUAAACUGAAAAAAAUGGCUUAUUUUGGAAGCUGUUGUGAGAAUAAGCUGAAAUCAAAGAAAAAAGCUGAAGCUGUUAUUUGCAGCUUUGGAAAACUGGCUUUUUUUCAAAGCACACGGAGCUACAGUGCUCCUUUAAUGAAAAGAUUCACUAUCAGACUGCCUUUUUUUUUUUUCCAAAAGCACUUUUACAAAAAAAGUUUACCAAACACUCUGUUGAUUUAUUUCACAGCCGCUUAUUCUUACAGCACAACCGUUUAUUCUCACAGCAGCUUUUUUUUCAAAGCACAGCAAUACCAAAUCAGCCCUAAAAGGGGACCGAAGUACAGAUUGUUUUUUUCAUUUUUCGAUUACGAUAGAAGUGCAAAGUGGAAAUUUGUUUGAAGACCGUAACCAUUGUGGCCGGAAAUCGAGGGAAGCGCGAAAAUCACUUUAUCUUUUGUAGUAAUGCCGAUAUGAGAGGCAUAUGCAUUUCUAAUUUUCUAUGGUUGGUACUUGGUAGUAUGUGGAUAAGACCAAAUGGAUGCUCCCCUCUUAUUAUUUUUGGUUAAAUUUCCCAAUAUAUACUUGAAACUAAUCCAAAGUAACCUUUUUUAUUGUUUAUCAAGACAUAAAUUUCAUUCUUUGUAUUUGGUCUCAAUAAGCUAAUAAAUCUCACAGCCUAAAGGCAUAUUUGUCGGUUUGCCCUUCGAACUUGGUAGCACUCACCUACUAACCACAACUGCCGUUUCGACCGUUCGCCUAUAAAAGGCACUAAAGGCCAAAGCAAACUGGAAAAAAAAUGAAACGCAGAAAAAGCAGCAGAGAACCAACAAAAAGGAAGAGAGGAGUACGGAGGGGUUCACGGGAGAAGGAAAAAAGGGAAAGCAAGGAAGACACGGCAAAGGGAGCAAAAGUUCUAGGUAUAAAUUUAUUGUUUAUAAUUUGUUCUUUGUCUUGGUGUUGGUUCAGCUUUUUGCAGAGGAAAAGAAGGAAGACUUGGCUCUUCUUAUUUGCAGACGAUGCCAAAGAAACAGUUGCAGAAGGAGAGAAGGCAGCGGAACACGAAGCCAAAGAUGCGGUUGGCGAGCAGAGAAGAAAGAGGGACGCUCACCGCUCCCUGCUGCUGUCGACUCCCCAAGGUCUAGACGGCUGCUCCUUGUUCCUCUCUGCCCAGCGAGAGUCCCAUCCGUGAGCCCAGAGACCGCAAAGUGCACCCUCGUCUUGGCCGAUAACAACGGAAAGGCAGUAGCAAAGUGGUGACAUUCGGAGACCGUGAGCCCACCGCAGUUCUCUCUCUACUUAUCUUGGACUCUCCUUCAACGCACACUGCAGCCCUUCCUUCCUCGCAUAAUGCUGCAACAACCGCCGACUUCAGACGGAAGCCCAAACGAAGGUAGCAGCCGUGCCAUGUCUCCAGCCGUCGUCUCCGGUUGUCUUCCAGAAAGAGCCCAUGCACUCUGUGACUUGAAGGAGAUGGAUUUGGUGAUGCAGUGUUGCACAAAGCUAGAAGAGACCGAAGAAAGUCACGACAAGAGGAGAGGAUCAACAACCGCCGCUAAUCUGCACUGCCCUUCCUAUGCCAUCGCAGCACCGCUCUCGUCACAAUGAGAGCAGGCAAAAAAUGCAACACCAAUCGCUGCGAGCCAUUCCCAUCCCAUCGACAGUUGCGAGAAUAACCCAAAGCCUUCAGAAAAUGCGGAAGACAUCCGAAGGGAAAGCCGAGAAUUUGAGGAAAGAAAAAGUCCCCCGGUCCAAAAUCGUCUCUGCCACCGUGUUGGUCAAAAAGCAGGGAAUUGAAAUGGCAUUCAUCGCAUCAAAAUCGUCUCUGCCACCGUUUCGGUCAAAAAGCAGGGAAUUGAAAUGGCAUUCAUCGCAUUGAAGCAAAUACAAGCUGCAGCGGAAGUGGCUCUAAAGUUGCAUUUUGAAACAGAUUGCAGAAGCUCAAAAGCUGUUUCUGCAGCCAUACCCGACGGCCGUGCAGUACUAUUCGAGACUUUGGAAAAUUCAAGUCUUCAAAGAGGAGACAGGAAAGCACAGAGGAGAUUGACGGUAAAAGUAUACAAAGAGGGACAAAAGCGUUGCAGAAAUUGCUGAGGCAUCAAAAGCUCCAAUGGCUCAAAGUUUUAACCCGCAUGAGCUAAAAUUGCACUAGGCAUUAAAAGCUCCAAGUGACUCGAAGUCCUCGCCUACAAGAGCCUAAACUGCAUAAAACAUCAAAUGCUUCUUGCCUGCACGAGUUGAAACUGCACAAGACAUCAAACUCCAACAAAUACAUGAACUAUGCGUGACUUGAUCCCUCAAUAAGGGUACGUAGGCAAUCUAGGGCUCUACCUAGGUGCAGUCACAAAAUCAAAAUCAAACACCCAAAUCCCUAAAUUACGAUUUAUUCAUAUUGGAAUCAAAGGAUUUUUCCUUUUUGACGGAGGAUUGUAGUUAAUAGACGCAUAGUUUAGAAUGAGUUGAACUCAAAUUAAUAAAAUCCUCUUCGGAAAAAUGAACGAAGGUGAAAUUGUAUCGAGUGAAUUAUUUGUUUACAUAUUAUGUACAAUUUUUGCUCAACAAUGUGAAUACAUAAUACAUCCAACGUGCACAAAACAUAUUUUGGUAAUCUUACAAUUUGGUGGGUAAUUGAAUGAAAAAAAUCCGAACUUUUAGGUAAAUCCCUUUACUCUACCGAUAAAUUUUUCAGUUUCUGAGAAACACAGUUGAAUACAUCAUGUAUCAAUAUAAUUAGUUGAAUUUUUUUUUUAUUUUCAAUCAUUUUUAUUGUUAUUAGUAUACUAAACCGUAUCAGGCGACUCUGAAAAAUCUCGACUCGACCUAACCUUUUACCUUUGUCCCCAGGAGGUUAGAAAAGUCGUUAGAAACUCUACUCCAAACAACAACAACAAAACUUUUUCCCACUAAGUAGGGUUGACUAUAUGAACCCUAGAACGCUAUUGCGCUCGGUCAUCUACCACUUCUUCCGUUAGAUCUAAGUAUUCUAAGUCUUUUCUUAAAGUCUAUUCCAAAGUCUUCUUAGGUCUCCCUCUACCCCUUCGGCCCUAAACAUUUGUCCCGUAAUCACAUCUUCUAACCGAAGCAUCAGUAGGCCUUCGUUUCACAUGUCCAAACCACCGUAACCGAUUUUCUCUCAUCUUUUCUUCAAUUUCAGCUACUCAUAUUUUAUCUCAGAUAUCUUCAUUCCUAUUCUUAUCCUUCCUCGUGUGCCCACACAUCCAACGAAGCAUUCUCAUCUCUGCUACACCCAUUUUAUGUAUGUGUUGAUACUUCACCGCCCAAUAUUUCGUGCCAUAAAGUAUUGUCGGCCUUAUUGCUAUCCUAUAAAAUUUUUCCUUGAGCUUAUGUGGCAUACGACGGUCACACAACACCCCAGAUGCACUUUUCCACUUCAUCCAUCCAACUCGUACUCUUUUCUUCUCUAAAAUCCUUUAGAGAAUGUCUCUUAGGACCCUAUCAUAUGCCUUUUCCAAAUCUAUAAAGACCAUGUACAAUUCUUUUUUUUUUUAUAUCUCUAUAUAUUUCCAUCAAUCUGUGUAAAAGAUAUAUUGCCUCCAUGGUUAAGCGUCCUGGCAUGAACUCGAAUUGGUUGUCCGAGACCCAUGUCUCUUGCCUCAGUCUAUGCUCAAUUACUCUCUCCCAGAGCUUCAUUGUAUGACUCAUUCACUUAAUCCACCUAUAGUUCAUGCAAUUUUGUACGUCACCCUUAUUCUUGCAGAUAGGCACCAAUGUGCUAUUUUGCCACUCAUUUGACAUCUUCUUCGUUUUCAAAAUCCUGUUGAAAAUGUCUAUGAGCCAUGCUAUACCUGUCUCUCCCAAAACUUUCCACACUUUGAUCGGUAUAUCAUUUGGGCCCACUACUUUUCUAUGCUUCAUCUUUUUCAAUGCUACAACCACUUCCUUCCUAAUUCAACGGUAAAAUGAGUAUUUUUUACACUAUUCUGAGUUACUCAGCUUUCCCAAAGAAGUACUCCUUUCAUGUCUUUCAUUGAAAAGUUUAUGAAAAUAACAUCUCCAUCUGUCUUUGACCGCGUUAUCUGUAAUAAGAACAUUUCCAUUCUUAUACUUGAUGCACCUCACUUAGUUUAGGUCCCUUAUCUUCUUUUUCCUUGCUCUAACUAGUUUCUAGAUAUUUAACUCUUUUUUUUUUUGUAUCUAUUUGCUUAUACGUAUCGUCAAAAGCCUCUAGGUUAGCUUCUCACACAACUUUUUUCGCCUCCACUAUUCUACUCCAAACAAAAAGAGAAAAGAAAAAGAGGCGACGUUUCUCCUCUCAAUUGCGUGGGCGUGUCACUUCCGAAACCUCAUAAAUGGCAGCAGCAGCCUCCGGUAGCGCCUCCACCACUUGCAAAACCCACCGCCUUAUCGCCCCGCCGCUCCCAAAACCCUACUCCUCCUCCUCCACCCAACUUCCCUUCAAGUUUACCUCCCGCGCCACCGCUGCCCCUACAUCCAUCUCCUGCACUCUCACCCGGGAUUCCGCCGCUCUACAGAUGGAUGAGAAAAACGAUAACGGCGCCUUCCCGGUUCUGCCCCGGCCCGAUUCGUUCGGCCGGUUCGGUAAGUAUGGCGGGAAGUACGUCCCGGAGACCCUAAUGCACGCGCUCGCUGAGCUCGAGGCCGCGUUUCACGCUCUCGCUAGUGAUGAAGAGUUUCAGGUCCUGUCAAUUUUGCUUCUUCCAUUCCUAUUUUUCUUUUCUUUUUUAAAUGUGAAAUUUUUUUGUUUUCUGAGAAUUAUGUAUUAAUGAAUUUGAAAUUUCUCUCUAUAAUUUUUAGUUGUAGAAGUAAAUUUACGUAUUGUAAACGUUUUCGAGGCGAAAUUUGUGAGAGGAAUAAAUAAAAUAGAGCUAUUUGAAUCAAGUUUCUGCAAUGAUUUUCGAGAUUGAAUUGAGCUGGGAAGGCAAUGUGGACAACAAAACUCGAUUGCGGAGUACAUGGCUCUGUUGAAUUUUUAGGAUUUGGAAAUUCUCAUUUCAAUGCUGCAUCCAAUUAGUUAGAGAAUUUGAAUUUGUAGGAGUUGUUAUUCGGUUUACGGUUUGUUUUAUAUAAAUGUUUGCAUUUUUUGGUUGUCAUGUGGUGUCUUUAGGAACAAAUUAGGACUAAUUAACAAAGAUUGUUGUGAUUGAUGAUUUUCUAAUCUUUCACAUUUUUUUUUGUUCAAUCCGAUAUAUGGUAGGAUGCAUACACUAAAUAUUAAAUUGGGAUGAAGAUAUCUUUAUGAUUUGGGGAUUAUACAGUUUUUUUUAUUGACGAUGACCGUGUGAUUUUGCAGAAAGAGUUGAAUGGCAUUUUGAAGGACUAUGUUGGGAGGGAAACUCCUCUCUACUUUGCGGAGCGGCUAACUGAGCACUACAAACGCCCUAAUGGUGAAGGGCCUCAUGUUUACCUGAAGAGGGAAGAUCUUAACCAUACCGGGGCCCAUAAGAUCAACAAUGCCGUUGCCCAAGCCUUGCUUGCUAAGAAAUUGGGAAAGAAACGGAUUAUUGCUGAGACUGGAGCAGGACAACAUGGUGUUGCCACUGCCACAGUUUGUGCUCGGUUUGGAUUGCAGUGUAUCAUCUAUAUGGGUGCCCAAGAUAUGGAAAGGCAAGCCCUCAAUGUUUUCAGAAUGCGGCUUCUGGGGGCUGAGGUUUGUUAUGAUUCUGCAACUUCUUUUAAGCAAUGCAACUUAAUUAUUUAAUUUAGCCCACAUUUAUAAGCUGACAUUGAAUGUUCUAUGAAACUGGAAUGUACUGACAGGCGACAGAUUGGGCAUAUUUUUCUCGAUUGUCUUUCUGUGGAAUGUUCCAUACUGUUAAUAUGUAAUGCUUGCCCCUUAUGUUGCCUAAUUGGAUUAGUCAUGGUUUCGCAUCUGUUGAAUACUUUUAAAUUUACUCGGAUUGACAAAUUUAGCUUAUUUUUCUCAAGGGAGUUUGUUUACAUAAUUUUUAAUUCGUCCUAGUUUCCAUCACAUGGAUGGUUAGUCAACAGUUGUUUUAGUCUGUAAGUCAAGAAAUGAUGACUUUACUUGUGCUAAGUUGUAAGUUUAUAGUUAUAUUUCACCCCAAAAAAGCUCUUAUAUUUCCAAGUUGUGAAAUUUAUAAACCAUUAUAUCUUUUCUGGUGUGAUUUAGCAAGAUAGGUUUUCUGAUCAGAACAUACACAUUGCAUCUUCUCUGUACAGUGUACACAGAAAAAUGUGUAUUCAUUUCAUAGCACAAUUAACUGAAUUUAACAUGGAUGACCAGUUCUUUUAAAUUUGUUUGUUCUUUUUCUUGAGAAUCUCAAUAUUUUGAAAAAGGCCUAAACCGUUAAUGUUUACGUAAGCCAGAUGUUUUGCUCUUAUUAAUCCUAUGUAUUUUGAACUGCAACUUCUCUUCCUGUUUUGAAAAAAAAAAGGUUAGACCAGUCCAUUCUGGGACAGCAACAUUGAAGGAUGCUACCUCAGAAGCGAUAAGGGACUGGGUGACUAAUGUCGAGACAACUCAUUAUAUUUUGGGCUCUGUUGCUGGCCCACAUCCAUACCCUAUGAUGGUUCGGGAUUUCCACAAGGUGAUUGGUAGAGAAACAAGAAAACAAGCACUGGAAAAGUGGGGAGGGAAGCCAGAUGUGCUGGUAGCUUGUGUUGGUGGAGGUUCAAAUGCCAUGGGACUCUUCCAUGAGUUUGUUGACGACAAAGAUGUCCGGCUGAUUGGGGUGGAGGCUGCAGGGUUUGGAUUGGACAGUGGAAAGCAUGCUGCAACUUUGACCAAGGGGGAAGUUGGGGUCUUGCAUGGAGCAAUGAGUUACUUGUUACAGGAUGAUGAUGGACAAAUUAUUGAGCCUCAUUCUAUAAGUGCAGGGUAUGACAAUUAAUUGGAUUUUUUGGCUAUUGAUUUUUGUAUGGCUUGUAGUGUGUUAAUCGUAUGAAUUUUGUGUGGUAUUCAGCCUGGAUUACCCUGGAGUUGGCCCGGAGCAUAGUUUUCUGAAAGACAUGGGGCGUGCUGAGUAUUAUAGCAUUACUGAUGAAGAAGCAUUGGAAGGUAUUGCACUUACACUCAACUUUACUUUAUGCUCUCUUUUGACAUCUUUCGGUAGAUGGUGGGGGGAAGCAUUCUAGGUAUGCAUAUUGUUUGAUAUGUUAUCUAUAGAUGAAUCUUUGUUUUACAUAUCGAGUAUUGAUAUAUUUUGUCCUUGGUUGCCAUUCCAUCUGAAGCUUAAUAUAUGGUCCUCAAAUGAUACUGCGAAGAAUUAGAGACCUUAAUAAGCUUUGACGUUUUUCUUUGCCCCAUAGUCGCAGUGUCCUUGUGAUGUCUUGGUCUUAAGUCCUUUAACCAUACUUUAUCCUUCCCUUCCUCUGGGUUUUUUUGUUCUUGGUUCAAACUUCGAAUGGAUUUCUUUUUCCCUUUGCACAUCCUUCAUCAUUUUUUUCUCCGCACAUGCAGCUUUUAAACGAUUAUCAAGACUGGAGGGGAUAAUUCCAGCUUUGGAGACAUCUCAUGCACUGGCUUACUUAGAGAAGUUGUGCCCUACACUCCCCAAUGGCGCCAAGGUCGUGCUUAACUGCAGUGGCAGAGGGGAUAAGGAUGUCCAAACCGCCAUCAAGCACUUGAAGCUUUGAUGUUGCGGCCACGAAUGAGCAAACCAAAGGACCGUCUUCGUAAAAGUAAAAGGACCAUGGAAAAUAGAAGUUUCAUUAUUUCCUCAAAUGGGUCUUAUGUAGCCACAGUUACAGAGGAAGUUUAGAAAUGCAGUUCGUCAUUUGGUUGAGGAUGCCUGUUCGGCAUCUGCCAACCAAAGGAAGAACUGCCGGUUUCGGUUGUUUCUUUGAAGGGAAAUUUUGUGCUACACAUUUCUUAAAUAACUUAAGCCAGUUUUUGUAAUAAUGCAAGUUUCUUUGGUUUUGCUGUAUGAUGUAACUUCAAUAAUUUCAAUGAGAAAAUAAAUACACAGUUCUGUUUUGGUCUGAAUAGUUCUAAUGGAUUGCUAUUGCAAAGCCUUCGAUAAAUUGCUAUUUUUUUUUCUUCGGAAAAAUACCAUGAUGUGUCGUCACAUGUGUGGGAGCAUGUGAAGUGGAGUAAUGUAAUUAUUUCAUGUGGGUGUUACCUCAAAAUCAGUAAUUAAGCACACUCAAAUUCAAGAACGAGAUUAACUAGGGGAGUUGGUCAUCCCAUCUUGGGAAGAGAUCCUCUCUGGAUCUCUCCCACCAAAACCCACCAAUCAAUUAAUCUGGGUUCUUGAAAUUUGAUCAAACGGUUAAAAUUAUUAACACUGUUAAAGAGGCUCUCUGUUUGUAACCGUUGAAUCAAAUUUUAAGGAUUCGGAUCAAUUUAUUGGUGGGCUUUGGUGAGAGAGAUCUGCAGGGGAUCUCUUCCUUCCGAUCCUCCUUGAUUUCUUAAUUUCUAUGUUCCUAGUAAGCAAACGUGUCAUUCAACAGUAUGAUACAUAUGCAAAUGCUCUAGGCUCUGUGUCACCGUUACAAAUUGCCUAUGUAUUUGGGUUGCUACAUUGAUAUAUAUUACAUCUGGACGCGGGACUUUAAAGCUUUGAAGUUUUAUGAAACUUGAAUUAAAUUGGUUAGGAAUGCACUACAAAAAUUAGAAAAAAUGACUUGAAAAUGGCUUUAGAUAUAAUACAUUCGAGGGAACUAUCAAUCGACUCUUUAAUAGUUGUCAUUUUGAAAGUCAUUUGUUAGUGCCGUUGUAGUGCAUUUCUAGUGUUUAAGUAGAAGCUUUGUAGUGUUUGAGUAAUGUUAUGUUGUUGAGUAUCUAUAGCAAUUUCUUUAAAAUUUUGUUAGCUUAGCUACUAAAUAGUGUCCAUAACUAUGCAGCUAAACAAUUUAACUUAGUAUCUCUAAUAACACUCUCUAUUUUAACAAACACUAUAUACUUUAAUAUUAAGUCAUUGUCUCUUGGAACCGGUAGAUCCGAUCUAGCAUAAAAAAUAAAUAAAAAAGAGUCAAUAAAGCAGGAAAUAUAUUUGUGGUAAACAAGCAAGCUGGACCUUACCCCAGUGGUAUUUGGUAGAAAAUUUGUCGCAGCCAUUCAACAUUUCUCUCUUCUUAGUUAAUAAUUGUUUAUGUUUAGCUAACUCAAAAUUUUCUUUUCCGCUUUAAAGUUAAUUAACAACAGUCCACAAAACUUAACAUAGAGAAUGAGAUAGAGAGCAUCUUAUUAUGUUCAUUAUUUAACGGUUAGAUAUGCAAUUCAAAAGAGAGAACAUCAUAUUUAUCUAUAUUAUGAAUGUAGUAAGAGUAAAUUACAUAAAAGUACCUUAACUAUAGGUCGAACCAUAAUCGCAUACCUCAUGUUUUAAACAUUGCAAUGUUAUACCUCAACUUAUGAAUUCAUUGCAAAGUCAAACCUCGAUUAAAUUUUCUAUCAAUUUGACUGUUAAAUGAUGAUGUGGCAAGAGUACAAGGUAGAGUUACGAUUGGGGGUUAGCAAGACUCACUGAAGAGUUGAAACUAAGGAUUGAAAGUAGCUAAAUCGUCUGUAUAACAGAUCUACGAAUAGUCAACGCCUUUAACAACGUAUUUUAGGGCAAUUCCUUAGGCACCUUCACAUCUACAUCUACCUAUAACAAGCAUGUACACACAAACAAGCUUGAAUCAUGUUAUCUUAACGAAGGAAUGCCAUUACUUAUAGCCGCAACUACACAUUGGUUGAGACUCACACGAUAGUCGAUACUUAGGAUUUCUUUUAGCCUAUAGACUAGGGGGUGUAUUCAAUUGUGAAUUUGAAAGAUUUUAAUGGACUUAUAAAUCCAUGGAUUUUUAUGGAGUCUAAUUGAUUUGUAGAGAUUCUAUGUAAAAUUUUGAUUAAAUCUCUCAAAAUCUCUUAGGGAGAGGUAAGAUUUGUAGAUGUUUAAAAUAUACUACAAAAUCUCUCAAAUUCCCUAUAAUUCCUCAACUUUGUCAAAUUCUUUAAAAUCAAAUUCUAAUUAAAUACAUCUGGAAUGUUAUAAACUUCCUUAAAAUAAUACACCCGGAUUUCUAAGAAUUUUAAUAAACUAUCUUAAAAUUCUGAUUGAAUACACAUUGAAUUUUAGAGAAUCACUUAAAUUCAUGGUUGAAGACCUCUAGAUUUAUUAAAAGAAUUAAAAUCCCUUAAAAUCUCAAUUGAAUACACCCUAGAAUCGUAAACCUCACCCUAAUUUAACAUCUGCUUGAACUCCCGAUCGUUUGGGCCCACUCCUUGUUAAAAUACUGAUAAAAAAUUCAUAAUUUAUUAAUAUUUCUAAGUGAAAAAUAUUAAUAUUAAUAAAAAAACUGAAAAAAAAUAUUUUUUUAAUACGGGGCUUGAGACUGCUGAAGAAGGGUGCCCGCUCGUCGAAGAAGCUAAACUUGACGCCGAUGAAGAGAUCCCGCCAUUGGAAGCGGUAUAGAACCCUAAAUUGAAGUGAAGCGAGGCGAGAGAAAAGGGAGAAAGGGAGGAGUCUCCCCAAAGUCGUUUGUGAGAAAAAACACAACCCAGAUACAAACCCUAAAUUGAAGUAAGUUUUUGAAAAAUCGAGUAAAUCAAAGAGUUAAAUGAGAAGCUGGACUUUGGGACUGGAGGGUUUCUGGUGCGAAGGCAUUUAAAUCCUUCUGGUGGAUCGCAAUCUCACUCUCGCAGGCCAUCCGUAACGACUCCAUCUUCGUCCGCACGAACUCAUCGGGUCAGCUGCCAGCGGAGUACCCGAACCCGAACCACCUUCAUUCUUCCGUUGAUUUCGCCGCCGCAAAUUGGGUCUCUCUUGUUUCCGAUUCCCCGCGACUUUGCUAUGCUGAACCGUGAUUCGCAAUCCUCUCGAUUCAAUUGUCGACGUCGGCAGUGAUGAGCUUGGUCCCGAGAUCCGCGGGCGGAAGACAACUGGGUAGGCAUGGAUUCGUGGAGCUUGCCUGUGCAACUCGGGAAGCUUGUACCUACUCACCUCUAACAGUCUCAAGCCCCAAGAAUAAAAAAAUUAUUUUUUCAGUAUUUUUUUAGAAAAAUUAAUAAAAAAAUUUAUGAAAAUUUUGAGUUUUAAUGAUAAGGAUAAAAUAAAAAGUAUAAUAAAUAGUAUCAAAAUUGGUUUUUUAGUGUAAAAAUGUAUUUUUUUCUUUAAAGUGAAUAUUAUCGAGAGUUUGUUAAAGUUCUUUUCUUUUUUUAAUUUUUUUUAUAACAAUUUUCAAUUUUUAUUAAUAUUAAUAAUUUUUAGGGUUUAGGAAUAUUAGUAUUAAUAAAUUAAGAAUUUUUUAUCAAUAUUUUAAUCUAGAUGGGCAAGGAGUGGACCUCAUUCUUGCCACAUCAUUAUUUAACAGUUAAUUUCACACUAUCAUUUAACAGUUAAUUUAACAGAAAAUUUAACGGAAGUCAAACAUUACAACGAAUUAAUAGGUUAAAGUAUGACAUUACAAUGUUUAUAAUAUAAAAUAUGAAAUUAUGGUUCGAUCCAUAAUUAAAAUGAUUAUGUGUAAUUUACCCAUGUAUUAAAUAAAUACAUGUAUCAUUCCAAAGUUCUUCAUUUUAAAGAGGUUUUUGGAGACGCUUUAUUGAGCUAUUUACCUCCACUACAAAUCGUACGUACAGAAUGACAUGGGAAGGUCUGAUUACUACACCCAACCACACCAUAUCCUAACCUAGAAAAGUACAUUUUAGUUUACGCUAUGUUUAUUUGCAGCUAUGCUUUUUAAAACUCGAUUUUAAUUUCACUUUACUUUCUGAAACUCAAAAGUCGUCACUUUACUCUUUAAAACUCAAAAUUUGCUCAAUUUUGCCCCUUGGAACUCGAUUGAUCCCAUUUUGUCCCUUGAAAUUCAAAAAAUCGUAAUAAAUCUCAAAAUUCGCUCCACAUUACCAUCGAUCUGUUAAUUUCUUAUGUGAAUUUGAUUUGGAUGCACUAGGCUGAUCAAUUUCUUUAUUUUUUUUCAUCUUUUCAAUUUAUUUUAAACUUAACAUUUUCUGAUUAUUGAAUGUUAACUCAUAAUGAAUAUUAACUCAUAAUGAAUAUUUAUAAUCAAAAUUAUUACAUAUAUGACAUAGUUUUAUUAGUGUUGGCUCCCACAUAUAUUUCGAGAGGACCUAUGAGUUUCAGGAGAAGAGAAAGUUCACAAGUCAAAAUAGAACGUAUUUUAAGUUUCAGAUAAUAAAAUUGUAACCUUUAAGUUACAUGGACAAAAUAAAAUCAAAUUCGAAUUUGAAAAGUGUAGCUAAAAAUAAGCAUUUAUAGAGAAAGCUGAUGGAAUACCUUAAAGGAAAACUAAUGAAAAGGGCUUGAAAACUUUGAGUUUUAAUGAUAAGGACAAAAUAAAGGGUAGAGUGAAUAAUACCAGGAUUGACUUUUUAGUGUAAAAAUAUGAUUUUUCGUUAAAGUGAACAGUACCAGGUGUUUUCGUUAAAGUUUCCAUACCUUAAUGCAAAAAGAUGCGGACCCACGUGACCGUUUGGUAGCAAAUAGAAAUAAGCAAGGCAACCUCAUAGGCAUUGUUCUCUUCUCCGGUAAAAAGAAUUGUCGAAGCCAUUCGACAUUUCUCUCUUCUUAGUUAAUAACUUUUUAUGUUUAGCUAACUCAAAAUUCUCUUUUCCCCUUUAAAGUUAAGGAACAAUUGUCCACAAAACUAAAAUAGAGAAUGAGAUAGAGAGUACCAUUUUUGUGCACUUUUAGUUAAAUUAGCUAAAGAAAUAAGACUGGGUACAUGCAUUUACUUAACAUGUUCAUUAUUUAACGGUUAGACAUGCAAUUCAAAAGAGAGAAUAUAAUAAUUACCCAUUUCUGUUUGAAUGAUGAAUGUAUUAAAUAAAAGAAAAACUAAUGAAAAGGGCUUGAAAACUUUGAGUUUUAAUGAUAAGAACAAAAUAAAGGGUAAAGUGAAUAGUACCAGGAUUGACUUUUUAGUGUAAAAAUAUGGUUUUUCGUUAAAGUGAACAGUCCUAAGUGCUUUUCUUUAAAGUUCCCAUAAAUAAAUGCAUGCAUACUGUAGCAUGGUUUUUGGAGAUGCUUCUUUGAGAUAUUUUCCUCCUCUACAUAGGAAGGCCUGAUUAGUCAAAGCCAUCUUGCACGGUACACCCAACUACACCAUAUCCUAACCGAGAAAAGUACCUUUUAGUUUAUAUUAGGAUUUUAAUCUCAUUUUAUUUAUGUAAUUCAAAAAUUGUCACUUUACUUCUUAAAACUCAAAAUUCGCUUCACUUUGCCCCUAGAACACGAUUUUGAUUUUAUUUUGCCUCCUGAAAUUCAAAAGUUGUUUCUAUAUAUCUCAAAAUCAGCUUCACAUUGACUUAGAUCUAUUAAUUUCUUAUGUAGGUUUGAAAUAGGUGCACUAGACUAAUCCAUUUAUUUUUUAUUUUUUUCAUCUCUUCAAUUUAUUUUAAACUUAACAUUUUCUGAUUGUUGAAUGUUAACUCAUAAUGAAGAUUUAUAAUCAAAAUCAUUUCAUAUCUGGCACAAUUUUAUGCUUGGAUCUCACAUAUAUUUCAAAAAUCAAAAUAAAACGAAUUUUAAAUUUCAAAAAGUAAUCGUAACUUUUGGGGAAGGCAAAGUAAAAUUAAUAUUGAACUUCGGAACCGUAACUAAAAAUAAGCUUUUAUGCUACUCCCUUCCAAAGUAGAGAAAGUUGAUGGAAUACUUAAAUGCAAAAAGAUGCGGACUCACGUGACAGUUUGGUGGCAAAUAGGAAUUAAGCAAGGCAACCUCAUACGCAUUGUUCUCUUCUCUGUCGACUGAUAUUUCAUAGAAGAAAAUAAACCCCAAACCCUUUUGCCUUUUGUAUCUUUCAACGCCACACCCCUCCACAACGCCACCCCUCCACCAAACCCAACCGUCAACAAAUUCAAUUAAAAUAUAUAAAAUAUAAAUCCUAUUUAUUUGAUUGUUCUGCUUUCUGAGACCUACUUCUACGGUCAACAAUCUAUGAAAGCAAAAAAUAAAUAAAAAAUAAAAAAUAGUUCCUUUGCUUUUUCAUGUUUUUAUUUUUUAUUCAAAAAGCUUUGAUCUUUCCUAUAUAUUGAAGAUCUACCGUUCUGGGUUCAACUUAUUCGAGCUUUUCAGGUAAAAAAAAUAAUAAAUUUGCUUCCGUCUUUAUAUUUUGCUCCACCACCCCAGUGAUUUGAUCUCUUUUGGGUUUUGUUACAGAAAACCAAUUGAAUUUUCACCCCAAAAGUCCCACCAUGAUCUGCUCUGUGAAGCAAUACACCGGCGUGACAAAUGGGUCCGACAUCUUUUUACGGCGGAGCACACGACCGCCGCCGGUGCAACGAUCGCUGUUUCUGCCCUCUCUUCCGGCGCACCAGCCUCAGAGAUCAGGAAUCUCGGUGCAAAAGGCCUUGCACGUAUCUGCGAUCGCCACCCUCGGAGCUUUGCCGAAGCCGACUCGAAUGAGUGUGGUUAAAUGUCAGGCGUUCGAGGCUGACCGAUCGCAGCCGAUCGAGUCCAGCGUCGAGCUUCCCAAAGUCGAUGCUAAACUGGAGGCGGCGAAGAAGCUGAAGAUCGGCGUGUAUUUUGCUAUGUGGUGGGCGCUGAACGUGGUGUUCAAUAUAUACAACAAGAAGGUGUUGAAUGCUUACCCUUUCCCAUGGCUGACCUCCACCCUGUCUCUGGCAUGUGGGUCUUUGAUCAUGCUGGUAUCUUGGGCCACCAGGAUUGCUGAGGCCCCCAAAGUUGAUAUGGAGUUCUGGAAAGCUCUGUUUCCUGUAAGUUCAGUUGGUUUUAAUUUGGUUUAUGUAUAUAUAUAUAUAUAUAUAUAUAUAUAUAUUCAUAUGCAUGUAUGUAUAUAUAUUAUGCUUUUGGGGUUCUGAGAAUGGAGGAAUAUGAAGGAAAGUGAAGUUUUUAACUUGUUAUGUUUGAUGGUGUUGAAAUUUCGAUAUGGAUAUCGAAUUAGGAUUGUUGGGCGUCUUUUAUUCUGUGAAAAUAACUAUUUUGUUUGGUAGCUGAGAAAAUUAAAGGCAAGAAAGUGUAACUUGAGAGGUCUUAAUUGUUGAGAAAGUUAUAGAGAUAAGUUUUUAUUUCCAGCCAUACAAUGACUCAGAGGCUUUGGUGGUUUGUCAUCAUUUUGCUUGAAAAUUCUGUUUCGGUUUUCGCUUAUGGGUGUGAUUUUAUUGUUUGAUAUCUCUGAACAGGUUGCUGUGGCGCAUACGAUUGGGCAUGUAGCAGCUACUGUUAGUAUGUCUAAGGUUGCAGUUUCUUUCACCCAUAUCAUCAAGAGUGGAGAGCCAGCUUUCAGUGUAUUGGUUUCGAGGUUCUUGCUGGGCGAGUCCUUCCCUACAUCGGUCUACCUGUCCCUCCUUCCAAUCAUCGGUGGUUGCGGUCUUGCUGCCUUGACAGAGCUUAACUUUAACAUGAUAGGUAACCAUUUUGUUCUUGUCCCGGAGGGAAUGGAAUUGUAAAAUUAUUGGUUUGUUGGUAUUUGCAACCUUUGUCAGGCUCCGUUGGAAAAGAAAACAAAUACAUAUUAAAAUUAAAAUACGUCAAUACAUGUUUUGCCUUUGUAUUCUUAUGCAACCAAAUUGAGGUUCCAUUCUUCGUGCUAUAUGUUUCAAUAUAACUUAUUUGGCCAAAGUUUCGGUUUAUUUUCUUUUAUCUGAAGUUGGGUGUCGUAGCCAGUUUCUUUCUCCUUCUAGUUUUUCCAAAAAGCAGGAUGAGUUUUGGCUAGUUGCAGGAUUUUAUUCCGUCAUUAUGUUGUAAUUAUAAUGUAAUUUUGUUGCUUUUCUUAAGGUUAUAGAGACUUAAAAUUCGGUCUUUUUACUGGUUGUUUCAGGAUUCAUGGGGGCCAUGAUAUCAAACUUGGCAUUUGUAUUUCGGAACAUAUUUUCAAAGAAGGGAAUGAAGGGGAAGUCUGUUAGCGGAAUGAACUAUUAUGCUCUUCUAUCCAUUAUGUCUCUAGUAAUUCUCACACCAUUUGCGAUUGCGGUGGAGGGACCACAGAUGUGGAAAGCUGGAUUUGAUUCAGCAUUUGCUCAAAUUGGACCCAACUUGAUAUGGUAAUUACAUGUCAUCUACUAACUGUGAUUUCUUGGCCUGUUACUGACUCUGAUAUGUUUUAUAAUUUUAUUGUGUGGUUCGAUAUCUGCAGUUCUUAGCAUGUAUUUGUUUUCAUAAUAGAAACUAAGGCAGAUAACUGAUGUUCCGUGUUGGGAACAAGAUAAUCACUAUGCAACUACUCUUGUGCAAUUGUUCUACGAGUGUAUUAUUUAUUUGUUCAUUUUUUUAUUUUCACUUAAUUAUAUCCUAUUUCACAAUCUGUCCAAAGUCAAUUCUCUUCUAUAGAUUACUCUAAAAAAUACGAGAAAACAAUAUAGUCUCUUUUAGAGAUGUUUUGAAUGUCCUUAGCAGCUUAGCCAAAUGCACACGAUGAAAGGGAUAAGGCACAAUGCUAUUGGUUGGAAGGUAGUGUGCUAGAAGUACAUCUAAUCAGAUGAUCUCGUUCUUACUGAUUAUGAAAUCCUUCUACACGCAAAAUAGUAGGUCUUGAGCUUCCUUUGGUAUGUUUAACUGAUAGUUAUAAUAGGGUCCUGCGAUCUGUUUUCUUGUCUUUUUCUGUAGGUUUUGUUGCUUCGUUCUUUAUGGUACAGGUCUUUUUAUCUUGAUGUAAUUGUACUGGAGGAGUUUAACCAGUACUAAAUCUGUGUGAAUUAUUGAAUGUUGCAGUAUUUACAGUCGUGAUUAUAAGGUGCAGGUUACUUGUUAUAUUAUGAAUUCAUAGUUAAUAUUUCGUGUAUUGAGCUGGAAACUUAUGGCAAUGUUGUUGCAGAGACCAUGUGGUGUAAUAGCUGAUUGGAACUUGAAUCCCCAUAGGAACAAUUCUUUGUGUUUGUUCUUGUUUGAUACAGUGAUACCUUUUUUUUUCUGAAUGUUUUUAUAAAUGCCUUUACUCACGCUGCUGUUGAUUACAUCCAAUAGGUGGAUGGCGGCCCAGAGUGUCUUCUAUCAUCUCUACAACCAAGUGUCAUACAUGUCCUUGGACGAGAUUUCUCCCUUGACAUUUAGCAUAGGAAACACCAUGAAACGUAUAUCCGUCAUAGUAUCCUCCAUCAUCAUAUUCCGCACACCUGUCCAGCCCGUCAAUGCCCUUGGAGCUGCUAUUGCAAUUUUCGGAACCUUCUUGUAUUCCCAGGUAUGCCCAUGUUCUCUCUAUGCAUUGAGGUUGAUUGUUCAUAAUUUACUUAUGGUCUUUUUGCUAAUUUCGCCUAUUAGCUUUUUGGACAUUCAUGAUAGAUUUUGUUAGUGUGCCAUAGUUUCAAAACAUCGAUUAUUAUAAUGUGCACCAAUUAUUCUUUAUAUAUUCUAAACAUUCUCUUUUACUUGUGGGCUUGUUUAACCCACAACAUCUGGAAUUCAACAAAAUAGGACGGUCAGGGUUUCAUGGAUUUGAACAAAUGAUCUCCCAUUUUGAUACCAUGAUGAACCUAACACUUCUCCUCUACCUCGAAUGUGUCAUAUUUCCCGCUUUCGUUAAAGGACACAAUCGUGGACUUAAAAUUAGGGUGGGAGGUUCUAAUUAAAGGGAUUUGAACUCCGAAUGCCCGAAUCCCUUGUUUAACGUCAUAUGAAUUUUUUGUUUGUUUACCCAUUAUUUCUACAACUUUGAAGUUGUUACAACGUAGGCCAACUGUUAGUAUAUUACAACACUUGCUCUGAUGCAAAUUGGCCAACCCUAUAGAUCCAGACAAAAUUAUUUGUUUGCAUUCUUCGCAUGGCUUUUGUUUGUAUGUUAAAGAUACCAACAAGAAAUCUGGUGGAUAUUUUUGUUGGUUGUGGGUUGUACCACGGUGCUUACGAUAGUGAUUGCAUCGGAACCUCAAACUAGGUAUUUACUUUUAUGUUAUAUUUCUAGUUCUUUAACCUACCUUAAUGAAGGUUUAGGUGGAGGCAAUUGGAGCAAUACGGGGGGUAGAUGUAUAUCCCGGCAAGGAUCAUGUUCCUUUGCUACUAAUUAGGAUGUUGAGUGUUAGGUGGCCUUCGCCAUGCUGUGGUUGGACCAUCAAAACCUACCUAAUUUUACUUUGAUAAGUUUGUUUCAUCGCUUAUACCAUUAAUUAAAAGGAAAACUAAUGAAAAGGGCUUGAAAACUUUGAGUUCUAAUGAUAAGGACAAAAUAAAGGGUAAAGUGAAUAGUACCAGGAUUGACUUUUUAGUGUAAAAAUGUGAUUUUUCGUUAAAGUGAACAGUACCGGGUGUUUUUCGUUAAAGCUCCCUUAUUAAAGUCGAGAACGCCAUUAGGCGUCUAAGUUGACUCCGACCGCACAAUGUUGGAAUAUGCUUUGGUUUCUCCCUCUGUGAUGCUAAACACAAACAUCUACUCUUUUACCCUAAACAUCAUCUUGUCUCCCUUUUUCUGCAGGCGAAGCAGUGAGAAGCUCGGGCUUGCGGAAAUUUACGUUCAUGCAACAUAAACGACAGGAAAGGGGGAGGAGGUGGAGCGGUUGGCGAUCCAUGGUUACUGAAUUUUUGGUUGUACGAACCAAGAAUGUGUAAUUGUAGAUACCAAUAAUGGUUGAAACAACAUUUCCACCUGUUAAGAAAGGGAACUAGGCAGUUGUGUUUUUUGUUUUUUUCCAUAUUUUUGUUUGAUGAGGUUGGAGAGAGAAAUAUUUCAAUAAAAAGCAGGGAUAAUAAUAAUGAUACAUGAGACUGUAUCUAUCUUUAUAUCUAUCUAUCUAUCUGCCUUGAGAAAGCAUCAAUGUCAAUGUGGACCUUAUAGAGCAUAUUCCAAUUGGGUUGGUGGUAGGUAUGCUUCAUUACACAUCGUCCACCUGGUGUAGUUUUUGUUUGUUUCAUGGGUGCUUAACUUGUGGUCGGAGGAGGCUGAAAUACCUUUUACUUUUUUCGGCCCUUAGAAGGGGGUGGAUAACUGUGACUUGCCACCAGUUCUUUCUUUUUUGAAAAUAAAAAGAAGGAGGAUUUAGUGCCUCUUUUAAUUCUAUUUUUUUUGGUAAUCUGGGGUUUGAACACUGAACACCCCCAAAAACACUAAAUAUUCUGAGAAGUGCAAACUAGGCGGUUACUAGCAAUUCCCAAAAGGGGUGUGCUAUCCACAUCCCAUUUUACUUCUCACACUCCCUGAUAAUUUGUCUCUGGAUUUUCUUUAAUUCAUCCGUUCAGACGAUCGAAAAUUAAAAAGGUGUGUGAGAAGUGAAAUGGGGUGUGUGGAUAUCACACCCCUUCCCAAAAUAUCGUCUAACAAAAGAUCACCAAUCCAAACAAGAGGUUCUUCAAGAAAACAAAAUCCCAAAUCAAGAUUGAAGUUCCAAUUGGCUAGACAGUCUACAACGGAAUUCUUCUGUGUAAAUAUGCGUGAGUUGAGAGUAUUCACGGCCGCUCAUGUGUAUUUGAGACUUAAUCAAGUUGAUUAAAGUAGUUUGUUUCGACUUUUGCACUCCAGUUCGAAUAUCCUUCUCCAUAAACCAUCUAAUACCGAACUGUUUAUUUGGGGUGUUCUUCUUGAGAGCUUUAGUUUUAGGUUAAUAGAAGCUUACAAUAUUUAAGAAUAUUUCAAUCAUAUUUAUAGUAGUGCACCUAAAUCAAAGAAAAAUUACAUACCAAUGCCAAUAUAUGUAAAGUUAGCAGCUGUGCGCAUAUCCCGCAUAGUUCUUAUCAAAGUUUUUAAAAAUGCUAGGCGUUAGUCGGGCGGCCGACUGGAGCCUAAGCAUGCGCCUAGGCGAACUCGACAUUUUAACUGUUAAAUUUUGGAUAAAAAGUCCAAAUUUAUAAUUCAACGGUUAAAAAAACAGAGUAUUCUAUUUAACAGAGCUUCAUAAAAUUUUUGUUGACCAAUUGCUCUUAUAUAACAUGUUAUCCAGUUUAGUAACAUGAACUUCACACCAGAUAUCAUUCACUCUAAAAGUUUUUCUUCUCUUUUGACUUCCGCCUAUAUUGUCGGCUUAAUUUUAAAUGGGCCCUUUCAAUUUAAAAAAGAAAAUCAAUCCAUAGAAGAUGUUCGUUGACAUCAAAUUGUCUCAGUUUAAUUACACAAUAUUACGCGUAAGUUUCUCUUUACAUGAUAUUAUAUUAUUGGCGCGAGACCUCACCAUAUCAAUGAACUCGCUCUUUACAAAUUGCUCUCGACACAAGACUAACACUCUUUGAUAAGAGAAAUAUGAGACCAACUAUCAUAACCGGUGUGAUUUUUUAUUUUUUUUAAUAAUAAAAAAUUGAUGUUAUAGUAGUAUUUUUUUUCACCUGUAGUUGAGUGAGAAGUUUUUCAUUGGCAAAGCAAAUUCAAACUAAAUUAUUAUCGAUAGCUUAUUAUGAUAACUUAUUGUGAGGUAACUUACUGUAGUACAAAUAAUAUCAAAGGAAAACUAACGAAAAGUCUAAAAAAACUUAUGUUUUAACGAAAAACUCUUUUUAAAUGUAUAGUGAAUAGUGCUAAUUGAAGGUAAAAAUAUAAUUUUUUGUUAAAAAUGAACAGUACCGAAAAUAUUUAGGGUAUUAAAAGAAUUACCCUAUACAAGUUGUCCAAAAAAAGUUUGGGUUUACACUCAUCGGGUUUGUCUCUUUGUCCAACCCAAGAAACACGAGUAGCGGUGGGAAAUGAUCACCGGGGAGUGGGGACGGAUAUCUACGGUUACGUUUAAAUGAAUACCGACAUAACUCUUUAGUUUUUAGCCGUUGAGUAAUUUCUUAAACAGUUAACGACGUGCCGUUUUUGCCCGGUUGAUGAAAUUUUUGCUUCAGUCGCAGUAAAUAAAUAAAAAAAGGGGUUCCAUUCGAAUUUUGCUACGAACGAAAAGCAACACACUUCGGAUUUCGUUCGUUUUCUGAGAAAAACGAAAAAAAUGGGCGAUUGGGAGUUGCAUCUGAGAAUCCUUUCAAGCAGUGCCAGAGACUCCAAUGUCGCGAACGAUCCCGCUUCCGACUCCUCUCUUCUCCAAUCCGUCAGUCCCUCUCUCUCUCUGCAUCUCAUCAUUUCCCUAACUUUCUGUUUGUUUCCCGAGAAAAUAAUUGAAAAGCAGGGAAACCCAGAAAUGAGCUUAAUUUUCUUUUCAUUUUUCUGAUUAAGGGGGAAAAAUUGGUUCUUUUUUGUUUGAUUAAAUGUUGAGCAGGUGAAGAAGCUGUAUGAAUUGUGUAAAGCUGAGAAUUCAGAGGAUUUGGUGGCGAGAGUUUACACGCAGAUUAACAAGCUCUUUCAGCGCUCGGUGGCUUCGCUGUCUCAAUCUCGAACCUCCAUUGGCCUUCUACUGCUGGUUCGUUUUUUGGUCCCAUUCGGAUUUUGAGUCGUAUUUUUGUUGCAUUGCUAUCCUAAUUUUGUUUAUUAUUCACUUAGCUCUAUGUUGUUAACUGCAAAUUUCGCUAUUUUGUUCCGUUUUGUUUAAUUGCUGAGAAAGGAUUAGGAAAAUAAAACAAAUGUUGAGCAUUAUCAACUUAUCAAACAGUGAUUUUAGAACUUGUGGGAUGGAAAAUGGUAUAUGGGAUGUUUACAAAAGUCACAAUAUAGAUUAUCCCGGGAAUCCUCUUUAACAACUGAUUGGAGCGAGCGCACUUUCUAAGUAACAUUCUAUAGUUGUUUGGGCCAAAUCGCAAGAAAUGGCACUCGGCAGAGCAUUUAUUUGAUGCUUAAGGUUUCAACUCCAUUUAAGUCUUUGACUUUUGUAUGCGUAAGCAUUCAGUGUGAUUUGUUUUGGAAGUAUACUGCGAGUGCUUUUUACCGGGUUACCUAAGGUCUGAGCUUUCCCUUGCAGAAUGAGAACUGAAUGCUUGUUCUCUAGGGCAUGUGCUUUUAACGUGAUGGAUUUUCUGAAGCAGUUUCAUAGUUUAAGGAGGGGGGGGGGGGGAGUUAAGAUGUAAAAGGGAGUCUCUUCUUUCGGUGUCUAAUAGAUUUUGGUUUUUUGAAAGAGUGUAUGAAAGGCAUAUAGUUGAAAAAUAAUUUUAUGAAAUUUAAUGCUGUAAACUAGCUAAGUUGUAUUUUCUGUUAGUGUAAUAGCUAAUUCAGUUUUCCAAUCUAUUAGUUUUUUUUAUUGAUAUAACCCCUGAUUUUCUAUCAGGCCAUUCUUCAAUUUUACCUUGACUUUGGGGAGAUGGUUCUACAUGAUGCUGACCCCAGUCUCAGGACAUUUUUCCGUUCAUGUUUGAGCCGGUGAGUGAUGUAUUUCAUUUGAGAUUAGUGUCUAGGCUGAUUAAAAGUAUAUGAUAUUGUGUGCCAUUUGGGUUUUUUUUUUUAUCCAUAUUGAUAUAUACCUAGUCAUUAGUUGUGUGAUAUGGAAAGUUACUUAGCAUUUGCUUGGUUUUUACCAUAGGAAAAGAAGAGAAAUUAUGGCAAGAUUAAUGUGCAACGUAUGUUAUUCUGUAGUUAAAGAUGAAAUGGAAGUGAGGAAGAUUUUUAUUUGUUACUUAAGUUGUUUUAAACUCCCCAAACCAUGAAACCUGAGGCCCAAGUCUAUUUUAAGAUCCAAUGGUCAAUUUACGAGGGAGAUGAACUGAAAAAUGACGUACUUUUUAUUGGUUAACAGAAGUAUGACGCACUUUGCUCACCUUGUCCUCCUUUAUAAAAACCUUGAUCAUCUUGUUUUUUUCAUGUCAGUUUUGAUGGUCAACAUGUUCUUAACUGUAUACUCUAUACAUGGACUCAUGCCAGACUUGUCCAAAAUUUUAUUACUAUCUAUCAGCUUAAAUGUUAAAUCAGACAUAAGCCAUGGUGUCUUAUCAAAGGAUAUUGUAGGUUGCUUUAUGAAAUCAACAACAAGAAGCAAGUAUAUUGACCUGGAAAUUAUUCUCUAGAUUCUUUUGUACGUUGAAGAGAAAGUUACAAAUGUUAAACUUCAAAAAGAUGGGCUAACUAAGUUUCAUUUGCACUACUUGCCAUUUUGUGUUGGAAUAAGCAUUUGUUUUUUUGCUUAUAUUCUUACAUUUUUUUUCAUUCUUCUUAUAUCAAAUCUAACUACAAAUAUGAUGGCCAUCACAUGUCAAAUUUUUCUAAUCUGGUUGCAGUGAGUUUGCAGAUCCUGUUGUCGCAGAAUCAACCCUUGAAUUUCUGAACGUCAACAAGAAAAAGCUUUUAACUUCUUUCCCUACCUUACUGCCUCAAGUAUGACCGAUAUUCUCAGGGUUUUCUGUUUAUGAUAAAAAUUGUUAUGUAGUAUACCUAUUAGAAAUGUAUGACAUAAGUCUUUAUUUUGAUAUUGUGCAAAGGUUGUGGAGGUACUUAGCAAUUGUGGUGGUGUUUUCAUGUACUGCAAUACACACAUUCACUUGUAAAUUACAAAGAACGUCAGUGAACAUGCUGUCUGAGUUAAAAUACUGCUUCUACAUUUGAAAGCCACAAAAUUGAACAGUUGGACCAUGCUCAUUAAUUGUGAUGUUAUCUGUGGAAUGCAAGACUAUUGUGUAUUUGUACUUGUUUUGCUUCAUAGAUCUUUUAAGUUCUUGCUGCUUGACAAUGUUCUCAUCCUUGUGAAGCUCUCAAAUAUCCGAAGGAAUUAAAACAAAAUCAGACCCAUUGUGGUCAAAUAUUUCAUCUUGAAUUUUAUAUGCUUUUGUUCCCUUCUUGCUUUUUUUUUUGUUCUUUUAUGCUUUUGCAGGAUCCGACCAUAAUAUUUCUUUCAAUAGCUGGAUAUGUAUCUCUAACCUUAACAACUUCUAUGCAGUUCUUUCCCUUGAUGUUAAAGUUGAUUGCAUGGAAUGGGGAAAAGUGAGUUCUACAGCAAUUAUAAUUUGACUUAGGGCUCAUGUUCAAAGAUGUAUAUACAUACAUAUGAUGUUUCGAUGUUGUCAGUUCUGAACACACACACACACACACACACACACACACACACACACACACACACACACACACACACACUGUGACACAUGUACGUACAUAUGAUGUUUCUAAGUUGUCAGUUCUGAACUUCUGAUGGUAAGCUGAAGACACACACGCACACACACACGUACGUACAUACAUAUGAUGUUCUAAGUUGUCAGUUCUGAACUUCUGAUGGUACAACUGAAGAUAGACACACACACUCACGUACGUACAUAUGAUGUUUCUAAGUUGUCAGUUCUGAACUUCUGAUGGUACAGCUGAAGAUAGACACUUGUGGAUAUGCACAUUACAAAGAUUUUUUUUAUGUUUCUAUUGUCAUUUAGCUUUAAAGAAAAUUGAUGAAUUUUAUUUUAAUGAAUGUCCACUUCGUUGUUUUCCCUGCAGGUUAGAAAAGUCAUAUAUGAAAGUUUUUCCAGGGUUGAUUUCGCCUGGGUCAUUUCUUCCAUUAUUUCCAGCUUUGGUAGACUUGCCAAGUAAGCAUGAUUAUUCAGUUCACCUUUGUCCUCCGUUUUCACCAUAUUUCUUUGAUGUCACAUUGUCUCUUGGCUUCUUUUACCUUAUAAGGCUUUUACUAUGUUGCAUGUAUAUGUGUUUUUCAUCUGUUGUUUCUGUUAUGUGUGGAGUUAAUUGAUUCUAGAUCCUUAUCUUUAAAAUAUUUCUUGUAUAUAACUGAUCUGAAAUAUUUAUCUAGCCAUCAUAUAAAAUUUAUAAGUUGUUAAGCUGAUAUGUCAAGUGCUAAGUCUGAGCAUUCAGCUUAUGCCUUACCACUUUUGAACAGACUGUCAUUAUGCUGAAAAGAAAAGGGUGAAAUAAUGGGCUUAUUAAUUUAUCUGUUUUUUCCGAACUGAGUUCUUGUAUUUCAAAUUUGUUUACUCUUUUUGUUUUUUUUCAAAAUAUAAAAACUAUUGGUUCAUGGUAGCCCAGUAAUUUGGGCUUGGCUGGGUGUGCUUUUAAGCCUUUUUUCAAUUGGUUUUUCUUAGUUUCCUCUUAAAGUAGCCUGAGAUUUAUCAUUUUUUGUUUCAACUGUGGUAGUUUUGGUAGUGGCAUUGGAGAAGGUUGAAAAGAGCUCGGGAUCGUUAGUUGGAAACAGCAUUGCAUCAAUGCAGAAGAGUUCGGCUCCCGAGGUUAUUUUUUAGACGUUUGAAAAUUACACGUGUUAACCUAAAAGUUCAGAAACCAUGCAAUCAAAGAUGUGCGUUGAUAUGUUGAUGCAGAUGCUGCUCGCUCUUAUGGAUGAAGCAUAUACUGGUUCAACAAUAGGAGAUGGAGGGGGAGACUCAGAAUCAGAGGACAGCAGUUCAAUUGAUGUUGCUGAUCCUCUGUUCCUUGACCUUCUAAAGGAUGAAAAUGAUGGCAUUGCUGUAAGGAUAUUGUUUCUGAAUCUCAAUUUCCAUUUGCAUAUCCUAAUGUAGAACUGUUUUCCUUUUAAGUUAUAUAAAAGUAAUGUUUCACUUACUUGUAUUCCUCUUCUUUCUUUUCUUUUGAUGUGUCCUUUUUAUCAUUUCAACCGAAUGCAAAUGCAAGACAACAUAAAACCAUUGUUUUCUUGUAAUUACAAGUAAUUAAGUAGAGAUGUGGACUUACUGGUAAACAUUUUUAUGUUCCUUUUAAGCAUGACUUUAAUGUAUAUGUUUCGGACCACCGACAAUUUUCCAAAUCAAGAUUUGAGCAUGUUUCUACAAAUGGUUGGGUAGCAUUAUGUUAUGACAAAAUUUAUUUCAAAUUGAACACUGGGAAAAUAUACUGAGAUUUUAUUUAUGUUGUAUUGCAGGAACGCCAUUGGACCUCUCCUGCGAUGGCUGCAACUUUACAGGCUGUAAUUAAUACUCCCCAAUCUAAUAGGCUGAAAAAUAUACUACGCAUGACACCAUGGUUUCUUGAUGUGUAUUUUGCUAUAGCACUGCGUGAUGUCAAUAAUUGUAUGUGAUAUAGCUCUUAUCCUACAUUAGAGUUUGGUAUAAACUCUUUUGUUUCUAAAAAGUUAUUUUCUCUAUUUUAUUCCAGCUUUGGUCUGUGCAUUGAUACCUCUACUCAUGUCCAGAAAUGCCACAAUAUUUCCUGACAGAAGUUUUUCUUAUGAGGUAUGCAUUUAAAUAUAUUUUAUGUUUUCUUUUGCUGAGGUUUUUGAUGUAGUGCCUUAUUGGCUUCCUAGACAGAAAACUAUGGGAGAUUGAUAUAUUUAUGAUUUUUUAUGCAUGGAAGUGGACCACUCUUCACGUGCACUUCAUUUGAUUUGAUAUUGUCAAAAGAUCAUUCUCCAGCAUCACACCAACACCCUUAGUGAUCUCAUUUUCUUUGAUCUCGGGUUACAGUUUAGUUAGGGACUCAGGGGUCACAUGAAAUACAGUAAUUGUUGGUCUGGAUUUGGGGAUCAAAUGUGAUGAUUGGAGACUAUUUCUUGCUUUUCAAUAUCCUUGGUUCCUGGUACCCUAGUAUAUAUUGGUGUUACAUUUUGUCUAUACUCAUUUUCACUAUAAUUAAUAUCUGUUGGUAUCUUUUGUGCAAAAAAUUCGUGUCCAUGUCCUGCAAGAUAAGAUGCUUUUCGAAUUAUGAAAUGUGUGAAAGUAAUCGUGAUCAGUUCAUAUAAUGAAAUAUUAUUUAUAGCUAUAUAUCAUAAGUGUUUCUGGUGAACUUUAAAGUCUGAUUGACCGUCUUGUCAUCCUUUGUCAUGAGUGGAUAAUCUUAUUUCUAAAUUUUUUUCAUUUCUGUAGGUUCGUAAGAGGCUAUUAGAAUUCAUGCUUGCUGCAUUUCAGCGCUCUCCAGAUUUUAUUGCACUUUUGAAGGUACUGUCCAAAAACAUUUUGCCUCUAGGAUCUUUAUUGUACUCUUUAUUUCAGCUGUGUAUGUUUUAAAAUCCAUUAGAAACAGUUGGUGGCACGGUUCUCAAGGUAUGUGAUUAGAAAUUCUUAGUAAGGUAAGUGAUUAGAAAUUCUUGGUAAGGUAUGUGAUUGGAAAUUCUUAAUAGAAAAGAGAAAUGCACGAGUUUGAGCAGACAGGAGGUUGAAGGAAUGGAUUUUGGUUAUUGGGGGUCUUGGUUCAUUCCUUUAAUGGUUUAAAGGGAAAAGUAGCCGAAGUGCAAUAUCCAACUUGUUACUUACCUAGUAGUAGACUCAUGUUUAAUUUUAUUAAUAUCUAGUCGUCAGAUCUUUUCUGUUCUUCAUUGAAAGAGUUUACAAUGUGAUUUCGAUCUUUGCAGAAGCCUAUAAUGGACAGGCUAGGGGAAGCUUAUGACAGCCCAGAAAAGGUCAGUUGAUCACUUCACUGUGUGUUGAAGCUUGUUUGUGUAGUAGUUUGUGUCUGAGUAUGUUACAGUUUUCUUUUCCUAUAGACAGAGUUGGCAUUACAAUUGUGCUGGGCCAUUGGAGAGCAUGGUGGGGGUGGACGAUCUCACAAAGAUGAAGCUCGCGAGCUUUUUGAGAGUUUAGAGCUACUCUUGUAUGAAAACCUUUCAUCUAGGUAAGAAAUAAACCAGCAGUUUGAUUUGUGUCUCAUUUACGUCCUUAGCAAUGUCGACUAAAUGUCUGCUGACUUUUCUAUUUUCCUUUUGUUUUCUUGUGAAGUCGUCUAGGCCUGGGACAGGAAUCAACCUUUAGCUCUGAUAAUCAAACUUACCGAAAGUCAUCACAAUCAAGGCUUCUAUGCUUUGUUGUUACAGCCAUUGCAAAGUUGGCCACCAUCCACCGUGAAUUGCUGCCUAGGGCACAUUUUUCCUUGGGCAAGGUUUGGCUUUCAGAUUUGACCAUAAGUCUAGCUAUUUUCCUUGCUAGAAUAAUGUGUGGUUUUUCAGUUACAAUUUUCGUAAGAGAAAAUUUAGCUCCUAUGUAUCAUAGUGAGAUUGGUGGAGUUAUGUAGAAGUAUAUUAUGCUGUCAAAAUUAUCUCAGCAGCUCACGUUCACUAAAUUGUUUUGUAUCCCCAGGUAGCUCGCUCUCGAAUAUCAGAUGAGAGGGUCUGGAGACGGGCUCGUGAUUAUUUGGGCUUAAUGACAGAACCUGCAAUUUCCUUGUCUGUCUUGGGGCCUUCCCGGCCUUCAAAUGGACAAAUGCAGAACCGCGGUACUGUCAAGUGGAGUGAUGGUGCAUCAAAGAUGAUUGCACAUGUUCCAUUUUAUAUUCUUGGUGAACAAGAAGGUCAGGAUCCUUAUCGAAACCCUUUCUUUUUUUUUUUCUUUUUUCCUGGCCGAAUAUUCUUAUUUGAACCUGUUUUACUAAAACUCUGAAAUAGUUGCACGCGUCCUUAAACAUGUCCUCUCCGAGCAUUGAACUUAGGUCAACAUGUCAAUUGAUCUGCACCAUCACAUGCCGUUGCCUUUUGAAAAUGAUUUUUCUUAUUUAUAUUCCCAAUACUCACUUAGUGGGAUGUGGCUUUGUAGUUGUUGACGUUGUUGGGCUAGGAUUAUGAACGUAUAAAAUAGAGAUGGUAAACAACACGCGGAAAAUGAAUGAGUGCGUGGUUACACUGCCUACGAAAUUUGGUUACUCUGGUUCCAUUACGCUAUACUUUUACCAAGUGCUGAUUAAGUACAACAUAUACUUCAAUGCAAUUAUGCUAUGUUUUGCAGAGAUCCGUUCCUAAAUUCGAACUUCGCCUUCUUGCAGGUCCACCCUUCCAUGAUUUUUUGUUCUCGGAUAUUCUUCCAAGAAGAUGAUGAAUGGCGGCGGAUCUUUUUCAGGGUGUAUGUACUUUGUAAUUUCUGUAAGAAAUCUUAAUUUACAGAUUGUAUUCGUUCUUUGUUCUCAAGAUAGUAGUUCUAGUUUGUACAUUGCCUUUAUACAAUAUGGUUCUAUGAAUGUGUAAACUGUGUUAGCCACUCUGCUUAUAGCUAAUUGGUUAUAUUAUUUUUUUGAAAAUAGUUAAAAAAACCGUUUCUUAUUUUAUGAUUUCCAUUUUUUUUGUUUGUCCGUAAAUUUAUUGCAAGCACCUGAAAUCAUUGGAAGACAUAAGGCCUGUUUGGUGGGCAGGAUAGGAUGGGUUAUUUCCAAUUAAAUUGGAGUUGUAGCUCAGCCAAUAUUUGGUGAAUUGGCUACAAAUCUGAAAUAAGGGAAAAUAUGAUGGGUUAUGUAACCCGACCACACACAUAGGCCAUAUAACCCAUCGCUGCCAAUCUAAUCAUGUUCCUAAUGUUCAAUCUCAUUCAGCCCACGAAAUGGGCAUGAUGCGUUUGUUGCACUAUACUAUUUUGGAUUGGCCUAACUUCAGAGACUAAGUUGGACUUGCUUAGAAUAGAUUAAACUUGACGGACUUAAUGAAGUGUUCAGUGCAGUGUUAGAUUUAUUAUUAAUUCUACUUCCACCCCCACCAAAAUACUCUUCCUCUCUCAAAACCUCCAUCUUUUUCAACCUCUUUCUCUCUGUCUCACGCUCUGCCUUCCUCCUUUUUCUCCAAUUAAAUUCUAAUCGAGCUUGGUUGUUGGGAUUUUUGUUGGGUGGGCAUGGAAGCCCAAUGGGUGAGCUUGGUUGGUCAAGAUCUUUACGAUUUUGAGUCUGAGCUUGUCGAAGUGGGGCUUUGUGCUUGCAGCAGUCGUCGUUGAAGUGGGGAUUUGGGUCACUUUUGGCUGUCGUUGCGCUUGUUGCUGCGCUCCUCUAUUGCGAUGGGAAUGUCGACGUUCUUUAAAAAAUUCCGUCUUUUGGGGAUUUGGGUUUCAACGGCGAUGCAGGUUAGCCGUUGAUUGUCUACUUGUUGGAAGGCUACAAGGACGAUGCGAAGCAGACUAGAAACCUGGAUGAGCUUGAGGCGAGGCGAGGCGAGGCGAAGCAAAGCAAGUGUAAGAGACAAUAUUAGCAUCCUCCUUUUCAUAGACCCCCUAGCGAAGCGCCCGCAAGUCUGACUUAGGGUUGGUUUGGAGUGAGCUGCUUAAAAAAAAAAAAAAAAAACACCCAUGAAAAAAAAAAGUUGUGAGGAUUUUAGGUGUUUGGUAAACUGAAAAAAAAGGCUUAUUUUGGAAGCUGUGAGAAUAAGCUGAAAUCAAAGGAAAAAGCUGAAGCUGCUAUUUGCAGCUUUGGAAAAAUGGCUUUUUUUCAAAGCACACAGAGUUACAGUGCUCCUUUAAUGAAAAGACCCACUAUUAGACUGUUUUUUUUCUUUCCAAAAGCACUUUUACAAAAAUGUUUACCAAACAUUCUGCUGAUUUAUUUCACAGCCGCUUAUUCUUUCAAAAGUUUUUUUUCAAAGCACAGCAAUACCAAACCAGUCCUUAGUCUCAUUAAACUUAGCUCCUUCUUGCACCAAACACGGACUAGGAAUCGUAGUCAGUCAAGUGAAACUUAAGGAAGCCAAACAAACAAGCCCUAAGGGUUUGUUUGGAAAUCUUUUAAAAUGGCUGAAAGUAAUUUUGUUGAAAAUAUUUUUAUAACAAAUCCUUAGUAAAAACACAAGUGAAUAUUGAAAAAACACUUGAAGUGCUUUUUAGAGGAAACACAUAACUGAUGUUUCAAGAAGCACUUCAACUGCUUUAGAACCCAAAAAUAUUUUUUCUAAAAGCGCUUCGAGUCAUUUUAAAAGCACUUCUAAAAAAGCUCCAACUAGUUCAUUAAUAAGUAAUGCUAGAAAAAUCACAUUUGUGGAUCACGUUGAUCUUUAGUACGUAUACUUGUGCGUCUCGCCUUUAUUCGAGAUGUGGUCUAUAUGUGCUGCGUGAUAGUUUAGUGUUUACUGUACCCAUGUGAAGUGUUGCUUUGUGAUUUUGUGGGAUACACAACCCAUUAAAAAGAAGAAUUGGAUCAAAAUGACUAAGAGCACAACUCUUCUAAGGAUCUAAUCGACUGAAAACAUUAAGAAAAUUGCUUUUGGACGAAGCAUACAUCCUGGGAACGCCACUCUCGGAUGGAUUGAAAAUCCUGGGAAGUUAGAGAAUAGUGAGACUGAAAAUGCUUACGCACUUGACAAAGAACAAGCCCCUUCUUUCCCCAUCCUAUGAAAUACUACAUGACGAGACAAUCAAUCUCUUGAGAAUAUCUCUAAGGAAAGUCCUGAUAGUUGUCAGUUUUGUUUAGGAUGAAAGCAAUGGAGAAAGAAAUUAACACGCUUGAUAAGAAACAUACAUUAAACAUGGUUUUAUCGCUGAAAGGAAACAAGACGGUGAUAUACAGAUGGUUAUUCAGUAUCAAACAUAAGGUUGAUGAAUUGAUACAACAACACAAGCAAGACUUGUGAAAAAUGGGUACACUGACAAAAAGUGAAAAACAUUUUUUAUGUGAAGAACGUUUUUCUUCACGACGACCUCUUGUUGCUAAUUUUGAUGUGAAGAACAUUUUUCUUCACAGUGAUCUCGAUGAAAAGUGACUAUCUUGAUCAUUUAUGUUGAUGGCAUGAUUCUUACGUUUAAUGAUGAUGAAGAAAUUCAUAAACUGAAAGGAAUACAUGAAAAUCGAGUUUGAGAUCAAGGAUGUCGGAGGACUCAAAUAUUUUUGGAAAAUAGGGUGAGUUUGUUGAUAGAAAUAUGAACUUGAGUAACAUGUAUGCUUGAUUACAAAUUCACAGAUUCACUAAUUGUUUGAACCAUCACUUAAAGAAUAUUACGACCAAGUUCUGGCUAAUUAAGAACAGUACAAAAUGUAUGGUGGGAGGGUGAUUUAUUUGUCACAUACAGGACAAAACAUUGCAUAUGUCAUAAGUGUGUAAGUUAGUUCAUGCAUUUUCCUACUAAAGAACACAUGAAUCUUGUGGUUAGAAUUUUUUUUAUACUUGAAAUCAGCUCCAAGUGAGGCUCGUGUUUCAAAGCAUUGUUAUUUGAAUGUGGACGAUACACUGAUGUUGAUUGGACAAGGAAUAGAACUCAUAAAAAAAUCUAUAUCUAGUUACUUUAUGUUUAUUGAGAGUAAUAUGGUAAUUAAGAUUGCGAUCAACUAUCAAAUAUUCUAACAAAGAUUGUGUAAAACAAAGGGUUUACAACACAAUUGACAAUUCGGCCCUGAAGACAUAAAUUAUCAACAUAACUAAACCUAACGCUCAAACAUACAAUCUCAUAAAUCGUUAACUUUACUUCGUAUAUAAAUAUUCUUCUUCUAUUGAGAAAUAUUGUUGAAAGAAAAUUAAAUAAGUUUCUUGGCAUAGUAAAUGUUACGUGUGAAUUUAUCCAUUUUCAUAAUCUUUAGUACACAAAAUAGUAAAAUAUAAGUACAUAAAGUAGAAUAUAAAUUGUGUGAGGUGCACAAUACAAUAUUAAACUUUAUUAAUUCCAUGUUAGACGUACUUCUUUCGAAAAUGAGGUUAUAGCAAUACGUAGUGAGUCCAGCCGGCCCAGAUUAGUCAUUGGGGAGCACUUCUUGGCCUCAAGCCUGUUAUUGGCUAUUUUAUUCAAAUUAAUAAAUAAUUAAAUAUGAAUACAUUAUGUUUAGUUUUCUAGUAAUUUUUUUAAGAAGAUAAAUUCCUUAUUUCUCAAGAUAUUUGUAUUUGGAUUGACCAAGCUUGAUGAGGAAUCAAGUUUGACGGUCAUUCUUAAAGAUAUCAAGGCUACUAAUGUGUUGCUUGAUGAAAUUUUAAUCCAAAUAUGUCUAACUUUGGAAUGGCCAAACUUGAUGUAGGAGUUAAAACCCACAUAAGCACCUAUAUUGCUAGAACAUUGUGAGUCUCUAUAUUUUAACUUAUCUUCUUAUAUUUGUCCUUCCAAUAUAGUUGUAUUACUGCAUAUAUGUACAACUAUUGUAUUGAUGUGAACUUUCAAUUAAGAGAAAAAUACCCUACUUUUGUAAGAUAUUUUCUUAAGCUAAACAAUUUCAUAAUUUCAUGAUUUAAUUUGGAGUGAAUAUAUGGCACUGGAAUAUACAAUUCGAGGUUAUUUGACCAAUAAACAAAUGUUUAUAGCUUUGGAAUUGUUGUAUUAGAGGUCAUUAGUGAGAAGGAUUGAAGUCAGUAGACAAACGAAAAGACUUUUAUAUUCUUGAUUGGGUAACUUUCUAAUUGGAAAUCUAUUUUGAUUUUGUUGAAAGUUCUCUUGUUUUUUUUAAAGGUAAAUAACUUAGUGUGCUUUUAUUCGUUUCAUGUUUUAAGGCACAUGUACUAAAAUCUGACGGGGAUUUGAUGAACCUAGUGGAUCUAAGGUUGGGAUCAAACUUCAAAGGAAGAGAUGACUGUUACAAUCAAUGUGGCUCUUCAUUACUCUAAUGCUACUUCAAAACUUAGGCCCAUCAUGCCUUUAUUUGUGAGCAUGCUUGAAGGCAUGGCAACUGUUCAAGAGUUUAUCUCAGACCCAAAUCCCUCAUCAAGUAAUGAGAUGGAUGCAAGGAUGAAGAAAUGUUUUCAAUCCUAUUCAUAUCGCCGAGACACUAGAAAAGAGAGAAAAUGACAUAGUGUUUGAUAGAUUAUCAACAUAACUAAACCUAACGCUCAAACAUACAAGCUCAUAAAUCAUUAACUUUACCUAUAUAAACUUUCUUUUUUCUGUUUAGAAAUAUUAUUGAAAGAAAAGUUAAUUGUUUCUCAGCAUGGUAAUAUUUAUGUGUGAAUUCAUCUAUUUCCAUAAUCUUUAGUACAUCAAAUAGUACAAUACAAGCACAUAAGUAGAUUACAAAUUGUAUGAUGUGCACAAUACAACAUUAAACUUAUUAAUUUCAUUUUCAAGGUACCAUUUUCAAAAAAAUGAGGUUAUAGCAGUACUUAGUGGGUUGGACCAGCCCAAAUUAGUCAUAAGUGAGCACAUUUCAGGCUCUAGCCCGGCUAUCUUAUUUAACUUAAUAGAUAAUUAAAUAUUAAUAUAUUGUAUUUAGUUUUCUAGUACUUUUUUUAGAGACGAUAAAUUCCUUAUUUCCCAAAGACAUCUGAUUUUGGAUUGGCCAAGAUUAGUGAGGAAUUAAGUUUUAAGGCUGUUUAUACCAUAUUUAGGGCCUCCGUAUUUAGAUCUCGUAUAAAUACUCGGAGGACUUAAAUGUAAUUAUAUAAUAAAGGAAGGAGCAAAUAUAUAAUAAGCGAAGAGCCCUUAUUCUAUAAAAGGACUUAUCACCCUCACAAUUAGGAGAGACCAAUUUCUUAGGCCAUGGAAAGGGUCUCUCACCCUCAGAAGCUCUCUCCAUCUCUCUCCCUCACAAACAGAUAAAUAUAUAAUCAGUGUGGACGUAGCCCAAACCUUGGGGUGAACCACGAUACAUCUUGUGUUAUUUACAUUUCUUACAGAUUCACGGUCGGAUUUACGUUGUUCCAAGACCUCGGGUUUUGUGCAACAACAUUUGGCGCCGUCUGUGGGAAACGAUACGAAAAGUUAUGUCGGUUCUCUCUCAAUUUUUCACCUCCACUGUGAAUCUGCAAGAACCAUAAAAAUUUCAGAUUUUCGUGGUUGCUCAAAGCUGUUGCUCAAAAAUUCAGAUGAGCCAACUUUCUUUUCAUAUGCUCAAAGCCUGAAAUUGGAUCUCCGUGGUCUUUACAGAAAUUUGCAAAUUACCUCUUCCCAAUUUUGUACCCUAUUCAUGUCCAACACAACCGUAACACAAUCCCUCAGAAACCCAUCUGCCUAGAAUUCCAGAAAGGUGUCAUAGCUCCGCCCCACAAAAUCCUCGUGGAGACCCUGCCCUCUGAUUCUUCCAAAUAGGCGAGCUUGAUUCGUGUACAGUGAUGGUGGUGGCCCAGAUAAAGUCGGGUUAGGUUUGGCAACCCAGAUCCCGUAGCGACGCCAGAUCUACGACACGUCCUUCGCAACCUUCCACGUCGUCGAGCUCCUCUCAUCCACCCGUUUCUCCCAUAAGAAGAUCGCCUAGGAAAGUGAGAGAACUCUUCCGUCGUCACUCUAUUUGGUUCGAAUCUAUCUUGUCUCUCUUAGUUGGCGUAGCCAAGGAGUUCACUGACGAGCUCGGGUUCUUCAGAUCCACCACAAACGGCGCUAAAGACACCGUCGCCGAUUUUAUGGGCGUCCUAAUCGGCUCACUGUUGCUUUAUUUUGUCAAGUAUGUGACUCGACCUGAGAAGGAGACGGGUCAGAUUAGAGAAGUUUCGAUGAUUUCAAAAGGUGCUGCUUGUUUGGCUUUGAUUGCUUUUUUUGUUUGGCUGAGGAACACCGGGUUGAAGCGGUUGGCGAACGCAGUGCUGAGGAAGGAGCUGCAGAAUCCGUCAUAACCGUUGGCUCCCCACGACCACCACGUCAGCGCAAAGCUGCUUUGCCAUCUGCAAAGGACAUCCCUCGGAUCUCCAUUCACUACUUUCGUCUCCACCUUAACAUCCUGAUAGAGGUCCCUGCACGUUUUCUUGGCCUUCUGCAUCACGCAGUCCGCCACAUCAACACGUCUUCUUGGACCAACUCGAGUACUUCUCUGGUGGGAUCUCGAUUGCAGGUGGGAAGGUAAAUAUCCCAAAACUGUGGCAACAAAACAACUGAACCUACAUUCGCCACCGGAUCCUCCAUUCCGAUUUACCCUUCCGUUUUUCGAUGGCGACUCCCACCGAGUCUCUCCUCUCCAUUGUCGGGUCGGUCUCCACCAACUCCACCAAGAAACGGGUUCGGAUCUUCUGUGAUGAAAUUCCCGCCGUCCUCAGCAACUUCGAAAUUGGUACUGAGUCUGUACUACCAUUGAUAGAUAUAAUCUUUCAAACAUUGUACAUUUACGAUGAUCGUGGGUCAAGGAAAACUGUUGAUGACAUCAUUACAAAAGGUUUACAAGAGGUUUCCUUUAUGAAAAGUUUUGCGGCAGCCCUUGUUCAGGUCAUGGAAAAACAAGCGAAGUUGCAAUCACAUGUUGGCUGUGAUAGACUUCCUCAGUGGUCAUGCCUUUUAUUGAGUAAGAGUAAGUUUGCCACAGUCUCAAAGAAUGCAUUGUGGCCGUUGGUCCUACAGCGAUUGUGGCUGUCGUCACCUCGGAGAAGAUAGUCGUCUCCAAUUGCAGCGAUUACUGCGCUGUGCUUUGGCGUGAAGAAUGGCGCCGUUCGAGUGGGCCAAGGAGAAGGCCCAUAUUUGGGACACCGAUGGCCAGGAAAGCCAUGGGGAAACAGAGAACUUGAGUGCCAUCUGCACUCUGCAAAGUAAAAGUAAAGCAAAAAAAGAAAAAAAGAAAAAAAAGGAGAAAAGAAAAGCAGUGGGAACAGAAAAGCAAAAAGAAAAAGGGAAAAAGAGAAGUGAGAAUGGAUGGGCAUGACAAAAGCAAGUGGGUUUGCAAGCAAAAUAUACCUUACAAAACAAGGUGGACAAAGAAUGAGCGGGGAGAUCAAGAAAAGCAUCAAGAAAAGCAGAAAGCAAAAGCAAGGAAUAAACACCCCACUAGAAUGAUGUGGUUUACUUUCCUUAUUUUUGAAUGAUGUAAUUUAUUUUUCAUAUCUUUAAGAGAUAUCUGUAUAAACCUUAUCAGAGUGUAAUAAAAAAAAAUGGCAAAGCCCAAAAUAAAUGGGUUGGAAUGUUGUGUAGAGGGCGCAGACCCAUAAGCCCAAAAUAGCUCAAACCAAGUGAUCAAAAGUAUGCCCAGUACUUUAAAAUUAUUCAGCAACCUGCCGCUAAUACCACCAAACAGGUGAUCAAAAGUAUGCCUAGUACUUCAAAUUAUACAUGAGCAUUACUCAUGUCAAUCAUACAUAAACAUGCAUGAACAUUACUCAUGUUAAUCAUACAUAAACAUUUAUGAGCAUUACUCAUUCAAUCAUACAUAAACAUUCUUGAGUAUCACUCAUAUCAACAUUCAUGAGCAUCACUCAUGUCAAAAUCAAUGAGCAUCACUCAUAACAAUCGACAUAAACAUUCAUGAGCAUCACUCAUGUCAAUCAGCUUCAAAAGCUUCAUUUACAAAAGCUCCAACUUCAAAAGCUUCAUUUACAGAGUUCCAGCUUCAAAAGCUUCAUUUACAGAGCUCCAGCUUCAAAAGCUUCAUCUACAAAAGCUCUAGCUUCAAAAGCUUCAUCACUCAUGUCAAUCAGCUUUAAAAGCUUCAUUUACAAAAGCUCCAGCUUCAAAAGCUUCAUUUACAGAGCUCCAGCUUCAAAAGUUUCAUUUACAAAAGCUCUAGCUUCAAAAGCUUCAUUUACAGAGCUCCAGCUUCAAAAGUUUCAUUUACAAAAGCUCUAGCUUCAAAAGCUUUAUUUACAGAGCUCUAGCUUCAAAAGCUUCAUUUACAGAGCUCCAGCCUCAAAGCUUCACUUGCAAAGCUUCACCUGCAAAGCUUCAGUGCAGGGUAUACAAAUACCGCCUCCGAAAAACCGUUACUUCGGCCCAUACAUGGAUUCAAUAUGAAGUUUCCAGCCAACAUACUCUAUUGACUGAAGACUUGGGGGACUACACUAUACACCAUAUAUUGGGCCUCAACUGGGCCUCAUGAAAAAUACUUGGGGGACUUAGCCCAUUAUUUAUGUAUUGAGGAGCGAGCCCUUAUUCUAUAAAAGGGACUCCCUCACUUUUGUUAGAGAGCACCCAUUAUUCAUGUACUGAGGAGCGAACCUUUAUUUUAUAAAAGGGACUCCCUCACCAUCAUUAGAGAGCAUUGCCGCCAGCUGAGCAACCGCCUCGCCGCGAGCAUCAUUCAUAACCCAUCACUUAUGUAUUGAGGAACGAGCUCUUAUUCUAUAAAAGGGAUUCCCUCACCAUCAUUAGAGAGUAUCGCCGCCUACUGAGCAACCGCCUCGCCGCGAGCAUCAACUCUAGCCCAUCAUUUAUGUAUAGAGGAACGAGCCUUUAUUCUAUAAAAGAGACUCCCUCACCUUCAACGCCACAAGCCAAGCUAACCAAGGCAACAUUAGCGACAAACCAAGUAGCCUCGCAACAUGUGCUACUUCUAGUUGAGCAUCAUUUCAGAUUGGGCACCGCCUCAUGUCGAGUAUCAGUGCCAGACGCCAUCUAGUUACUUCCGGCCACACAUGGACUGAAUUUCAAGUCUCCAGCUAAAAGACUCUCUUAACUAAAGACUUGGGGGACUACUGUUUAUACCAUAUUUAAGGCCUCCGUAUUUAGAUCUCGUAUAAAUACUCGGAGGACUUAAAUGUAAUUAUGUAAUAAAGGAAAGGGCAAAUAUGUAAUAAGCGAUGAUCCCUUAUUAUAUAAAAGGACUCAUCACCCUCACAAUUAGGAGAGGCCAAUUUCUUAGGCCAUGGAAGGGCUCUCUCACCCUCAGAAGCUCUCUCCAUCUCUCUCCCUCACAAACAGAUAAAUACAUAAUUAGUGUGGACGUAGCCCAAACCUUGGGGUGAACCACGAUACAUCUUGUGUUAUUUACAUUUCUUGCAGAUUUACGGUCGGAUUUACGUUGUUCCAAGACCUCCGGUUUUGUGCAUCAACAAAGGCCAUUCACAUAGAUAUCAAGGCUAUUAAUGUGUUGCUUGAUGAAAAUCUUAACUCAAAGAUAUCUGACUUUGGAUUGGCCAAGCUUGAUGAAGAGGUUAAAAACACAUAAGCUCAUGCAUUGCUAGAACUUUGUAAGUCUCUAUGUUAAUUUAUUUUCUUAUGUUUGUCUUUUCCAUAUAGUUGUACUACAAUAUAUCUGUAUAACUAUUGUAUUGAUGUGAAACUUUCAAUUAGAAGAAAACACCCUGUUUUUUUAAUCUUAGUUAUAUAUAUUUUUUUCUUAAGGUAGACGAUUGCAUUAUUUCAUGAUUUAAUUUGCAAUGGAAGUAUGCACUGCAAAGUGCAAUUUGGGGUUGUCUGAUUGAUAAAGCAGAUGUUUAUAGCUUUGGAAUUACUAUACUGGAGGUUAUUAGUGAGAAGAACUGAAGUUAAUAGAUAAACACAGAAGGCUUUUAUAUUCUUGACUGGGUAACUUUCCUAAUUGAACUUCAAUUUUGAUUUCGUUGAUGCUGUUUACAAGCUAGAUAGAAGGUUUUUAUAUUCUUUUUUUGAUCAAAGUUCUCUUAGUUAUUUCUAAAGAUAAAAAACUUAAUUUUCUUUUGUUCCUUUCAUGUUUUAAGGCACAUGUACUAAAAUUGGACGGGAAUUUGAUGAACUUAGUGGAUUCAAGGUUGGGCUCAAACUUCAACAAAGAAUAGAUGAUGGUUACAAUCAAUGUGGUUGUCCCCUACUCUAAUGCCACUUCAAAACUUAGGUCUACCAUACCUUCAGUUGUGAGCAUGCUUGAAGGCAAGACUACUGUUGAAAAGUUCGUCUCAGACCCAAAUCCCUCAUCAUAUAAUGAGAUGAAUGCGAGGAUGAAGAAAUGUUUUCAAUCCUAUUUGAAAUGGGGCAACUAAAGUAAUAUCGAUUUCUUCAUGUGCACAUUUUCAUGAAAUUCAUUUAAUCAAAUCCUUAUUCAAAGCGCGGAGACACUAGAAAAGAGAGAAAAUGGCAUAGUGCUUGAUAGAUUAUCAACAUAACUAACCCUAAUGCUCAAACAUACAAGCUCAUAAGUCAUUAACUUACCCUAUAUAAACUUCUUUUUUUCUGUUUAGAAAUAUUAUUGAAAGAAAAGUUAAAUAGUUUCUUAGCAUGGUAAUUGUUAUAUGUGAAUCAUCCAUUUCCAUAAUCUUUAGCACAUAAAAUAGUACAAUAUAAGCACAUAAGUCGAAUACAAAUUGUGUGAUGUGCACAAACAACAUUAAACUUUAUUAAUUCCAUUUUAGAGGUACUUUUUCAAAAAAAUUAGGUUAUAGCAGUAUGUAACGAGUCGGGCUGACCCAUAUUAGUCAUAGGUGAGCACGUUUUGGGUUCUAGCCUGAUAUUGACUAUCUUAUUUAACUUAGUAGAUAAUAAAAUAGUAAUAUAUUAUAUAUAGUUUUCUAGUAUAGAGAAGAUAAAUUUCUUAUUUCCCAAAGAUAUCUAACUUUGGAUUGGCCAAGGUUGGUGAGGAAUCAAGUUCGAAAGCCAUUUACAUAGAUAUCAAGGUUAUUAAUGUGUUGCUUGAUGAAACCUUGUAAAGGGAGAACACACCAAACCCAUUAGGAGUUCUAUAAUACUAAAUAGCCUCAUAUAGAAAUACUCAGUUUCUCGUGAUGAUUCAGAACUAAUACGAUUUGGUACAAAUUCCUUUGGUUUAAUGUCCAAAACUAGGAGAAUUUAAUAACACGUUUGUUAUUCUAUUUUAAUUCAACUUUUUAAACUGAAAACUAAUUUUUGAGAUUUAGGUCAUGAUUUCCUAUGGGGUGUGCUAUCCACACAUCCCUUUUUAUUUCUCACAUACUCUUUGUUAAUUUAUGUCCAUUGAUCUUCUUCAAUUCAUCCGAUUUGACGGCCGAAAAUUAGAAGAGUGUGUGAGAUGUAAAAAUGGGUAUGUGGAUAUCACACCCCUUUCCUAUUUGCUAGAAUUUGUUUGAAGAUUGAAUUCAAGACUGACUUAAAAAAUAACUUACUUCUUAAAAAUAACAAAAAAAGAGUUUUGAGAAUUUUUAAAUCUAACUCUUAUAUCUCUCUUUGUCUUAUCUAUUUCUCCUCACCCUCUUUUUCUACUCUAUCCUUUCUCUCUCCUCUCUUUCUUUCUUCUCACUCUUGCUCUCCUCUCUCUCCCUCCUCUAAUAUGUUACUCUCUCUCUCUCUCUCUCUCUCUCUCUCUCUCUCUCCUCUCCUCCUUUUUCUCCCUCUUCUAACUCUGACCCUCUGUCUUCAUAUCUCUUUCCCCUGUUGAAUUUUCCCGACUCCACUAUGGAGUUGUUGUAGGUUGAAGUUUUUUCCUUUUCUUUUUAAAUUGUUAAGAUUUAUUUAUUUUUUAAAAUCUUAUGCCAAAUAAGUUUUUGGAUCUCAAAAACAAUUGUUCUUAAGAAAUGUUUUUAGAAAUGAUAAAUUUUAAAAUAGGAUAUCCACGGGUCCUAAGAUUUCAUUAUUAAUGUUCUUAAGACUGUAUAUACUUGACAUCACUUAUAAUUUCAGUAUUAAUGCUUUCUUUGGCAACUUUCCAAAGAGGAUCUCAGACCAAAGCCAGUGUCGAGAGCUCUUGCAUAGCGUAAGAUGCAAGUUCAAUGAUUUUGAUUGUGUUCAACUGAUCAGUUGCUUCCCACAAGUGUAUGCGAACCAAAAUCGGUGAGUUGGACUUGUGAUAUGGAUGAGUCUUGAGAGGGCCAAAAAUCAAAGAGAUGGGUAAUGACCCACCACAAAUGACACUCAUAUAGUCUUUAACAUGCAUUUUACUACUUGCACAACACGACAUGUAGAAUUUUAUUACAAGAGACUUCAGUACAAUUAUGACUAGUAUUAAAAAAAAUAAAAAACAGAGAUAUAGAAUCAUUCAUUAUCAUAUAUCAAAUUAUAUUAUAUUUUUUCAAUUUAUCCCACUUGGGAUAUUCUUACAUUCUUCAACAUGUGAGUCUUGAUGGAACCUCAAAUCUGAGAGUUUAACUUGUGCUGGUGAACCUUGAGGGGAUGCAGUGGGUUGAGGCAAUUCGUUAAGAUCGAAAUCAUACUUUGGUGUUGAACCUUGAGUUGAUGCAGUAGAUUGAAGCAAGACCCUAUGUUCUAAAUCAUAUUGCAUUGAUGAGCAUUGCGGUGUCACAGUGUGUUGUGGCAAGUCGUUAAGAUCUAAAUCAUAUUGUGGUGGUGACCUUUGACAGGGCGCAGUAGGUUGAGGCAAGUCCCCUUCAUCUAAAUCAUCUUUUGGAAUGCUAUUUAUCUGAAAAUUAGCCAAAAGGUUGAAUAUUGAGUUAAGUAAAACAAAACGAAAACAAACAAAAGCUCAAAGUAAAAUGGAACUUGAAUAUAACGAGAAUACAAAAUGAUGGUAAGGGUAGACAGUUAAUUUGAUGAGAUUGUCAAACUCUUCAUAUUCCCAUCGAAGUAGUCAAAUUGCAAAAGGAAACAUGAAUAUAUACCACAAAUAUAUAAACAGUAAUGUUAGUGUUAUUAUUAUUUAUUUAUUUUGCUGAUUAAUUUUGAGAAUGGGGGGCUGAUUCGUGGCACCAUUUUUUUUACACAAUUUUUGACACACGUUUUUGUAGGGCCUAAUUCAUAAUGUAUUUUAACAAUCUAAAAUGUUUGUGUCCAAAACAUAUGUAAAAAACUGUGUAACAAAAAGUAGUGCCACAGAUCCACCCCAUUUGAGAAACUACAAGUUGGGUAUGCUCUACUAACUGUAGUAAUGUGACCUCAACAAUAUAAUUAGUAAUAUUAUUCAGUCACAAAAUAAAAUAAAACUUCAUUGCUAAUAUAUACUCUCUAGAAAAUGUGAGUGCUCCUAUAGACACACAUAAAUAAGAGAGUAUGCCAACAAUGAGGUAAGUCUUGUAUGCUUAAAUGACAUUACUUGUGCAUAAAACGAUGUAUCACAAACCCCAGUAUUUUAGUUUUUGUUAAAAUUUAUUCAAUUUUUUUUUGUUUUAAAAUUUACCUAAUACCUUUAAAUCGACCCAAAGGUUUAACCCUGAAUCGCUGUAAGCCUCUACCUUAGGAGUACCACUGCUUGAAGCUUCACACACUUUCAUGAAGCUGAAGAAAACAAAAACUCUAAAAUCCAUUAGAAAUCAUGGUGAUAAAUAAUGACAUCAAACUAAACCCCAAAAAAGUACCUAGAAAAGUGAACAACCAAGCUAAGCCUAUAUACAUAUAGUAUACAUAGAUAUGUGCGUCUCUUUCUUGAUCUCUAGCUUAGUGCAAGGAAACUUACUUCAAAACGCGUUGGACCUCAUGAUCUGAUGUUGUUGCUUUAAAUUUCGCAGAAUAAUUUAGAUUUUUGAGAUACUCAUCAGCUUCGGUGCUUGGAAUAGGAGUGUGUUUAGUGUUUCUCCUUGCAGCCAUUUUCAACUGUAAUAACUUGCAUACACCAAAGAAAACAUGAAUCCAUGAGUUUAAACCUAAAAACUUAACAUAAAAAAAUUAAACUUGAAGAAAAUAAUAAUGAAGUGGUUAUGAAAUACAUGCCAUACGCUUGGAGAUGAUAACGGUGAGCGAAACUGAGUAGAUCUGUUUCCAGGCUUCCUCCAACCAAGGAGAAAGGUACUUACUUAGGGUUUUGGGACAAGGAGUUUGCUGCCACUCUUAUAAAAGUGGGCGGCCUCAGGUGCAAAAUGAUUGUGGUCAACUGAUAGCUUAACCAGAAAAGGAAUAUAAUCUAGUGAGACCUAAUUUAUUUGGCCAGAUAAUUGAUGGAUGUUUUACCUAAAAACCUUUGUCCAGGUACAAUAUUCUCAUUGAUUUCUCUAGAAAUUUGAAAUUAUAUAUUUAGCAUUACAAUACUGGCAGCCAAACGUUGUUCAGCAUUGCAGUGAUGAGGGAGGGUGAGGUUGUUGGUUAUGAUAUUUUACCCAAAAAACAUCAAAUUACGAUACCGAAUGGAGAGUAUUAUUUCAUAAGAAGCUAAUAUAGACCCUUACUUAUACACAGUACAAAACACUAUAGAAUCCGCCCCUAAUAAGCCUACUAGGAACCCUUAUGCAUCUAUACUUCCUUAAAUUAAGUUCAAAUAGAAUAAAAAACCCCUUUGCCCUACUCAAAUUCACUAAACCUUAGUGGGCACAAGAUAUGAGAAGUUAAUAUUCCAAAUCCCAGUUGGAUUUCCAAACAAUCUAUAAGCGAUAGGAGACCACAUUAGGCCCCUAAUGAGAUUUCUCCCAAUAUGGUGCGGCAUUUUUAGAAUAAAUAUUGCAACAAAAAUAUCCCCACAUUUCUGUUGCGAAAAGUGCUAGCCGAUUUUUGGCAAAUAUACUUCCAUUUCCAAUCAAGCGAAUCCAAUGCACAUAAAACUAAAAACUACAUACCAUUAAACAAUGGAAUAAGGGUUACAAACGUUGUAGCCUAAACACCAUACAUGGUAUAAGAUAUGCAAAGACCGAAGCUCAUCAACAAAGACUUCAAAAAUCAAGAGGGCUUAAUUACAUGUAUUUACCAAGCUUCUGUAUAUAUAAUGUCAACACCAUUGGGGAAGCUCAAUACUGCAACUACUAAAACUGCCUCCCUUUUUUGGCAUGUACAUGUGUGAGUCUGCAAUUUACAACAUAUAGUUGUUAGAUUUCAUAAUGUAAUCUAUGUUGAGAAAUAUUAAAUUUAAUCUCUAGUGCAAUAUAUGUAUAUAUAGUAUAUAGUCAUGCUCCUUGCCUUAUUUUUCUUGUGGGAAGUGAGUUACUCACAUUCUUUGUUCUCCAUGCACACUCUUAGUCGUGUUUGGCUGAUUAAUUGAAUAAAGUAAAAGAGAAAUGAGGGACAAAAAUAAACAAAGGUAUAAAGAAAGAAGAAAAAAAGUGCAAAAUAUAAUUUCCUUUUCUUAUUACGUGGCUUUUUCCCAUUAUUUUAUGAGCUACUUCACCUUGCAGGAGAUAAACUAUAAAGUAGACAUAGCUAGAUCAUAAACAAAAAGGAAUUUAAAACAUAACCUUAAAGAAAAUAAAUCCUAAAAUCAUAGAAGUAAAAAAAUUAAAGAUCAAUUCCACCAUAUAAUGGGAAAAUCAAAUGAAGUUUCUUCGAAUUUCUAGCACAUCAACUUUAAAACUUCAGAAGUUGAAUAACUCACUGACUUUAGAUUUGGCAAUUAGGUUAUAGAUUGUAAUCCCUCCUCAACUGAAACCACAGUUGAUGCCAGAACAAGUACAUAAGAUUGGCAUGUUGAUGAGCAGACACAUGUUCUUGAGUUGAAGUUCCAACAGCGAUGUGGAAGGCAAUUGUCAAGCGACUUGCCGCCAGUAUCGUCCCGGUGCAUUGGCUUAUCAGGAAGUAUAGAAAACACUGAGGGCAAAUAGCCAAAUUAUCUGGGUUUCCACCAUUUAUGAGCUCCGUCAUGGCAUACAUAUCAAUCGGUGCAAAAACAACGUAUGAGCCUGUUGCGUCAGUAUUGUUGGAAGUUUUGAGACUCUUGUCCUACAAUGGGGAAAACAAGAUUCUCAAGGGCCUUUAUAUAGAUUUAGUGCUUUAGUCUAGUAAUUAGAAUAUGGGCCAUUUGGAAAUGGAUUGAAUGCUUGGGCCUUAUGGUUGUGUGGAUUAGGCUUGUAUAAUAUAACCUAAAUACAAUUAAUAUUAAUUAAUCAAGACAAGGGCCUUGGGCCUUCGGGCCUUGGAAUUUAAAAUUAAUCUGAUUCAUUAAUUUUAAUUUUCGGAUUAGUGUGAAACAGCCUAUAUAUCUGCAAUCCAUGGUAUCCAAAUGAAUCAUCUUUUCUUCUUCCUUUUCUUCCGUACAAACUUUCCAGAGAGAGUAAACACACAAAGCAAUUCGCUAGAAUUCUAUAAUCCAGUGCGGGUUAUAGGAUUAGGUAGUUGUAUCCUGGUCGAGCAGACGUUAUAGAACCACAAACACAAGAGUGGGACGGAAUUACUGUUCGAAGGACAUAGCUUUUACCCUAGCCUCUACCUUCUGUAAUCAAGUUAGUACCGUUGACAUUCUUAUAUUAAUUUCUGUAUUUAUUGUAUACUUUUCAUUCUGUAUAGCAAAUACCUUUUGUGAAAUAAAAAUUGUGAAUUUCAAGUUCUGUUUAUUUCUGUUAUUCUGUUUAUUUCUGAAUUGUUCUCCAACAAGUAUAACUUGCUUGCAAGUAGAAUAUAUCGACCUCCAUUUUAUCCUCUAAAUUAAAUAAAAUUUUGUUAACACAAGUUGAAGUCAAGCUUAAAACAUUGUUAUCUUAUAAAAAGGUAACAGAAUAAAAGUUAGGGUCCAUAAUGCAACUCACAUUCGAUUUAAAGGCUUGCAAUAUGGAAACACGAUUUCCUGGAGUUUCGCCAUUAGCAAAAUAUGCAUAUUUAUCGAAGUCAUGGUUUGAUGCAAGCAUAUCCCACUGUAUUAUAUAUACACACAAAGUAAAUGGAAACCAACACUAUAUCUAUGUAUGCAAGGUCACCUGAAACCAUCGAUUUGAUUUCUCUUGAAUCAAAACAGCCAGAUGGUUGUCUUCGAAAGUUUAUUGAUGGAAGUUGAGACAAUUUUUCCAAGGAAACAUCCACAACUCCCCACAUUCCCCUGCCCAGGUUUUUGCAGUUGACAAAACAAAGCACUAUCCCUACCAAAUUUAUGAGGGGAGUGUUCUAGCAGACAACUGUUUAACCAAUUGGAGACUCAUUCGUGUGGAUUGAUACGACCAAUAUUGCAUACAUUUUAAUGCCCCUUAAUUUAGAUUCUUGUUAUGUUUUUGAGUGAAUUUAGUUUGUUUCACUAGUUUUAUGUUUUUCUUAGAUUUGAUGAGUGAAGAGGAAGAAAGAAGAAAAGGGAACACUUUUGCUAUUGAAAUGAGUUUGGCAUGCUGGAAGCAGAAGCUGUUUGUGCGGAUCAGUCAACUUUACGGAUUAAACUGUAUUUCCUCAGAAUGAACCAGCUGUUGAGCCUUGUACCAUUGGAAAGAUAUGUAAGUUAUCUUUCAGAGGAAUUUUACGGUUUGUGAUUCCGAGUUUCCUAAAUGAUGUUAUGAAGAUUUUUGUACAAGAUGUCGGUCAGCCAAGUCUACGCGGAAAUUGCAAGUCUGUUGGGUUUUUCAAGUCUUCAUUCAGUCGAAGACCAAAGCCCAAGAUAGAACGUGUUGAGCUGACUUUAAUCCUAUUUCAAAUGGGUUUUAAGUAAUUAAUUGGGAAGUUGAUUCACCACAUCAUCAGUCAUCAAUACAAAGGAUAUCACAAGGCCUAAUUAUGUUAGGAUUUGUCUACUAUAUAAAGGGAGUCCAAGGGGUUCUUCUGGGGGGAUUCUCUGCGUGUUUUUGGAAGGAGCAGCCACUGACCAUCUUUGUUAUUCCAUCUUCAUCUUUCGGAAGUUUUUCAUGUUUUUAAGAUUCCUAAUUAUGUUUUCGUAUUCUAUGAGUAACUAAACUCUUUUUCUAGGGUUAGGAUGAUGCCCUAGCAUGUUUACGGUUUUUAAUGUUAUUCAUUGGAUUUCUAGUUUCUUUUAGAUGAAUGCUUAAUCAUUGUUUGAAUUGUUACUUUUUGUUUGAGUUCUUUGAUUGAUCACCUUAGGACUUUGCAUCUAGUAAGAUUGGAAGAUGAAUUUGAGGCUGAACUAGCAAUAUAAUUCAAUUGGCUUCUUUUGGUUAAGUGUGGUAAAUUACAUUAUUGCUUGACAAAGAAUAAUGGUUUGCUUGGUUCCCUUGUUUUCUAGAGCGUAAAGUGUCCUACUUGUUAAUUGUAUGCCUUAACCAGGAUAGACUGCAUGUUAGGAUGUACGAUCUCUGCCUGGACUAGGAGAGAAUCAUUCACUUAAGGAAAACUAUGGUCUAAUGCACCUGACAAGGACUUAGAUAUGGGAAUUAUCAUCUAAAGAAUCGAAAGAUCCAUUGAAUGCCUUGAAACCUAAACUAGAUUGCUUGUGGUUAAUUCUGAAUCCCUAGACUUUUUCAUCACUUGCUUUAAAACACAAUGUUUUCUUCUCUUUAAUUUUAGUUUUUAUUUAAGGUUCUGUUUUUGUUCGUUUAAACUUACACACAUUGAUUAACUACAAUCACUUGAAUCAAUUAAUCAAAUUAAAAGAAAGGUAAUGCUAGGCAGAUCAAAUUUUUAGACUAAAUUUGCAAACCAAAUGAUGUGUCACCAAUAGUAAAUAAGCACAUUAAUCAACCCUUAAGUAAUAAUCCAAUCAUCAACAACCAUGUCAUAUGGUUUACAAAAUUUAGUUUGAAAAUUUGGUCUCUCUAGCAUUAACCUUAAAAGAAUCCAAAGUUCUAAUAAGGGCUAAAUUAACCAUAACAGAAAAACUCAUAUACACUCUUGUUUGUCGAAAAGCUAUCCAAUAGGCAAGUGUAAUUGGAUGUAAAUUCUAUUAAAGCAGGUGGUGUUUUGAGAGAUUCUGAUGGUAAAUGGAUUUUUGAGUUUUGCACCAAUUUGGGCACAGGUGACGUUUCCAUUGCUGAGCUAUAGGGUCUUUACUUAGGCUUACAAUUGACAUGGAGAUUACAGAUUGAUAAAUUAUUGGUGGAAUCAGACUAUGCAGUCACAAUUCAUUUGGUGUUGCAAGCUGCUAGCAAUAAUCAUCUUUAGGUCCCCUUGUAUUGGCUUGCCAAGAUUUGCUUUCAAGAUCUUGGCAAUGUGAACUUUGGCAUGUCUACAGAGAAAAGAAUUUGUGGUGGACAGUUAGUUUUAUUCAUGAGGAUCAACUUGGGAUGUAUUGGUCUAGAUUUAUUAUUGAGUAGGUUUGUUUGGGCUCUUGCUUUUACCCCCGUUUUUCAAACAAAAAAAAAGAAGAAGAAAGAGAUGGGAGACCCAAUUCUUAAUUUACAUAUCUCUACUGGAGCAAAACUACAUGUAUAUCUUCUGAAGAUGUAAAUGAGAUGCGCGGUACCAUGGUUUUCAAACUGGAAAAUGUGGCACUCAAGAUGGUCACAAUGAUCGGAAUGCCUAGUAUGUAAGUGGAUAAGCUUCGGCUGUCCAAAUCUAACUGCCUAAACUCGAGCAAUUCUUUGAGAUCCGAGGUUGUAAACAAAUCUUAUUCUUUUGGGGCGAUUUCUUGCCUCCCAAGUAUAAGAAACCUAAUUUGACCUUGAUUGGGAAAGAGUCCUAAAGAUAUUGGGAGUCCAAUUUAAUUGAGUUUGGCUUAUGCCAUAAGUAAUCACAUUCCUGGAAAAAAAUGAGAUCUAAAUUUCCUCUUAGAUUCUCGGUUACUGAGGGCUACUGUCCUCAAAAUGACUUUGCGUGAAACACUAUGUUGAUGCACAAAAUCAGCGAGGACUUUGGUACAACAAAAAGUGUUAAGUUUAUGACCUUCGCUAGAUUGUUCCGGUCACUAGUGUGGAUAAGUAAGUAAAUGGAUAGGGACAGGGAAACAAACACAAGAUGUACGUGGUUCACCCAGAUUGGCUAUGUCUACGGAGUAGAGGAGUUUUCAUUAAUUAUGAAGGGUUUACACAAGUACAUAGGUUCAAGCUCUCCUUUAGUGAGUACUAGUGAAUGAUUUAGUACAAAUGACAUUAGGAAAUAUUGUGAGAGAAUGAUCUCUAUUUAUAGAAGAGAGUUUCUAGUUUCAUUCUGACAUUGACAUGUGUCGUGUUGUGAUUGGCUUCUGAUGUUGACAUGUGUCGCGCUAUGAUUAGCUUCUGAUGUCGACACAUGUCACGCUGUGAUUGGCCUCCUGGUUGGAGGGAAACUCUUCUAGGUCCUUGACGGUAUAACGUGGACCGGUGCUCAGUAGUUUCGGGAUUGGUCAAGUAUGGUACAAACAGUGCUCCCCUAAGUUCCUGAGUGAGGGAAGCUCCUCAGUUUGGGACUUGCAAGAUCCAAGCUAUUGAGUAAUCACGAAACUUCUAAGUACCGAAGUGUGGUAUCAUUUUCACUUGCCUUAUCUGUCUCAUAUGUAGAUGUGGCAUCUUUUCUGGAAGUACUUUUCCUCUAUCCAGGGAUGGUAUCUUUAACCGAUAAGAUGCACAAGUUAAUGUAUCAAUUUCACUUGAAGCUUACAUGUAGUUUUGGGCUUCGUCAAGUGCGAUACAAGCCCUAUAGUAGGAGUCCCCCAAGUCGCCGAGCUAGGAGAUUUGCCGAAGGAGGUAACAGACAAGGUAAGCAAUCAGACUUCCAAGCAAGCAACCUGGAUCGGAGGUUCGACUUCGGCUUCCAAUUGAUUGUUCUCAUUCUCUUUGUGUCGUAAAUAGCACCAAGGAUAAGGAGAAGCAAAUGGAGAAGAGAUGAUAUGAGAUACUUUUUCUUUUGAAGAAGUAACUUUCCACAGGCUUAUUCUUGAACUGGGCUGGAGGGUUUUCUGGUUUCCUCCAGAGUAUAAGGCCGACUCAAGAGUUUGAAGGUCAAAAUAAGUCCAUCAAAUCUAGAGUACGUUCGACCUUGAUGAUAUGAGAUACUUUUUCUUUUGACAAAGUUGUGGAUGUAUCGGCACGUGUUCUGUUACGCUUGUCUCCACAUGCUUCCUUGUAUCCUUCUCACUUGCCCUAUCUGUUCCUCAGACAGAUGUGGUAUCUUUUCUGGAAGCAUAAGAUGUUGAAGAUGAGUACUCAAGAGCAAUGUCAGGUAAGUAAUCAGGCAAGGGGUUCUAGGCAGUCAGUUCUUGACUGGAAGCUUAAUUCCAAGUGCUGACUGAUUGCUCUCUUUCUCCUUGUCUUGCAGGAAAUAACAAGGUCAAAGGAAAAGACAGGGAAAAUGCAUGAUAUGAGAUACUCUUGCUUUUGACCCUAAUGAUAUGAGAUACUCUUGCUCUGGUGUGGCUGGUUUGCAUAGGUAUUAUUGGGGGGGGAAGAAAGCUGAGUAUUUCGAGAGGUUUCGUUGGGAGUGCCUUCUCAAAUAUGAGGAAGGGUUGAGCAUUUUUCCAAGUCUGCCUGUCUGUGGAGGAUGGAGGUCGACAUAUAUAGAAGUCUCCCUAACAACAAGUAGUAAUGUUAUUCUUUUACCCUUCUUGGUCGUAGCAAUGUAAUGGGAACUGCAAGCUUCACGUGUUUUAACUUUGUCAGAGCACUUUGAAAAAGUGGUAUGUGGUAUCUGGAAAGCUGAUGUUGCAUGUGAAGUUUGCAGACAAGCUUUAUCCAAGGAAAUCUGGCUUUCGAAGUUCGGAGAGCGAUGCCUCUUUAGUUUUCGAACAAGCAAUCCUAUCGGGGAUCUGGCUCUCGAGAUUCGAAGAAUGGUGCCUCUUCGAUUUUUGAGAAAGCAAUCCUGUUGGAAGUUUGGCUCUUGAGAUUUGGAGAGCGGUGCCUCUUCGAUUUUUGAGAAAGUAAUCCUGUUGGAAGUCUGGCUAUCGAGAUUCGGAGGGCGGUGCCUCUUCGAUUUUUGAGCAAGUAAUAAUGCUAUUCCUUUACCCUUCUUGGUCAUAGCAAUGUAGUGGGAGCUGCAAGCUUCACAUGUUUUAACUUUGUCAGAGCGCUUUGAAAAAGUGGUAUGUGGUAUCUGGAAAGUUGAUGUUUCGUGUGAAGAUUGCAGACAAGCUUUAUCCAAGGAAAUCUGGCUCUCGAAGUUCGGAGAGCGGUGCCUUUUCGAUUUUUGAACAAGCAAUCCUGUCGGAGAUCUGGCUCUCGAGAUUCAGAGAACGGUGCCUCUUCGAUUUUUGAGAAAGCAAUCCUAUUAUGAGUCUGACUCUUGAGAUUCGGAGAGCAAUGUCUCUUCGAUUUUUGAGAAAGUAAUCCUGUUGGGAGUCUGACUCUCGAGAUUUAGAGAGUGGUGCCUCUUCGAUUUUUGAGCAAGCAAUCUUGUUGGGAGUGUUUUCUUGAAUGUGAGUAAAGGUUAGGCAUUUUUGCCAGUCUGCCUUGCCACAUAGCAUGGAGGUUGACACACAUUGGGACUUUCUUGUUAUCAAGCAGUGGUGCUGUUCCUUUACCCUUGUGGGUAAUAGUAGGGUAGCUGGAUCUUCAAAAUUUAUGUGUCUAAACUUUGUCAGAGAUCUUUGGCAAAGUUAUCUGUAGUACCCGAUGAGCUGAUGUUGCGUGUGGAAAGUGGUGCCUCUUCGAAAUCUGGAGAGUGGUGCCUCUUCGAUUUUUGAACCAACGGCCCUGUUGCCCUUUCUUUUAUAAGGGCACCAAUUGUGUGCAAGAAGUACAUUCAGAGAGUUAUUGCUUGUAGGAAUUUUCCCCUUACUUCAAAGAUUUAUGACACCUCAUUUCUCCUUCAUCAUUUCUGAGAAUGUCUGGCCAUCCGACCGUUUUUUUGACUUGAACUUUGGUGAAGAGGCAGCAAUGCCUUCUCAAGACAACAUAUGGCGCUCAUCCUUCUUAUCUCCUACUAGUCCUUUUAUCGUUGGGGACUCUGUGAUGAAGAAUGAUAUGACCGCUGCGGUGGUGGCCAGGAACCUUCUCACUCCCAAAGAUAACAGACUACUUUCCAAAUGGUCUGAUGAGUUAGCUGUUAAGGAUUCUCUGGCUCUCCGUGUUCAGUGUGCAGGUUCUGUGUCUAAUAUGGCCCAACGCCUAUUUGCUCGAACCCGCCAAGUUGAAUCAUUAGCGGCUGAAAUGAUAAGUCUCAAACAUGAGAUCAGAGGGCUCAAGCAUGAGAAUAAACAGUUGCACAGGCUCGCACAUGACUAUGCUACAAACAUGAAGAGGAAGCUCGACCAGCUGCAGGAAUCUGAUGGUCAGAUUUUACUUGAUUAUCAGAGGUUUGUGGGUUUGUUCCAAAAGCAUUUAUUGCCUUCGUCUUCUGGGGCAGUACCGCGUAACGAAGCUCCAAAUGAUCAACCUUCGGUGCCUCAUUCUUUUGGGGUUCUGCCUAGUACUGAGGCUCCAAAUAAUCACCCUCUGGUGCCUCUUCUUUCUGGGGCUCUACCGACUGCUGAGACUUCUCCUGAGCAACCUUUGUGAAGACUCCCUAUUGUUUGUUUAUUUUGAUUCAUGUAUAUGUACAUAUUUGUAACUUAUCAGAGAUAUCAAUAAACAAGCUUUGCUUCAUUUCAACGUAUUGUGUUAAAUACACCAAGGCCUUCUUCAUUAAGUUCUUUGAAUUUUUCCUUUUGUUGAAGCUUGUAUGUUGAAGCUUUGUGAGUGAAGCAUGUAGGUUGAGGUAGUGCUCCCUUAAUUUCCCGAGUGAGGAAAACUUCUCGUUUGGAGACUUGAAAAAUCCAAGUAACUGAGUGGUCGUGAGACUUCCGAGUAUCAAGAUGCAGUAGCAUAUGGUAGGAGUCGCCCAAAUCUCCGGUCGAGGGAGUUGACGAAUGAGGCAUUUCCUUUCUAAGUGGUAGCCCAAAACUCCUUCUUCAUAUAUAUUUGUUAUGAAAGUUGUUAGGCUAGGCCCAGGCAAUUUUAUUUAUUUUUUUCCGAAAUUUUUUUUUUCGAUUUUUUUUUUUCGAAUUUUCGAAAUUUUGAAUUUUCGAAUUUUUGAAUUUUUGAAUUUCUGAAAAAAUAUAUAUAUUAAAGCUUUGUAGGUGAAGCUUUGAGGUUGAAGCUUUGUUAGGCACCAUGAAUUGAUUUUGCUUCACACUAUCUUGAUCAAAAUAGUGUGAAGCUUUUGUAGGUGAAGCUUUUGUGUUGAAGUUUUGUAGGUAAAGUUUUUGUGGGUCAAGCUUUUGUAGGUGAAGCUUUUGUUGGUGACCAAGCUUUUAUAGGUGAAGCUUUUGUAAAUUAAACUUUUGUAGGUGAAGCUUUUGUGGGUGAAGCUUUUGUAGGUGAAGCUUUUGUAGGUGAAGCUUUUAUGUUGAAGUUUUGUAGGUGAAGCUUUUGUGGGUGAAGUUUUGUGGGUCAAGCUUUUGUGGGUCAAGCUUUUGUAGGUGAAACUUUUGUGGGUCAAGCUUUUGUAGGUGAAGCUUUUGUGAGUCAAGUUUUUAUGGGUGAAGCUUUUGUGGGUCAAGCUUUUGUAGGUGAAGCUUUGGAGUUGAAGCUUUGUUGGACACCAUGAAUUGAUUUUGCUUCACACUAUCUUGAUCAAGAUAGUGUGAAGCUUUUGUAGGUGAAGCUUUUGUGGGUCAAGCUUUGGAGUUGAAGCUUUUGUUGGGUACCAUGAAUUGAUUUUGCUUCACACUAUCUUGAUCAAGAUAGUGUGAAGCUUUUGAGAAUUUGUAGUUGUCCUCCAUUGAAGAAGCUUUUGUUGGUGAAGCUUUGGAGGUGAAGCUUUUGUUGGUGAAGCUUUUAUGGGUGAAGCUUUUGUUGGGUACCAUGAAUUCAUUUUGCUUCACACUAUCUUGAUCAAGAUAGUGUGAAGCUUUUGAGAAUUUGUAGUUAUCCUUCAUUGAUAAAGCUUUUGUUGGUGAAGCUUUGGAGUUGAAGCUUUUGUUGAAUUUCCCUUUUUUUUUUUUUUUUUUUUUGGGAAACUAGAACUUUGAAAAUGUGGGAGAGACAACAUAUACAAAUUUGGCUUCCACACCGUUGAGCAAGAGAUUGUGAUGCAAGCCACACCUUGUAGUAGUCGAAUGUUUGGAUGAACUAUAUAAAUUGAAUUUGCUUCGAACAGUCUUGAAUUUACUUCGAAGGUUUGAGAAUUGUAGUUGCCCUCCAUUGAUGAAGCUUUUGUUGGCACCAUAAAUUGGUUUUGCUUCACACUGUCUUGAUCAAGAGUGUGAAGCUUUUGAGAAUUGCGGUUGUCUUCCUUUGAUGAAGCUCUUGUUGGCACCAUAAAUUGGUUUUGCUUCACACUGUCUUGAUCAAGAGUGUGUGAAGCUUUUGAGAAUUGUGGUUGAACUCCUUUGAUGAAGCUCUUGUUAGCACCAUAAAUUGGUUUUGCUUCACACUGUCUUGAUCAAGAGUGUGUGAAGCUUCUACGAGUUGUAGUGUUUGCAUUGUUAUAGAGGGGAAAUGUUUGAAGUAGAUGUAAGAAGGCUGAAUAGCUUGAUCUUCGUAUGCCAUACACUGAAGUUGUUGUUGGCUUGCAAUAAGACUUUGUUGGUGACUAUAACUCUUGUUGGGCAUAAGUGCUCCCCUAGUUGAGUUGUCAAGCUUCAGGGUUUUUUAUUAUUUGUGAAUGCUAGGAGUUCACAUGUACAAGUUGUAACACUUGUCUUCUGGUAGGUGGAAUGAAUGGAAAGUUGCUUUCAUCACUUGGUUGGUGGUACGAAUGUGAGUUCCUUCAUCACCUUUCAUCACAUUCCAUCACCUGGUUGGUGGCACAAGGAUGAGUUCCUUCUUCACCUGGUUGGUGGCAUGAAUGGCAAGUUGCCAAAUGAUAUUAGAGUACGAGUUGUACAUUUCAUCACCUAGUUGGUGGCACGAAGGAGAGUACAGGUUGUACAUUUCAUCACUUGGUUGGUGGCAUGAAGAUGAGUUCCUUCUUCACUUGGUUGGUGGCUUGAGUGGUAAGUUGCCAAAUGAUAUUAGAGUACGGGUUGUACAUUUGAUCACCUGGUUGGUGGCAUGAAGAUGAGUUCAUUCUUCACAUUUCAUCACCUGGUUAGCGAGAAUAAGGGCAAGGUGUCUAGGCACAUUGUAGCAAGUGUCGAAUGACACAAAUUAUGUUGAACCCUUUCAAAGCACAGUUGGCUUAUGUACGAAUGUGUUGGAAUGUAUGAUUGAACGAAUAUACUGUGAAGUUGUUCGUUUAUUUGUAUAGUCUUGUUGACAUAUACUUAGAAUUUGUUUCAUGUUGGAAGCAUUCAUGUCGAAGCUUUGAACCCAAGUGUUUCAUUGCUAGGAAUGUAUGAUGAUUAGGACCGAAUAGUCUUCGUUACAUAGGAUGCCAAACGGUUGAAGCUUAACACUUGUACAAUGUGAGUUUACUUGUAAUAGUACUCCAAGUGAUCAGCGUUCCAUGGAUGGCCAAGGGUCUUGCCAUCGGAGCUUCUAAGCUUGUAGGAGCCAGGACGACUGAUGCUAACAACUUCAAACGGUCCAUCCCAAUUUGGACUAAGUGUUCCUUCACUCGGGACUCUGUCGCAGAGUAAUCUUUUCUUCAAUAUCCAGUCCCCUACUUUGAAAGAACGAGGUUUGACCUUGGAGUCAUAGUAGUUGGAGAUACGCUGCUUGUAGGCGACAUUCUUUAAGUGAGCCUGGUUUAUGUGUUCCUCGACUAGAUCUAAGUUGAGGGUAAGUUGUUUGUCAUUUUCGCUUUGCACGUAGUUCUGGACUUGGAACGUUGCUUGCUUAAGCUCAACUGGGACAACUGCCUUUGUACCAAAGGCAAGUGAGAAUGGGGUUUCUCCUGUUGAUGUUCGAUAUGAAGUGCGGUAUGACCAAAGAACUUAGGGUACAAAUUCUAGCCAACAACCUUUAGCCUUGUCCAAGCUGGUUUUCAAAGUUCGCUUGAUUAUUUUGUUGAUGGCUUAAACUUGUCAAUUAGACUUGGAUGAGCUGGGGAGGCAAAACAUAAGUUGAUGUUGAACUUAGAGCAGAACAUCCUAAACUUAUUGUUGUCGAACUGUUGCCCGUUGUCAGUGACUAUCAUUGGGAAUGUCGAAUCUGCAAAGGAUGUUCUUCCAUACGAAGUCUUCUAUUUUUGCCUCAGUAAUGGUUGCCAAGGGUUCUACUUCGGCUCACUUUGUGAAGUAGUCAACUGCAACGAUUGCAUAGAGAAUUUUGCCCUUCCCUGCAGGCAUUGGGCCAAUCAAAUCAAGUCCCCAUUGGGCGAAGUGCGAAGGGCUGAUUAUAGGAAUGAGCAGCUCAGGAGGGGAGUGAGGAAUAGUUGCGUAACGUUGACACUUAUCACAUGAGCGGGAUAUUCUGAUAGCAUCUUGGUGGAGUGUUGGCCAGUAAUAUCCUUGGCGAAAAGCCUUGUGUGCUAGGGAUUGAGAUCCAUCAUGAUCUCCGCAGACUCCUUCAUGUAUUUCCCGAAUGACAGUUUCCGCCUCUGCGAGCGUAAGGCAUCUUAGGUAUGGUAGGUUAAAACCCCGCUUGUAGAGUUGGUCAUUAAUGAUCAAGUAACGAGUAACCUUGUAUCGAAUCUGCUUAGCCUGGAAUUUGUCAUUUGGAAGGGUGCCAUGAGCAAGGAAUCUAUAAAUCGAGGUAAUCCAACUAUCUCUUUGUUGUAAGUUGCACACUUCCGCAGCUAUGGUGCUUGGUGCUGCCAACAAUUUGACCUGAAUUUUUCUCCCAAUCCUAUCUUUCACCGCUGAGGCGAGGCGACCCAAAGCAUCUGCAUGACUGUUUGUCGCUCGAGGAAUUUAGGUGAUCUGGUAGUGGAAGUACUUGAGCAACAAUUAUGUUUGUGCCAGAUAUAUUGCCAUGGAGCUAUCCUUAGCGUCAAAGUUGUUGGUGACCUGGUUAACCACCAAUUGGGAGUCACUGAAGAUAUCAAUUCGUUUAAUCCCAAGGUGUUUGGCCAAACGUAAGCCUGCUAGGAGGGCUUCAUAUUUGGCCUCAUUGUUCGACGCCUUGAAUUUGAAACGAAUAGCAUACUUCAUCGCCACUUUGUCAGUGGUCGUAAGGACCAGUCCUGCUCCACAACCAUGUUGGUUGAACGAGCCAUCAACAUAUAGACUCCAUGCUGGGGCUGUUGGUUCUAUUUUCUAAGCUUCCGAGGGUAAUGAAACCACUUCUUUAGGCGUAGAAACAAUGUCAACAAGAUAUGUGAAGUCGGCGAUGAAGUCUGCCACUACUUGGCCCUUCUCAGCUGGCUUUGGUUGGUAGGAGAUGUCAAACUCACCCAAAGCUAUUGCCCAUUUGAUCAUUCGCCUGAAAGUGUUAGGACUUUGGAGUAUUUGUCGAAGAUGAUGAUUGGUAAGCACGAUGAUGGAGUGUGCUUGGAAGUAAGGGCGAAGUUUUCGAGCAGACAUGACCAAUGCUAGUGCCAAUUUCUCAAUGUUGGAGUAUCGUGUCUCCGCAUCUUGUAAGGCCUUACUAGCGUAGUAGACAGGCCGUUCGACAUUACCAUCAUUUCGAAUGAGAACGGAACUUACUGCUGAAGCCGAUACCGACAGAUAGAUAAUGAUAGUGUCACCAACCUCAGGUUUAGAGAGCAAAGGGGCUUUACUCAUGUAGUCUUUGAGGUUCUUGAAUGCCUCAGCACAUUCAUCAGUCCAUGUAAUGUACUUCUUACUUCCCUUAAGUGCUUUGAAGAAAUGAGCACAUCUGUCUGUGGCCUUAGAGAUAAACCUAGUUAAAGCUGCCACCUUACCAGUAAGGCUCUGGAUGUCUUUUGAAGUUACCAGUUCCUUUAUGUCGAUGAUUGCUUUGAUCUUCUCGGGAUUAGCCUCAAUGCCUCGUUGGCUUAUCAUGAAGCCUAAGAAUUUGCCAGAGCCUACGCUGAAGGCACAUUUGUUGGGGUUCAACCUCAUUCGAUACCUCGUCAGAAUGGUGAAAGUUUUAGAUAGGUUGGUGAUGUGUUGGUCAGUAUGUUUGCUUUUGACUAUCAUAUCAUCAACGUAAACUUCCAUGCUCUUCCCAAUCUGUUCGGCGAACAUUAAAUUGACUAGUCUCUGAUAAGUCGCUCCUGCAUUCUUUAGGCCGAAGAGCAUGACUUUAUAGCAAUAUAGUCCCCUGUCAGUAGUGAAGGCUGUGUGUUCUUGGUCCGGAAGGUUCAUGAGGAUUUGGUUGUAUCCUGAGUAAGCAUCCAUGAAGCUCAGGGGUUCACACCCUGCUGUAGAGUCUAUAAGUUUAUCUAUGAAAAGAAGAGGAAAGCUAUCCUUCGGGCAUCCUUUGUUUAGGUCGGUGUAAUCGACACACAUUCUCCACAAGACCUUUUAGAGCAGGAGACUUUCCUUGGUCGGAUUCUUCUUAACAAUGACAACAUUUGCUACCCAUGUUGGAUAAUUGACUUCACGGACGAAGCCUAUGCCUUUGAGUUUUUCAACUUCUGCCUUCAUUGCCUCGUACCAUUUAGUGUUAUAACAUCUUCGCUUCUGUCUCACUGGCUUGGUCUUGGGGUCAAUACUUAAGUGAUGACAGAUUAUAUCGGGAGAGAUGCCUGGCAUGUCCUUGUAUGACCAGAUGAAGACCUUAGUGUUCUCUUCCAAAAAAGAGAUCAAUACCAACCGAAUGGGUGGUGACAAGGUGGUACCAAUCUUCACCAUACGAUUCGGAUAAUCUUUUGAGAUAGAGACAUUCUCCAACUCUUCAGCGGGUUGUGCUUACUGGGUGAAAAAGUCAUCUCGAGAAACGUCGGGUUGACUAUUGCCACCGUGAAUAUCCAAGUUAGCUUCGUCUGGGUUAGUCUUUAUGACUUGGUCAUGUAUAGAAAGGGUUUCCUUUGGCACAUGCAGGUGCUCUUGCUUGACCGACGUGUUGUAACAUGAUCGUGCACUAAGUUGAUAUCCUCUAAUGUAACCAUUACCAUAGGGGGUCGGAAAUUUCAUCAACAACAUAUGUGUGGAUACCAUGGCCUUGAGAUCAUUGAUGCCUGUGCGUCCGAAGAUGACAUUGAUGCCAUUGGGCAAUCAACCACCAGGAAGUUAGUGGUAAUGAGGGCAUGUACCAAUGGUGAAAGGUAAGUGUAUGCUCCCCAAAGGUUGCACGAUAUCACCGGAGAAGCUUAUCAGAUGGGAAAUCGAGCGGUCGAGUAAGUGUUCAGCUACAUUAAGUGCCCUGAAAGCUUCAGCAAACAUGAUAUUGACCGAAGCCCCCGUGUCUACCAGGAUUCGUCGUACUUCAAAGUUGGCUAUGUGAGCUUCCACGAUCAGUGGGUCGUUGUGAGGGUAGAUGAUACCUCUUUCUUCAUCAGGGUAUAAAUAUAUUGGAUCUCAGUUAGGCUUUUGAUACUUACCUCCCCUGAUGUCUUCCACGUGAAACAUUUGGUGGCUAGACCUUAAAGCUCGUUCACUAUUUUUCAUAGCCCUAUUGGAAGAUUUAGAUAUGGGUGUGCCACCACUUAUGGAAUAUAUCACAUUUACCUGGCGUUGGUUACGGUUACCCCUUGGAGGGUGAAUGAGGAAUUGAUCAAUUUUUCCUUCACGUGCCAAAGCUUCAAUAUGAUCACGAAGGGUGAUACACUUCUCGCCGUCAUGGCCGUUAUACUCGUGGUAGCAUCAAAACAUGCUCAUGUUCUUUGUGGGCUUGUAAUCUGGGUGCCUUGGCUUUGGCUUCGGUAUCAAGUGUGCUAUGCUGGGGUAAAUGGCCACGCAUGUGGCGUUCAAAGGUUUGUAUGCCUCAUACCUCGGGGUAGGGGCUGUCUUGACACGUGUUUGACCCACUGUGUUGACUGCCUGGGGUCGGGGAUUAUCAUGGCGAUACCUUUGGUUAUCGCGGUAGUGUCCCUUACUCCUUUUACUAAAAUGAGACUGGUGAGGAUGGAAAUCUUUCCUUUUGCCCUGAGAUUGAUAUGUCUGUUGACUUGGCAAAGUAUGAAGUAAGGCAGAGGGAGGCACCGCUGCCGUUUGGAAGGUCGAGGUCUUCUCAUUUGGUUGGAUCUGGCUUCCACUCCCUACUUGCUGAUAAUGGGUGGUUGUUGGGGGUUUCCCUUGAUAUGUCAUUGCCUCGGCAGAGGCAUGGUUGUAAGCUUGUGCCAUCACUUCAGAGUAAGUCUUCCAAGUGUUGGCAUUGAUCAUGUACUUGAAGAAACAAUCACGUAGGCCUGCCGUGAAGGCCUUGAGGGCGGUCUUGUCAUCUGCCUCAGUGCAGCGAGAAUACUCAUAGCUGAAACGAUGGACAUAGUUUCGUAGUGACUUGUCCGGCUUCUGGCGAAUAGUGUACAAGUCAUCUGCAAAAUGCAAGCGAUCGGUUUGAAAGAUAUGUUGAGAGACAAACAGUUUCCUCAGUUCUUCAAAUGAGUCUACUGUCUCAGGUGGAAGACGACAAUACCAGUUUAGAGCUCCGCCAGAGAGGGUGGAGGGGAAGAGAAGACAUCACUCUUCGUCGGUGUGCAUCCGAUAGGCCAUGGUGGACUCAAAGAGGUUAAAAUGUUCAAUUGGGUCUUCCCUUCCAGUAUAGAAUUGUAAACCAAGCUUUUGUUUUGUCUUUGCUUGAAAGGGGUGUCGACGAUCCUCCAUGUGAGAGGGCCAGGCCUGGGUUGGUUCCAAUCAGGUAUCUCAGCCUGACGUUCGGCCUACAACUUGUUUACUUCCUCAAGGAGCUGUAGGACAAGGGGGUCCUGAGUGGAGUCAUGUACCAUUGGGAUUUUCUUUCGUAAGUCUCCAUCGCCUCUUGGAAGUAGGAAAGUUUGAGCAAAGGCGUGUGAUUUUUCCUUGGACUCGCUGUACUGACUUCUAGGGCGAGUCUGUCGAAAUACCUCAGAGUCCCAUGUACCUUCAUGUCCCUCUGGGACCUGUCGUUCCUUCCCUAGAUUGGUAGAUGGCCUGGGUCGUAGGAAGGGACCGAGUUUUUCAGAAACCCUUGGGUCAUUGAUCUUCAAGCAUAUGUGGAAGGGAUUCUCUCGACGUUGCUUGAAGAAGUCUCAGCAGUCACGAUAAACAGCUUUCGAUCCUUCCAAUCCUUCUGCAAGGAGGUGUCUUCCUCCACUUCUCCUGCUUCGGGUCGAAGCAGCUGGGUUGAGAGAUGUCUCAUGUUGAUCAAUAUUUUGAUGAUUAUCUCGCUCUUCAUCAGGGAUACCCAUGUCGAAGAAAGGUAACCCUCUGUGUUGGAGGGCGCCCAGAUAAUGGUUGAUGUCCACAGGGGCAACGAGCUCGCGUGUUUGAGUAUGUCUAGUUUCGUAGAGCAUCUCAAAUAGCUUCUCAUAUUGCUCCUGGAGGACCUCAUUCUUCAUUGCUAUCUUGUUGUUUUGAGCUUCUAGCUCAUCGACUUUAGCUUGAAGAGCAACCCUUUUCCUUCAUUCUUUCGUUGCUUCGCACUAAGUGCAAGAAGGGUGUCAUUCUGUGUGUUGUGGCUUCAUUCGCUCCCCAUGUUGGAGAGGGAUGCUUGGUCAAAAGAGAGUGUACGAAUGGUGGAAACCAGCUUGACAAAGCUGAAGAGAGUGGGAAUAGGUGUCGUUUCCACAGACGACGCCAAAUGUUGAUGCACAAAAUCAACGAGGCCUUUGGUACAACAGAAAGUGUUAAGUUUGUGACCUUCACUAGAUUGUUCCGGUCUGUGUGCUGUGGAUAAGUAAGUAAAUGGAUAGGGACAGGGAAGCAAACACAAGAUGUACGUGGUUCACUCAGAUUGGCUACGUCCACGGAGUAGAGGAGUUCUCAUUAAUUGUGAAGGGUUUACACAAGUACAUAGGUUCAAGCUCUCCUUUAGUGAGUACUAGUGAAUGAUUUAGUACAAAUGACAUUAGAAAAUAUUGUGAGAGAAUGAUCUCUAUUCAUAGAAGAAAAUUUCUAGUUUCAUUCUGACAUUGACAUGUGUCGUGUUGUGAUUGGCUUCUGAUGUUGACACGUGUCGCGCUAUGAUUGGCUUCUGAUGUUGACACGUGUCACGCUGUGAUUGGCCUCCUGGUUGGAGGGAAACUCUUCUAGGUCCUUGACGGUAUAACGUUGACCGGUGCUCAGUAGUUUCGGGAUUGAUCAAGUAUGGUACAAACACACUACAGAUAACCCUUCUCGACCAUCCAUCCCAGCUAUCAUCAAGGGCAUUAUGUAUCUCUACUCCAAAGCCUACUGUUUGAGUUGUAAUGUCAUUACUGCCUUGAUCGUCAGAGAGUCCUUGGCCUGUUCCACACCGGUGCGCAAGUUCUUUUAUGAUCUCUUCCUUUGUUUUGCAAGUUUGGCAUGGUAUAGUUUAGGCAACUUUGGCAUUUUGAAAAUUUGGCUCCAAAAAGAUGCAAAUGAAUACAUCUCAAAUUUGUAUCUCUCAAUUACAUAUACACUUAAUCUAUAGGGUCUAAUUCCUUUCUGUCAAAAUAUAUUCUCAAGAUUUUUAUUUUUAUUUCUAAGUUGUUGUGAAGUCAUAUCGGAGCUGCUGUGAAGUCAUAUCAAGGCUCGAUAGCCAUCAACACGUACGUUGCUCAUCAACCAAGGAGAAAAGCUCUAUAAGACCCACCGCCAUCCAACCAGUGAUGGCGACCGAUCGACGCUGCAAAGCUUUUGGAUACCCACGAGUUUCUUGACAAUUCUCGUCAUUUUCCCAAGGAAUAUCACGCUGGCCAAAGUAUCCUAUUUGUGAUCUAAGUAAAUUGUUGUGGCGUUUAUUCAAGUUCAAAGUUCGGAUUUCCAAUAGUCAGACCACCGCGGUCUUUAUGAUUUAGGGUUUGGAGUUUAUACUCGAUUUAAAUGUUGGACGUGUAAGGUAAACAAGUAUUAAUGAUCAAGUGCUACAAUAUGUGCGAGGUGUUAUACCGGAAUUAAACGUUGGACGUGGAAGAGCUUGUGAUUAAAUUAUACGAAAACUGAAUACUGAUGAAGUUGUUAUGUUAAUUAGGAUCUGAGAUUAAAUCUGCAUUUGUCAUUUCAAUUAGUGAUUCCAAUGUUAUUGUUCGUCAUUCGCACGAACUUUAUAGCUUAUAGUCUUUCAUCUAAACAAACAUACUAAAUCACGGAGCACUUGAAAAGUAGGUUUUUAAUAACCCUUAUAUUUAGUCAGUUUGAUUUCGUUCUCUUGUGAAGUAAAAUUUGUUGUAAAUUGUUAUUGUGCUGAGAUCUCAUAUAUUGAAUGUAACAUCUAUUUAUAACAUCAUUUGUACCAUUGAUCUAAUUGAGGUAAGGCCCACUAAUACAUGUGGAUCUCAUUUUUAUUAGAAAGAUGAUACAAAUGGCGAUAUAAAUAGAUAGUAAAAAUAGUUUCUUUUGUUGCAGUCAUAUUUAGAAUAAGAAUGUGAUUGUGUAAAUCUUAGUGUAUCUAGGGAUAUCUUUUAUAUUCCCUUUGGUAGUUUAAUUUCUAUUAAGAGUUGUAAUCCUAAAAGGGUAAGGAUUUAACCUAUCCUGCUACUAUAAAUAAAGGCACAAUGGGGUGAUACAACACACACCUUACAAUUAAAUGUCUCUCUUCUCUCUCUCACUACCGCCGGCCUCCCCCUCUCUAUUCCCUUAGAAUAGCUCAGUUAAAUAGGCCUACAAUACAUUAUCAGCAGGCUCUUGCCAGAAGCUAAGGAACUGAAGGAUCAUAGGAGGAGGCUCUCUUCUACAAAAUUCAAAGGCUUUUAUUUGUUUUCUGCCAAUCAGGUACGCUUAAAAUAAAGUAAGAUAUUUGAAACAUCCACGAAGCAUGAAAACAUUCCCCAUGAUGCAUAAACCCCCUAUGUUUAUAUUUUCCUUUCGAUAUAUAUAUAUAUAUAUAUAUAUAUAUAUAUAUAUAUAUAUAUAUAUAUAUAUAUAUAUAUAUAUUGUGUGUGUGUGUGUGUGUGUGUGUGUGUGUAUGUUUCAUGCAUUACACAAUUAUAUUGCUAUGUGGAAUUUGUGAAUCAAAGCAUAUAAAUAAAUUAGAAGCAUAUAAAUAAAAGACGUCAUCUAGGAAACCGUGCGGCACGACUGCUGCAUCGCCUUGGACAUCCGUGUUGGCCUGCAACCUAGCCGCGUUAAGCACGCCACCAGGAUAACGUCAUUUUGACGCCUGACCCAUGGUGCAGCCCGUUGGGCUUGCCGUGAGCAAAGAAAACCCGGCCUCUUUGGCCUGGGUUUAGUUCUGAUUGGGCCUGCAGCCUUAGCCCAUAGCCGUUUGCUGGGCUUUGCCCUCACACCCAUGGCCUAUCACUAGUAACCCGUGUGUUGCUAGGCCUGGUCUUGUGUCCUUGGCCCGCCUGCAGGAAGCCCAUAUCGCUUAUUGGGCUUUGCCCAAAUCUCGACCCAUUCACCUACAACUGUUUGCCUCUGGGCUUGAACUGCCUCGACCCAAAAACAUGAAACCCAGUUUCGGAUGGGCUUCCUCAGACCGACCCAAGGCCAGCUUUCGCUAGGCCUACACCCGUGUCCAAUUUUUGGUCCAAUGCCAAUAGCUAUUGUUGCUUGGCUUACCCAGACCGCUCGGCCCGAGGCCUGCAGCCCUCAUCGAGGCCCAAUAAGCCUGCAAUCAUACCUGCAAGGCCCACUCCUGUGUUUUUUCAACCCGAUGCCAAUUUUUGGCAUCCCCGCGUUAUAAAUCAUGCCCAAAUAUUUUAUUUGGGGCGUUUUGGUUUACGCUAAUUAAUUCUAAUUUAAUUAUCACUUGGUUUAUCACUAACCGAAGCUAAUAUGACACAUUUGUCAUUAUUUUGCUUCCACGAUCGACCCCGUUUGGUCUUGAUCUAUUGAAUUAAUUAAAAGUGACAUGCAGUCCCUUAAUCUAAUAAUUAAUCCAAUAAUUAAUCUAAAAUUAUUGACCUAAAAAUCACUUUUGGACAUUAAUGAUUCAAUAAUUUAUUUUUAUACUUUGAACCGUUGACAUCCUUUCAUAGUCCCGAAGCAACUCAAAUCCACUACACUUAAAUCAGCAUAUUGCAUUAUGUGUUCUUGCAGGAACCUUUCCUUUAUGAACUAAUCGUUCAUAAAACUAAAUUGAACCUGUAGUUUCAUAUUUAGUGCCUUUGAAAUCUGAAGUUUUCAUCCAAAACGUACCACAUGAAAUCAGUAGCUUUCAUGCAUAAAUUAAACCAAUGUAUAUAGAACCCCAAAUGUUAUACAAUAUAUGUCUAUGGAUCACCAUCUAACUAACCAUGUUUUUGUUGUACCCUCCGUUUUAGGGACAUGUCGAACUUGAACAAGCUCGAUUUCACCGCUCUGGAAGAAACUAUCUGAAGUGGAUUCAAGACGUGAAGUUUCAUCUUACUGUAAAAGGUAUUAGAGCCACCAUCGAGGCACCUAUCGAUGACAAACCAGUCGACGAAGCUUAGAAAGCUAAUGCAAUGAUCCGAGUACCUCGUCGAGGAAGACCCACGCACCAUCGGGCUUGCUCUGGCCUUCAGUUUCGAUCACCAGAAAGACAUCUACUUGCCUGAAGCAAGACUUGACUGGUAGCAUCUUCACUUCCAAGACUUUAAGUCAUUGAAUGAAUACAACUCUGAGGUUUGUAGAAUCCGAUCACUAUUGAAGUUCUGUAAAGUGGAACUAACCAAUUCAGAUCUCCUGGAGAAGACAUAUUCGACCUUCCAUGCCAUCAAUAUUGUCCUGCAGCAAUAAUAUAACGCACAAAAGUUCACCAAAUUUUUGGAUUUGAUCUCUGUUUUACUUAUCACUGAAAAGCAGAACCAACUUUUGAUGAAGAAUCAUCAAGCUCGACCCACUGGCUCGAACAUCGCGCCUGAAGCGCAUGCGACCAAUUCUAGCAGCCACAAACGACGCAAAAAUCAUUGUGGCCGUGAAAAUGGGCUGCAAGCCUAACCACGGGCCCAUGGUCAACAGAAUCAAGGCCCACUCAAGGGAGGAAAUUUGACCCAGAAACGCCAACCCCUUGCCCCUAAGGCCCCAAACUUCAAGAACAAAGGAAAAACUACCGUUUAAUCUGCUUCCACUGAAAUGGACAUGUGAUAUUGUUGUGAAUCAAAUGAUCAUUAAUCACGCGUAUACCGAGCUACCCCUGAGGCUAUUGCCAAGUAUCAUUCUUGUCGUGAGUCUAACUUUGCACAUGUGGAAGAUCUGAAAGUUGCUACUACAUCUAUGGAGAUAUCAGAUUUUCAAGAGGCAUAAACUCCUAUGUACAAAUAAAUUUUAGAUAUGUUUUUAGGGUGUUUUACCCUAGUGGCCGAACCCACUAGGAGAGGCUGAACCCCCCCCUAAAUUUUUAGGUUUAUGGUUUAAUUUUUGGACAAUUCUUCUAAGACUUUGGAAUUAUUUGUUUGGUUUUUGGUUUGUUUUGAAUUAUGGAUAAUUAUUUUGUGGAUAUUAUUUCUCGAAUUGAUUAAUUGAAUGAAUGGAUUUAUAGUUAUGCAUGUGACCAAUUCAAUCAAUUUACUUCUAGGUAUAUGUCUAGUGGGGAAGUUAGUUGUUUGGCUGAUAGUGCUACCACGCACACCAUAUUGCGUGAGCGGCACUAUUUUACUAACUUUGUACCUAAGAAAGCACCUCUGACAACUUUCUCAGGCUCAUCCAACCUAAUUGAAGGAUACGGAAAUGCCCGUAUCAUGUUGUCCAAUGGUACUGUCUUAACCAUUAAAGAGGCCCUCUAUUAUCCACGUUCCGGAAGAACGUUGCUAAGUUUUAGAGAUAUUCAAGAUAAUCAAUAUCAUAUUGAAACCACUGAAGAUAAUGGUUCUGAAUUUCUUUGUAUCACUUUGUACGAAUAUGGCCAAAAGCGUAUUCACGAGAAGUUGGAACGUCUUCUGAGUGGGUUGUACAUAACAACCAUUAGCGGCAUAGAAGCCCACCAUGUGGCUGGCCCUAUGCCUGAGUUCCAGAGCACUUUGUUGCUUUGGCAUGACCAUAUGGGAUAUCCCAGACAUGAUAUGUUGCGUCGUAUCCUCAAAUCAUCACAAGGGCAUCAUUUACCUCCCUACAUUGGAUUCCCACCAUGCAAAGUGUGUUCUUUGGGGAAGUUAAAUACUCAACCCUCGAUUACAAAGAUUAUUCACAACCCUCCUAAGUUUUUUCAGAAGAUUCAAAUGGAUAUUUGCGGACAUAUCCAACCAACAUACAGACCAUUAUUUUAUGGUGUUGGUUGACACAUGGACACAAUGGUCACAUAUUUUCUUGUUGUCCACAUGCAACGCUGCAUUUGCGAAACUCCUAGCAUAAAUUAUUAAGCUAAGGGCUCACCACCCUGAUUAUCCGAUCAAGUCGAUUCGAUUGGAGAACGUUGGAGAUUUUACGAAACGGACUUUUAACGAUUAUUGCAUGUCAGUAGGGAUUGAAGUGGAACAUCCUGUACCUCAUGUUCACACCCAAACCGGCAUGGCUGAAGCUUUCAUAAAGCACAUUCAAUUGAUAGCUCGAACUUUGGUUAUGCGAACCAAACUACCGGUAUCUGCCUAGGGUUAUGCAAUAUUGCACGUAGCUAUGCUGGUUCACCUAAGGCCCACCGUUACCCAACCUCAUUCACCGUUACAGUUGGUUACUGGAUACGAGCCUAACGUCUCGCAUUUAUGUGUGUUUGGGUGCCCAGUUUAUGUGCUAAUAGCGCCACCACUAUGUACCAAACUGGAUCCUCAGAGAAAAAUGGGAAUAUAUGUAUGUCGGUUAUGAUUCACCAUCAAUUGUUCCCUAUUUAAAACCCUUGAUAGGAGAUCUCUUUACCGCAUGUUUUGCGGAUUGUCAUUUUGAUGAGACAGUUUUCCCGUCGUUAAGGGGAGAUAAGUAUACUAGCAUUCCUAUAUAACGUCGUGGAUUACUCCCACUAUGUCUCAUUUAGAUCCCCGCACCCUUCAGUCUUAAUUGAAGUGCAACGUAUUCUAGAUUUUCAGAGCAUUGCUCAAAGCAUGCCAGAUGUUUUUACUGAUCUAGCAAAGGUGAUGAGAUCACAUAUACUCGCUGCAAACACACCUGCAAGGAUAAACGUACUUAAAGUACGCUGUAACACCGUCGUGGAAGGCUGGACCAUCCCCGAGGGUGUGGCGGCUGCACCUCCUACACGGCACGGUACACUGGCGGCUAACCAAUCACCUGCUCCUACCCUGAAGCGUGGCAGGUCCCUUAGUUCAAAGGAUUCACAACCUCAGAAAAGGAAAACAUCACAAACUAGUGAUCCUAGUCUGAAUCUAACCAUUGCUUACUCGUCUGUUUCAUGAGGUUAUUCUAGAUUACGGUGAUGUCUUAGAUGAGACAUACCAGCCUCCCAAGAAUCGUGAGAUUUCGAUCCAUUACGCAGUAUUGGAUGAGGUUUGGAAUUGGAAUGAAAUGAUUGUUGAUCAUACAUUUGCAUAUACCGUUGCUUCUGACAUCAUGCUUAGCAAUAACAUUGAACCACGUUCCGUUGAUAAAUGUCACGUCACAUUGAACCAUCAAUCCAGGUUAAAUUCAAUUCACUUGUGAAACGUAAAGUGUUUGAACCUGUAGCUCAUACUCCACCAUAUGUGAAGCCCGUGGGCUACAAAUUUCGUAAGGAAGCAUAAUGAGAAGAAUGAAAUAGUGCGAUAUAAAGCACGCCUCGUAGUGUAAGGAUUCUCUCAACGCCUAGGAUUGAUUACAAGGAUAAGUAUUCCCCUGUAAUGGACGUUAUAACGUUCUGUUACCUAAUCAGUUUGGUAGUUUCUGUAAAACUAAAUAUGCAGCUUAUGGACGUGGUAACCGCGUAUCUCUAUGAGGAUCUAGAUACAUAUAUCUACAUGAAAGUUCCAAAAGGACUUCCAUUGACUGGUUUAAAUAGUUCUAGACCAAGGAACACUCUUUCUAUUAGAUUAAUCACUCUACGAAUUGAAAUAAUUCGGACGGAUGUGGUAUUACCGUCAUUUGACAAGUCAGGGUUAUGUGAACAAUGAAUUAUGCCCAUGCAUGUUUAUAAAGAAGUCACAUUCUGGAUUUGAAAUCGUUGCAGUUUAUGUCGAUGACAUGAACCUUAUCAAGACUCCCGCAAAGCUUGAGGAAAUUGUUGUUCACUUGAAAUCAGAAUUUGAGAUGAAAGAAUUUGAGAUGAAAGAUCUUGGGAACACUCGAUACUGUCUCGGCUUGGAAAUCGAGCACUGUUCAGAUGGAAUCCUAGUACAUCAAUCAAACUACACCCAAAAUGUGUUAUGACGUUUUAAUGAGGAUAAAACGAAGUCGUCGAGUACACCUAUGGUCAUUUGGACUCUAAAUGCUAAACGAGAUCCCUUCCAUCCAAAGGAAGAUGAGGAAUAGAUUUUGGAGCCCGAAGUUCCAUACCUAAGUGCAAUUGGGGCUUUAUUGUACUUGGGUCAAUACAUUAGACCUGACAUCUCCUUCGCUAUUAAUCUUUUGGCUAAAUACAGCAAAAUGCCCACACGCAGACACUAGAAUGGUGUUAAAGACAUUUUCCGCUACCUCAAAGGUACUACGGAUUUGGGCUUGUUCUAUACCCGUGAAUCUUCGAGAAUUACCGCCACCUCAGUCUUUGGAUUGAUUCCCGCCUUGUUAGUUAUACAGAUGCUGGAUAUCUAUCUGACCCACAUAGGGCACGUUCUUAAACGGGCUAUGUCUUUACCGUUGGAGACACCGUUAUAUCUUGGAGGUCUACCAAGCAAACGCUAGUUGCGACUUCUUCGAACCAUGCUGAGAUUCUCGUCCUACAUGAAGCAUUGUGUGAGUGCUUUUGGUUGAAAACAGUCAUGGAACAUAUUCGAAGCACUAGUGGUCUUACUUUUGUCGUUGACCUUCCUACGACGAUCUUUGAAGACAAUGAGCAUGUAUCGAGUGGUUAAAUAGGGGAUACAUCAAAGGAGACAACACCAAGCACAUAGCGUCAAAGUUCUUUUGUUCUCACCAGCAACAACAGCAUCAGAAUAUUGAAGUCAAGCAAAUCCAUUCCUAGGAAAACCUGGCCGAUCUCUUUACUAAGUCAUUGCCCAAGUCUACUUUUCAGAAGCUCGUCCAAGAAAUCAGUAUGUGUAAAUUAUCUGAAUUAAAUUGCUUAUAGUUCUCUUAUUUGGAAGUUAUGUCUAACUCAGGAGGAGUAUCCUGAAGCAAACUCACUUGAUCUUAAUGUACUAUUUUUCCUACGAUUAAGAGCAUUUUUCCCAUUGAGUUUUUGCUACCUAACGAGGUUUUGAUGAGGCACCCAUCCUGAGAUGAUCAUACUCCGUUGAGUUCACUACUUUCGUCCCGCUUGAUGUUUGUUUUAGACAUUAUGCAUACUUCUCACUUUUUCUCCUUAGCCAAUGGGUUUUCACCUACCUUGGGUUUUACCAUAACGAGGUUUUGUGAAUUUUACUACCCAUGCAUACUUUCUUUAAAUUUGAGACUCACAUUUAUCCGUUGUGCUGCCGACUUCAUCAACUGUUCUACCUUAUCUGCUGAUGAUCUGAUGCGAUGUUUUGUUUGAGUAUUUACACACUCAAGGGGGAGUGUUGUAGUCAUAUUUGGAAUUGGAAUGUGAUUAUGUAAAUCCUAGUGUAUCUAGGGAUAUCUUUUAUAUUCCCUUUAGUAGUUUAAUUCAUAUUAAGAGUUGUAAUCCUAAAAGGAUAAGAAUUUAACUUAUCCUACUACUGUAAAUAAAGACACAAAGGGGUGAUGCAACACACACCUCACAAUUAAAUCUCUCUAUUCUCUCUCUCACUGCUGCUGGCCUUCCCUUCUCUAUUCCCUUGGAAUAGCUCAGUUAAAUAGACCUACAACAUCUUUAGAGUUUUAUUGGACUUUUGAUAUGUGUAUAUUUGUUAUUCAGCUAUAUUUUGACGUCACGAGUCUAUCCUCGAGACGUGACACCGUCAAUGUAAAAAAUUUAAAUAGACACGAAAUCUAUUAAUUUGUUUUGUUUUAAUAUCGCCUCUCUCGCAGUGGGGCAACACCUAUACACAAAAGGGUCGACCGCGUGAGAUAGAGACAGUAUAUACGUAGUCGUAUAUUUCUCAUGGUUUUCAAGUAUUGAAAGCCAAACAUUCGACUUGAACUUCUACCAAACAAAUUAACCACUCACUGCCAGAAUGUGCACCAUCUUUAUAUGCUAGCGAUGCAUCAUUCAUUCAUAAAAUUAUUUAUCACAUUUAUAUGCCACAUAUCUCCAGGUCUCGUUUUAAACUGGCAACUCCAAACUUAGCAAAGUGUUAUAUGCUUAUUGUACAUGCAUUGUGAUCCACCUAUCUGCCUCGGACAAUGGCCUUCGUUUUAUCUUCACGUAUUAGAACGCAUAUUAACCAUGCAAAUAUUCCAGUUAAAAAAGGUCGUACCCAGUACACAAGGCUCCCGCUUUACGCAGGGUCUGGGAGAGGUGAAUGUCGGCUAGCCUUACCCCCAUUUAUGGAGAGGCUGCUCCCAAAAAACUGAAAAAAUUAAUAUUCCAGUUAGCUCGAAUUUUUUAUUUUAUGAAAAGUAAAAUAAGAAUUCACUCAAUUUUAUCCUUCAACAAAGUUGAACUACUAAUUGUUGCGCCAAUUCAUUUUAUUAAUUAAAAAAAAAAAGCGCACUACAAGGCACUUCAACACAAAACAGUUUUCAUGAGACCCGAUAAACGUCAUACAUGCAUGGCUGUGAGUUUUCUAAAUAUAAUAAAGUUAUAGAAAGUAAGGUCAUCUCUAAUUUGGCAUUCGGCCCUUCUUAACCCAAACCUCCUUGAAUCGGUGCUGGCCCUUUAAACCCCAAAACUUGCAAAGGAAAAUCAAAUGGCAAGUUAAAAAGAAAAAAAUGGAAAAGAAAAGGAACGAUCAUUUCCAUUUCGCCACGAAGAAUCUGUGGAGCAAUUGAUGAAUCAGUAAGACUCGAACUUGGCCUUCUACGAUUUAAUUGUGUACAAAAACCAAAGUCUUGAUUUGACUUGGACAAAAAUAUAUGAAAGUAUUGCAAUAAAGUCCUAAUCGAUGAUGGAUCAAAGUUUGGAAAAAGUAGGACAUAUUUGAGAAAUGAUAUUGGAAGUAGACUUUGUAUAAAGGAGAGUAGAAAACAAUGAUGGAAAAUUAGAUCAAAUCACUAUAAGAGAAAUCAUCAGAAUGGAAUAUUAUUCAUUUGAAACAAGACACUAAACGAAAAGGAAAAUAAAAAGAUGGCUUUUUAGCCAAAAUGGUCCAUGAGAUUUUCAUAACAUAUAACUUUGGUCCCUGAGAGUCCUUGAGAUUGUCCAUCAACUAUUAUUUUGGUCAUUCCAUUAAAAAACUCCGUUAAGUGGUCCCUGAGCUUUUUAACAAAAGGACCAAAAUGAUGGAUGAUGGACAAUCUCAGGGACCAAAGUUAUGUAUUAUGCAAAUUUCAGGGACCAAAAUUAUGUGUUUUACAAAUCUCAGGGACCAAAGUUAUGUGUUAUACCCUCAAAUUAACGGAGUUUUUUAACGGAAUGACCAAAAUAAUGGAAGGUGAACAACUCAAGGACCACUUCUAUUGAUUUUAAAUCUCAGUAUGUGUUAUGCAAAUCUCAUGGACCAUUUUGACUAAAAAGCCUAAAAAGAUUAUGAGAGGAGGGGAUGAAGUAGAAGCUCUCUACCUCCUACCCUUCCACUAGUGGCUAGGGUUUUUCCUAUUCCCCAAGGAGAGUUUCUUUUUUGCGUCUAACAAGAAGAAUUAUGCCACUUAGUACUACAGUCUAGUGGUAUUCCUCUUCACUUGUAAGUCAGAUGUCUUAAAUUCGAUUCUCGCUAAAGACGAAUUUGAACCAUAUUAUUACUCACCCAUUGUGAGACUUAGCUCACUCUCCCACCCCUUAGCUUUAAUGUAAAUAUUACCAUUUUUUUUUUUAAAGAAUUCUAAACUACUCUUAUUUACAUCAAAAAACUGAAUGCUUACACAAUGACUUAGAUAGCCUAAUCCAUAUAUGCUUGAAACUAUUAUAAAAAAAAUGUGGUAUAUAUUCCCAUACAAAAAAUAAUAGUUUUACUAUGUCUAAAGUUCACCAUUUAAAGUUUAAAGUUCAGAAUUAAUCAUUGUAGGUACGUUAUAAAUAAGGUAAACAAAUAACACUGGAAAAUUUCUCAUCAGAAGUAUGAGUAUAUAGGAUAAUAGGUCCGACCUAACCAAAGAAAUUGAAUCCAAAUUUCAGCUUCUUCUGUUUUUCUAAAAGCAACCUUUCUAGAGACAACACUAAUAAAGUUCAGGUUUGGUGACUUAUUUUUCUGCGCUCCCAAACCAAACAUGCAUGUGGUGGUGGCUUGUACAAAGCAGCUGGUAGGGCACACGUGCAUGCAUGCCCAUAUGCCCCAUGAAAGAACCAUUCCUCUAACUAUGACCAAAAAAAAAAUCCAUGAUUAGUUUGCAUCUUUGAAAAGAAAACACAAAGCAAUUUGACCUAAAUUAGGAACAAUUUCUCAAGGAAUCAUGUGUUAGCUAGUUUGGACCCACUAUUAGGGUAGUGCCCUCAAUUUAACUACUUCUCCAGGUCAUUGGAAAGAGACCCAUCACCCCCUAAAACUUGUACAAUUAAACUAAUAUAGAAGUUUCUUGUCCUACCCAAGGGGAGGCCUCUAUAAGUCACCCACAUUUUGGUUAUAUAUCACACAUAAAUGUUAGGAAUAUAGGCUUCUCUAUGUAUCCUUUGUUUUAUAACCUAAUUCAUAGAUUGAAGUUUGGAAAAUUGAAUAAUUUGUCACACGUGGAGAGAAUGUGAUGCCUUAAUUAGAUUCUUUGUGGAUGAAAUGAUUAGUAUCCAACAACUAAUUAUAUGAGAAGGGGGUAGGUUUAGGCACAUCUAAUGGGGGCAUGAUUGACACUAAUAAUAUAAAGAAUAAUGUUUUUUUAUUAAAACAAAUCAACAGAAAGAUCUUCAACUAAAAAUGUCAUAAGAAUGAUGCAAAGCCAAUAAUGAUAGAUUAAUCAACAAUUAAGACAUGGUGCUCCCGCGCGCUUAUGCAAUGUGAUAAUAUAAAAUUUGAGAGAGAGAAGGGGGGGAGUUAAUUUAAAGUAAAAAUAUCGCUUGUGAUCCAACAAAAUAAAUUCUAAAAUGACUAUUUAAAUGUUACAUCCAAAGUAUGGUCAAACGAGACGCCAGGUGAACUAUGGACAUAUGAACAAUCCCUAAAAGUCCCAAAAACCCUAGAUUUGAAGCACAUAAUUCAAACUCUGGUUAGUUCAAAUCUAAUGUUUUUUAGGAGAUAACUAGAACUUAGAAUACAAAUUUCUUAAUACUGAUACUCUCCUUUAUCUAUGUGCUUAAUUAGAAGAUGUGCUGCUUAAUUAAUUACAAUCACGAUUCAAAAUUCUCCGGCUUGCCACUAAUACUUUACCUACUUUAAAGAAAACAAACAAACAAAAGUGCUUAAUUAAGUGACAUACGUUAUAACCACCGGAAAAGAAAAAAAAAUAACCUACUAAUUGGGCUUUUGCAUAUGCGACAUGAGAAAUGGUAAUGAGACUUUCUCAAAAAGUGGAAUACUCCAUAAACUCUCGACCAACUCAUUUUUUAGUACAAUAUUUUAUAAUAGUUGUACAAAAAUUGACGUUAGACUGUAGGUGUUAGAGAGUCCAUCUAAUAUUCAUGCAUGUGACAUAUGUUAUAACCACCAAAGCUAUAAAGAAAAUUAAAACCAACGCCAGCAAUAAGACCUAUAACUAAUCAAAGGCUUAUACUAAACAUUGACAAUUAGCGUCAGCCACGUUUGUUUUUUGUAAAACAAUUUUCAACAGUUAUUUAUGUUGUUUCUUCUGGUUGAGUCAACUUGAUACAUCAUUCUAUCCACCUAUCCACUGAUGGCAGAGUUUUCAACGGCCGACUUGAGGAAAAAAGGAGUUCAAAUCCAACAUGGUGACCAAAUACAUUGCUCUCUCUUUUCUUCUCGUGAUAUCCAGUAACCUGCAAAGUUGUUAUUGUCUUGGUACCCAAUUACAUACCCACCUUAGUCGACAAUGAUCCUAUGCAAAUUAUUAGUAUGAAUGAUUGGAAAUAUUUCUUUUUCUUUCUUUUCAUUAUUGGAGGGAAUAAACGAUUUAAGUGCUACUCAGUUGAGCUGAUCGAUUCAUUUUAAAUCUAAUAAUUUUUUUUUAUUUAACAACUACUCAUAUUAUAUCUAAUAAAAAAACUCAUUUUAAAAAAGCAUAAAUUUUAGAUGGGAAUGUUAUCUUCUAGUUUCUCAUUUUACGUUCUCAGAUUCCCUUCUCAUCAUGUAAUUUUGUAUGAUGAUCUAAACCUUCUACGUUUUAUUUGAGAAAUUUGGAAAAAUAACCAGAAUUUAGAUCCCAUAUAGAAUUAUAGCCACAAUGUUAAAUUUAUGAUAAUUAUAACCAAAAGUUGAUAUAAAAGUACUAAAAUACCCAUAAUGGCUAAAACCUUCCUCAUUUGCUGCUCUUAACCAUGAAAAAACCGACCUUCAAGAUAAAAAAAGAUUUGAAAACAAACCAGAGGGGCUACAAACUUCCUAGUCCCCAGGUCGCUGAUUUGGGUUCAACUUUAUUCCUUUUGGCACCAUUUGUGAAUCCCCAAAUUAUUUUCCAUAUUGAAAUCUGACGAAACAAAUAGAAUUUGUUAAUUUUGAUUUAUUCCAUCAUAAACUUGGAAGAAAGCCGAUAAAAAGACCCACUUCUAACAAUUGUUUUUGUUCAGAACGUUGUUAAGUUUUGGAAGACAUAAGUAAAAGAAUGGGGAGUAGAAAAAGAAAAAACAGAAGACUAAAAUCGUCAAUUGGAUUCAUAUAGGAUUGAAGAAGAACUAAAAGAGCUUGAAAUGUGAUAGCUUAAAGGAUUUAGGAAUUUUGUGUUCAAAGGCUCUGACUUCGAAUCCAAUUGAAGGGGAAGGGGAAUCUGUUGAACCGUCUACGGUGGUUUGCAUAUUUUAAUUUUGCAUUUUGGUAAUUUUAAGGGUAUAUUAGUAUUUUUAUGUCAACUUUUGGUUAUAAUUAUCAUAAAUUUAAAAGGGUGGCUAUAAUUCUAUAUGAGGUCCAAAUUGUGGUUAUUUUUCCAAAUUUCCCGUUUUAUUUCACCCCUUAUAGGUAAACUCUAUAAAAAAUAACCAAACUAGAAAUCAUUUAUCUGUUUGAUUAAUUUUGUCAAAAUUUUAUGAUUAAUUGAACAACAUGGUUUGUUUAACUUAGAAUUUGUGAAUUCUUCAAUAUUAUUCUUCUCACGAGAGGAAAUAUAUGUAGUUGUACAACCCUAAUCACAAUUAAUCUAGGAAACCUAUUAAGGAAAUGAAUCCUCAAUAUAAUCAAUUACAAUAUUUGCAUUCCUAUCUAACAAUCCGCCUCAAGUUGGUGCAUAAUAUCGAACAUGCCCAACUUGCCCAUAAGUUUUGCAAAUAUCCUCUUCGAUACUGUGUUUGUUAAGUCAUCUGCAAGUUGAUCUUCCGACUUGACUCUUGGUAUUUCAAAAAUCUCUAGAUCUAGCUUCUUCUUGAUGAAGAACCAAUGUACUUCCACAUGCUUUGUUCGAUCACGAUGAACUGUUUUAGUUGCGAUCUCACACGCAAUUUUAUUGUCACAAUAUAACUUCAUAAAUUUUUUCGAAUCAUAUCCCAAAUCCCUCAAGAUAUUUCGUGACCAAAGCAUUUCAAUAGUUCUCAAAGCAACGCCUUUGUACUCUACUUUGGCACUCGAGCGAGUAACAACAUUAUGUUUCUUACUUCUCCAAGCGACGAAAUUACCUCCUACAAAAGUGAGGUAACCUGAUGUUAAUCUCCUAUAAUCAAUCGAUCCUGCCCACUCGACAUCUGUAAACACUUCAACCUCCAAAUGACCUAUCAUGCCCACUCGACAUCUGUAAACACUUCAACCUCCAAAUGACCUUUCUUAGAUAACAAGAACCCUUUACUUGGAGCUGAUGUGAAAUCUCGUCCCCGGAUAUCACUAUUUCUUUUUCGUAUUUCGUAUUUUUCCAACUUAAUUUUAUUUUCGUUAAUUUUGUAGUUUUACUUUGGUUACAAAGUUUGGUUUUUUGUAAUUAGUCGUUCAAAAUCCGUAGACCUUUUGGGGUCACUCGUAGAAUUUUCAAAUAGGGCUCGAUCCUACAAACACAUAGACAAAAAUCGUUCCUGAAACAGAGUUUUAAUGAGGGAGAUAAGCAAUCAAAGUCAAAUGUAAUUUGGCAUAUUGUCGCUUUCUAUUUAUAGCUUCCCUAAGAAGUCAUUCCCAUUUUGGAAACCCAACCUAGAUAGCUGACCAGUUUACUCGUUUGACCCACGAUCUACCCAGGUUCGCUGGGCAAAUUUUUUACGAUGAUUUCGACAUUUUUUUGUUGUUUAACCAUUGUAGAGGGCUAUUCGAAGGCCACCGAUUUUUGGGUUAUUCUUCGUCGUCGAUCACUCAUCUCUAGUCACCCCGACAUCAACAAUCACAACCAAUCAACUGAUCUCGACCUUGGCAACAAAACCCAACAAAGAUCCAAGUCAUGAACCCCUAGUGACAGCAGAUCAAAGUUCGAAAGUUUUAGAGUUUUUUUUUUUCAGUUCCUCUCACCGUCUUCUGGCAUUUUUCGAUGGAGUAAGCCUUCAUGGAAUGUAUAAACAUUGCUCCACUCUUCACGAUCUUCGUUUUGCUAUAUUUUGGUAUCAAUAAUGUUAGUGUUGGCCGGAUUUUAGCAAAGGUUUGGUCGUCCACCGCUGUGUACAGCGGCGUAUGGCCAAUGACCUAAUUUUGUGUUCAUAAGCUAAAUUCAAUGCCUUGAAUUCAUUUCUAAUGUUUAUUUGACGAGAUUUCUUCAUUUGAACAUAGUUCCCAAAUUGACUACCAUAUGAAUUUUGUGAUUGACGGAUAUCUAACUAUUGGAUUGUCAUGAUACUUCUUGAACAUGCCUUUUUUUUGUCGAACUUCUUUAACAUGCUAUCAGUAUUAUUGGAGACAUGAUAGAACUUAGUGAAGUUGUGGUGUGUGACACACCCCAACCUAAAUCAGGGCAUGUUGGCUAUCACGUGAAAGUGACAUAACCAUGUGCACAGUGCGGAAGCAAAAAUUGAUAUAGAGAAAUAUGAGUAAAUAAAAAUCCAACUACUAGCAGUACUAAUUAUGAUAAGGUGCAAGUGCGAGAUUAAGUGUGAAAUUCACCAUUAGAGCAUAAAUAGCCUAAGUGCAAUCCGACUGAACAAGUACUAAUUAUACUACACCCAAAGGUGAUCCUACAUUUGAGAUGUUCUGUUAGAACCACCAUCAAAAUCCCCGUGAGCCACCAAAGCACUUCUACCUAAAAUCUGGAAGGACACAAAACAGAAAGUGUGAGUGGGCAAAAACAAAGCUUUUCAAAAUCAUUUCAUUUUUCAAAAGUUCUAAACCCUCGCCGUAAAACCUGUAUAAUUUCCUAGAAAAUAAUAUAUGUUAUAACAUAAAUUAUGCUCAGGAUGAAAAUCCAUAGAAAUAUACCAUGCCAAAGUAUCUCAAUGAAAUGCUAUAAGUAAUCCAAUUAAAAUGUAUCAAUGUCAGAUAUCAUAUCAGCCAAAUCCACAUACGUGACCUGCACGACUGAGUCUAUAGCUCAUAACCAAUCUCAACCAUAUCAAAUCCUGCACAUGAGUCGGAACCACCAAAAGUGGUCUGUACGACAAGACUAGGUGUAAAAUAAAUAUGCUCUAGUGCUACGAUCACGUGAAGACUGUACAAAUGAUCGCGGGUCACCUACAAGUUGGAACCACCUAAAGUGGUCUGUACGACAAGCCUGUGCACCUAACUUGGAUCCAAGGUGAACAUAUGGUGCGGGAGGUGAACAUCACGUGAAGGAUUGUGCCCUAACUCUGGGCGGGAGCACUAACACCAGGGUGCAAGUUUAUGAGCUCUCAAUGCAUCACAUCAUCUCUCGCAUAACUAAAGCAAUCUCAUAUCUUUAAUUUAUGAACUUACCUAACGCUUACUUGUGCGUUUGCAACACCAAUCAUAAAUAUAUGCAACUACUAAUGCAUAAAUAAAAUAGGCAGAUACUUUGCAUGGCAUUUCAAAACGUAUAAUCAUUCAAAUUCAUUUUCUGGGAAAAAUCUCAAGUAUAUAGGUAUAUACGGAAAACCAAAAGCCCACUCACUGAUAUGUGGAAGGGUCGUAGCCCCCAAGCCUCGAUUGAUGCUCGUCCUCCGGAUAGGUCUCACCUAUAUGCAAAAUAACUAAACAAACGUUAUUUAAAGCACAUAUACAAAACUAGGAAAUAACUUCUCAUACAAUGCUCAAAUGGGGUAUUUGAAUAUACCACCAUGACCUACUCAACCUCAGGAACAUCCUUAUAUUUUUAGAAAAAUUUUCCGACCACCCACAUGCCUUCACUCGCAGGCACGUGCCUAACACACCAAACAGAUUCCCUAACUGCGUUCGGGAAUAUUCCGUUAAAUAUAAGCAUAUACCGUUAAAUAUACCUGACAUUAUUAAUCACCAUUAGGAAUAUUCCGUCAAAGUUGACGAAAUAUUCGUCUUCUUCUCCGGCAAGUCACCGGAUUCCGUCGUCGUCGUCGGAAACUGGGAAAAUUUUCUAAACUUCAUAUCUUCUUCAUUUCUCAACCAAAAUUCAUGAAAUUUGUACCAAAAUGAAGCUUACAACGAGUAGAACAAAACCUUACCAACUUUAAGCCCUAAAAUCCACGGGAUCUCGCUGGAGAAACCUCAAUAAUCCGACCAAAACUUGAAACCCACGAAGUGGGACUUCCCGACGUCCAAAACACUCCAACUUUCUUCCCCAAGCUUCGUGAAGAUGUUUUAAGGCUUCCUAUGACCUUAAAACUCACUGAAAAGUCCACAUUUACAACUGCAUGAACAGUAACCCCAAUCGAGGAUCUUGGUUUCACGGGUUUUUGAGGUUUUCACGUCUGACUAAGGGUAUGGAUGAGCUCCUGAGUUCACAAGGAACACAAAAGCAACCUCCUCGACGUCGAUCCGAGUAAGAUAAAGCUAGUUUGAAGAGUGAUCGUACAACUUGUAUGAAAAAUGGAUAAAAUCUGAGAGAAUGAAAGAGAGAAGGGUCAACGGGUUGUUUGGGUGUGUGUGAGUGGUCCUAGUUUGGGUUACCAACCAAAACAAAUAAAAGCUUAAGUUCUAGUUGGGUCCAAAAAUUUAGAAACUUAACAUAUUGGUCCACCUCUAAAAGCAUGUCACACACAACAGACCUCAACGUCCAAGAGCAAAAUAAACAUUUCACACUGACGAUAAAAUAAUUCGGGACGGGCUGUGACAGUGUGUCAUCUUGGGUGAUGUACACCUUAGUAUGUGUGCAAGUGGCUCGUUAUCUAUAUUAAGAAUUAUUUAUCUAUAGAUUUCUAAGAUGACACCUGUUGUUUGUCUUAGGCGCUAGUCGUGUGUGAGCUCUUCUAUCCUUGUGCUAGGCUACUAUUGCACAAACUCCAAGUGAGUAACUUUAAUAUAUGUGACAUGGUUAUUACCCAUGAAAUUGUCAUGCUGAUAUACUUUGUGGUUAUGGUAUGCAUUUUUAAAUGUGUUUCUAUUGAAAUGUUGCUCUUAAAUUCAAUCAUCAAUCUACUUUUAUGAAGAAAAAAAAUUGUUAUAGUUAUUUGAGAUGAUUGAAAUGUGACGGCGAUUAGAAGACUGCUACCUUAUUGUCAUGGGGUUAUGUGACAUGGGAGUCUGCACCAUGUAACACUGGUACAUAGAUUGUCCUGUUUAGUUUAUCUGCAUUUGGGGACCAUACUAUUUAAGGGUUGUGUUUGGUUAAUCUGCAUUGGGCAAUCCUAGGAUCAUUCUUGGUUUAUCUGUUAUGGGUGAUCCUUAUUACUUAGGUGUGGCCUUACAUACUUUAAGGGGUGAUCAUACUUGGUUAAUUCGCAUUGAGCGAUCACUGCCUACCAAUGUUCUUAUGAGUGGUUCUGCUUGGUUAAUCCGCAUUGGAGGGCUACUUCCUACUUGGUUAUAUAUUGUAGGUUUUGGUCAAACUAUGUCACUCUAGCCCUAAUUUUUAGUAUGUUUAUGGAAGCGAGAAUUGAGAACCUGUGUGGUUCAAUAUAAAAAAAUUAAAAAAAACGAUGGUUGUCUGUGUGACUCAUUUGAGAUUUUCCAACGAGAUUUGUCUAUGAGUUUAUAAAUGGUUUUAUGAACUGAUGUUUCUAAACUGGGACCUUGCUAUGAUCCCACGAUCCCGGAUCCUAUAAUCUCAUAGUAGCAAGAUUUAGAGUGACUAGGUUGACCACAUUGCUCACAGAUUCUAUCUGACGGAGGGCGACUGGAACCACCAGUCAAAUGGCAGUAUAAGGGCUGGAUUGGUCCAGUUGGUUGGUGCGGUCAUGGUUACGAGACUAGUUUGACGUGGGAUGGUUUCGAGCGGUUAGUAUAGCAGUGUCGACAGCUUCAGACUUACCAUUCAUCUUUUCUUAGUGAAGAGCAUCGCGACGAAUAUACGCAUAGGCUUCUUCCAAAGGGGAAUAUGAUCUUUGCGUAGGAUUUCACCUCGAACUUGUUCAAAUUCGGAGUUGAGACUUGCAAAAAAAUUGCACUCUCUGAUGUUCAAUAGAUUUUCUGUAUGUUUUCACAUCAUCUUUAUCCUUCAUGGCCACCUGUUCACAGUGGUGCAGUUCUUGAAAAAUCUCCGUUAACUCUCCAUAGUAUCGUACAAAGUCUUCGGGUGACUAAAUAAGUGACGCAUUCAAGAAAAUGGGUGGAAAGGCAAGUCCACCCCUAGAAUUAAUCUUUGGCAAAUAUAGUCUUACACCACAAGGGUCCAACCCUCUCUCUGGCAGUUGCUGUAGCCAAAUUUUGCUCCUACUCCCUUAAGGUGUCCCCACAUUAUCAAGAAUAUUGAUCAGGUUAUUAUUUUCUUAAUCCCAAUAUUCUCUUUCUUCUCUACUAUACCUGCUCUCCUCUGGACGUCUUUUCUUCACUUUCCGACAGUUUACUACCAACACCAUAUACCUAUAUUUCCUUGUUCUAUUUUCAUCAUCUUAUUAAUUCAAAAAGCACUACUGCACAGAUGGAAGAUCGCUCCAGAAACUCUAUGAUGGGAAGAGGUAAUUCUUCUGAUACAAGAACCACUACUCAAGAGUCCCCUGAGGAGAGUAGUUGGACUAUGUACUUGCAAGAUUUCAUGAUAACCAAUAGUCAAGACGAUGACGAUGACGAUGACGACCGCAGUUCUUUCUCCUCAUACGGUUAUGAGAAUUGUUCCAUAAUCUCCGACGCCGCUUCUUCAGUCACCCGAAAGUUUACUAUUAAUGGAGAAGUUUUAGGGUUUGGCGUGGUUGGAGGUUAUAAUAGAUCUGACGUCAUGAUUAAGAGAAAACCCAAGGAAGCUUUUCUUGAUGAUGCUUUGGAGGACACAGCUAGUUCUCCAGUAAAUAGUCCCAAGGUGACUAUCCUAUUCCUAAUUGUUUUUUUGUCGGUCCAAUAUUUUUUUAAUCAUGCUAACUUUUUACAAGUAAAAUGUUUAACAUAUGCUUCCCAGAUUGAAUUAAUUUCAUUUGUACUUUCAUUAGGUUUGUAAUCUAAGCCAGUCAACUGUGGAACCAACAAUCCAAAAAGAUUAUAAAGACAUACCUAAUGCGGUAAAAAAGAAAUUUACCACACUAUUUUUUCAUCGGUUUUCUUUUUAUUGUAGCAUUGUCUUUUAUUAUUCUGGUGCUUAUUUUUGCAAACAAUGAGUCCUUAAACCGAUGGUGUGCUUUGAAUUUUUGCUCUUACAGGAGAAAGGAAGUGCUUCUGGCCGGGUGGAUGAGAGAAAUGAAUCGGGAUUUAUUGGGAGAGAGAGUGACUGCACAGAAUUGAAGAAAAGGGGACUUUGCUUGGUUCCAUUUUCUAUGGUAGCAAACUAUUUUGGAUGAAUCAUUGCUAUCAUAGUCCAUAUAUACUAGUACCUCAGUGAAUACGUAUAUCUCCUCUCUCUCUCUCUCUCUCUCUCUCUCUCAUAAUAAUUGAUUCUGUACAUAAUGUGAUCGAUUGCUUUUAUCAUAUGCUAUUGAGGAAGUACACUUCAUGUAUCAUCAAUUUCAGCAAGAACAAAAUCAAAACCAGUUGUCCAGUAGCUGUAGACGAUAUAUAUAGUCUUUUCCCGUUAGGUUUAUAAUAUGAUCACAAUCAUAUAAAGUCAUAGUAUCAACAGUAUCAAUAUUAUAAACGACGUAUCGAUGGCAUAUGUACACUAGCAUCUCUUAAAAGUGCGUAGUUAACCACGCUAGAUAAAAUUUGCAUAUACAAUAGCAGGCAGAAUUAGUGUUAGAUGAGGUAAGUGACAUUAAUUUAUUGGGCCAAAACUGCACAAACUUGAUUAUUUCCGUCGAUACUGUCUUUCAGUGAGGAAAUCAAUUAAGUUCAUUGAUGAAGAUCUCCACUAAAGGACCAUUUUGUUGUAAUAUAUCCCCCUUUCCAAUUUAUCUUUAUCUUAAAAAAUAAACAUUAACUACUAGACGCAUCAAAGAAAAACACUUGCCACUUAGUACUACGAUCUAGUGGUAUUUUUCUUCACUUGCAAGUAAGAGGUCGGUUCGAUUCUCGCCAAAGGCAAAUUUGAAUCAUAUUAUUGCUGGCUCAUUGUGAGGUCAAGCUCAUAUUCCUCCCCCUUAUUGUAAAUAAUAUCGUUUGUUUAAAAAAAUUGGAUUAGAUUGCUUGUUUUAAAAUAUCAGAUAUACAUUCACACCAAAGAAACAGACAUACUCACACAUAUGUGUACUGAAGAAACAUCCUUUGUUAGUAGUCUUUCAUUUGGAUACCCAGCACAUGCAGUUCCCACACCGUAAAAUUUUUGGUUUAUAUAUGUGUUUGGACUUGAAAUUACAUCUUCGUCCUGUACAAUCAAGGCCGUUGAAUGGGCGUAGCUCAUAAUCGUUGGAUGAAAAUAAGUGAAGAUAAUUUUGUGGUUAUUGAAGGAUAAUAUUGUGAUUUUUAUCAUAAUUAUCUUUUAAUAAUGAUUUAUCUUGUCUUUUUCUUAUGAAAGAUGGAAAAUAUAUCUCAUGCUGGAAACAAGCGGCAUGAUUCAAAUUGGUUUGAAUGUGUGGUUUGGAUAAAUUUUGGUUGACGGAUCGGCAUGCAUACGAUGAGGUUGAGGGAAAAAAUGGUGAUAUGCUUGGGAAAUAAUUCUACACGUGGUGGCGAUAAGAUGGCAAAACAAUUGUUGGGACACAUGGUCUUCAUGCAUGCAUAGGAAACUUGCGGAUUGGGUGAAUCCCAAUAGGUAAUUAGAUAGACAUCUGGAACGUGUAGGUGUUUGGGCCCAAAAUAUCAGUUUGGGCCGAGUAUAGAAUUAUUCUCGGCCCAGAAGGCCUUACGACAGGGUUAUCAGGGAUCGUUUAGUUCUGGAUCGGUUAGGUCGUGGGCUUCCAAACCUGGGUCGGUUAAGUCAUGCUGCAAGACGAGUCGAAUCCUGGUGCAAUGAGGAGUCUCGGCAAGACUAAUAACCUGGAAGUGAAUCCGGCUCAAUAAAGGACUAGGUUCACAAUUAUAGUGAAAAUAGGAUUGGUCGAGUUGGUGUUUGAUCAGGAGAAGAAGUCCUAAUCCGGGUAGGUUUUUAACUCGACCUUGAAGGUAUCCGGUGCUAUAAAUAGAAGAGGUUGUAUAUCGUUCGAAGCCCCCUCCAAUUCAACACACAACUGCCCUGCGCAAACUCUCUCAAUAAUUUUGAGAUUUUUAUUUUCUCUUUUCGCCGACACAUCUUCCGUUGGCAUCAACAGCACUGUGAAAGCAACCGAUGAUAUCUUAAGUCGGAAUAGAUAGCUCUGUCGCCGUAGAAUCAGCCAAUCUCGCAGCAUCUUCCGUUGGUAUCAACAGCACUGCGGUGAGGACGGUUGGUUACUUAUCCAAGUCUCGGUCGAGAAAGAUUUCCGAAUCCUUAUUGAUUGAGGCCAUCUCAUUAGCCUUCUCGGCGAAGUGAGGUGUUACAGUUUACGGAGCUCAGCGCAUUGCACGCCGAGUUAUUUUAUGAUUGGAUACUCUCAAGUGGGAUUUAGAGUUCGGCAUUCAGAUGGUCGAACCACGUUCACUAUUAAGACGUAUAUUUGUUUUGAGUAUUUGUGCCCUUACACUUUGGUGUCGAUUCGGCGUGAAUUUACUCUGACGAAUAACAUCACUGUGACCGAAUCCGACGACGGCGAUUCGUGAACUUCGUAAGAAUAGUAGCCUUGUCUUCAGGUUCGAGAACCUAAGAGGCCGAGACGUGUUCCUUCCUCGGUCGCAAUCGCAAGACGCAGAAGUCAGCCGCGCACCCAACGCAACAUCAAUAAAUUUACUCCUCGGCCGAGCUCGGCCGACGAGUUGGCACGUCCUGCAUUCACUGAAGGACGUAGUUAGCUUAUAGAUUACUCGGCCUGCGUGCCACGUAGGCUUGGUAGUUUUUAGGGUCAACAAUAUGCUACAUGUAUAUUCGCAUUCUCUCACUACAAAGUGAUUGAGCAUUUGUCCAAUUUUCAUGAUCGAUCACUUACUCUUAUCAUCAUUAGUGUAUUUUCCUGGCGGAGAUGGUUUCACCCCUAACCAUUGCAAAAUUGAACUUAAAAGCGAGUUCGCUUUCUGUUUUGUCAUUGUUAUCUUAUGUGGUAUUGCCGGCUCGCCGGGUUUUUCCCAUUAGAUAUACUUUGUCUGAGCAAGGUUUAAGGCUUAAGGUUUAACAAAGGCCGUCUAUAGUCUUCCGUUUUGUAAUUCCUUUCUUUUUUAAUUCAGUUGCCAAUGUUUAAGAGAGAGGGGGAGAGAGAGAAUGAGAUGAAGUUGAAUGUUUUAAAUGUUUUUAAAAAAAAAAGAAUUGGUGUGCGCAUCCAGGGAAUCGAACCCUGGUCAGUACCGUGGGAGGGUACUAUGAUACCACUACACCAGAUGCGCUUGCUUGUUCUACUGAUUUACUAUAGUUACAACAUUUUUCCAAUUUGUUAUUUCUAACUUCUGAUUUAUGAAGUAACUUUAAAUUCACUAAGCCAAAUAGAAGCUCGUUCCAAUCCGAAAUUCUACUAUGCUUUUGUAUGAAUAAGGACAUCCUCAAACAACAAAGUUACAAUUAAAAAGCUAAAAAAUUUACUAAACAAGCAUUAAUAUAUUAAUCUAUUAAGUUUUUCAUACAAAACACUUAUAAUCAUUGUUGGCAAAGUCAAUCAUAUUGAUACUAAGAGAAAUGCUAAGGAGAUUCUCUUAAAGUAGGACUCUCUAUAGACUCUCCGUCACCUUAUGUUUUUUGCGCAAUGUUCAAUAAUGUUGGUACGGAAAUUGUGCUAAAAACAUGAGAUGACGGAAAGUCCAUGGAAAAAUCCACUUUUGGAAGAGUCUCUUAGCAUUUCCCUUGAUACCAAUUAACAUAUAGGUUUAAUUUUUAUUUUAAUUAGGGUUGGUCAUUGAGAUGCAAAAUUGAACCGUCCCCGUGUGGCAUGCACCCGACUGGAGAAAUGUAGAGCUGGAUGUGUUGUCAAGGAUUUAAUUAUAAAAAAUUAAACAGUCGAAGAUCUCAAUGUAUACUAUACAGUGGUGCAUACCAAAAAAACCCGAUAAACAAUUACUAAUAAAAAAACAAAAACUAACAGAAGGAAUCGCCUCUACCACUUCUAUUUUAAAAUAUCUACAUACUAAUGCAUAUGACUGAUUGAGAUGGGAAAUCCACAGACGCCUUUGGCCUUCUUUUUUGUUUCCAAUAAGUAACUCUUUUGUUCAGAAAAAAGAAGAAGAACAGAGAGGAUUCACCAAAAGAAUUAUCAAUUUGGUGUUAUUCAAAUUUCCACCAUCGGUUUUGAAUAUUGUUACAAUUAUUCAAACUGUUCAGCUAUUUUGCAGCACGUUUUGGAUCCUUGAAACGAGCAGGUUUCGGGUUUAUUUUUUCUCAGGAAGCUUCUCUAGCAACUCCGGAAUAACUUCAAAUAUAUCGCCUACGAGUCCAUAGUCAGCAACCUGGGAUGAUUAAAGUUUAUUUUACUAUUGGAAUGGCAAAAUCAGCAGCAUGUAAUUGCAUCCAUGUCAUAUCAUUCCAAAAGGUCUUGGAACUACGAAAACCACAUGCAAAGCAAGUUUUGCGGAAUGUAAAUUCCUUAAACCUAAAACACAAUCUGAUUCAUAUUUCAAGAACGCUUCUCCCUUUUUCUUUUCAGCAGCGGAGGAAGUAAAAAUGGCUUGGACUUUUGGAUCUUUGAGAAAAUACUAAAUUCUUUAAGAAAUGAAUGCAUCUUGUAUAGGAUGCACCUUCACAAAACUUCGAGAGAGUUCAAAUCAUCACCUGAAAUAUUGGGGCAUCUGCAUCUUUGUUCACAGCAACAAUGUACUUGGAAUCUCUCAUGCCUGCUAAAUGUUGAAUGGCUCCUGAAACACCAAAAGCCAGGUACAACUCCGGGGCAACUAUCUUUCCAGUUUGGCCAACCUAACGGACAAAGCAAUCACAUUCUAAGAGAAGUUAGAACAAAAAUACAGGACAAACAGAACAUAAGACUAACUAUAACAGGAUCAAGGAUGUGAGACAUCAUAUCCUCGAGAUAGUGCAAAUGGUUAAGAUUCAUGAUAUCUUUAUGGCGAACCAUUUUGAAAUCAGAACAUUCAAUUCCAGGAGAUAUUUUGCCUGUUGAAGAAGUAUAAACUAAAGAGGAAAAAGCAUACUAGCUUUGACUAGAACAGGUACUCCAAUAGUCCAAUGAAGCAUCCGCACUACAAACUACUUAAUUGGACUACAAACUACUCCAAUAAUCCAAUAGUCCAAUGGUCCAAUGAAGCAUCUGCACUACUAACUACUCCAAAAGUCCAAUGACUAGAACCGAAGAUGUUUUUGGAUCCCAGAAAGGAUUCUCAAUUGGGACUCAACAAGCCCUUCUAUAUGGGAUGAAUUAUUCACUUGUUGCAUAAUGUUGACUUAUAACAGAUGAGUUUUGAGAGUAUCAUGUCAUUACAUUAAACACAAAAUAUUCUUCAAGGUUGGGAAGAACAUUUAUAAAUGUUACCUGCAGCUCAUUAGGAACAUAUCCGGCAUCAACAGCAGCACGGGUAGCUCCAACUAAUGAAAAGAGAGGAAAGAAACGUCAAAUUAUUCUUAUCCACAUUGCAAAAACAGAACAUGCCUAUAAGUUCCAAGUAUGGAAGGCUAAAAUUCAUCUAAACUGUGAAUUUAAUGUAUGUUGUUGAUAUAACUCAACAACAUAUCACAUUGCUAGAACAGAAUAUGCGUAUAGACUCAAAUAUGGAAGGUUAAAAAUUUUCUAAAUUGUGAAUAAAUGUUUAUACAACUCAACUAAAUUCUGUAUAUCAUAUUAAGUCGUAAGAAAGCACGGCAAGUAAUCAACAAGAAACAUUACAGGUUAUCAGCAACAAGAAAAAUUACAGGUUAUCAGCAUACACAAGCACAGCCACAACGCACACGUGACAAAGUAACAAGAAUAAGAAGCUCAAAGAGCAACACUAAUAAGAUUACAGAUGCUAGAAAGAAAGAAAAAAAGAAUGGAGUUCUGAGCACAAAAAGGAUCAGUGGAAUUACCAGCUGCACCAAGUUUCUCUGCGAGUUUUUCUAUCAUUUUGAAGUUUUCAGCACUUUUCAACGCACGGCCCCCAGUAACCACAACACGAGCAUUCCCAAGAUCAGGCCGGUCUGUAUCCUGUGAUGUGUGCUUUACAUAUCGAGAUUUACAAACAGAAUCUGCAAAUGAGAUAAAAGCUAUGUAAAAAUAUGGCCUAUGUUUUAAUAGUCAAUGAGGUAAAAAAUUUAACAGCUCCAUUUAUGAUCAAAAGGAUGUUUUCUAGGGUUACACCAUGGACACUUGUAGCAUUACCGUUGACCAGCGAAAAUGAAUUCACAGGUGGGCAUAGAAGCAGUCACAUAACUUCUUGUUAAUUAAAUUAGAUUUAAACGUAUAUUUGACUAGUAGAUAUUAUGCAUUCAAAAAUGACAAUCUGACCUUCACCAAAGGUGGAGAGGUCAACCUGGGAGAUAGGAGCUUCAUUUGAUUUCGAAUCAGCCGAGAUGGGGGAUACUGGAAAAGAUGUUGAUCUAAUGCUCAGCAGACAAGGGCCAGCACCAGUGUAUCGAACAGUACAAAGGGCAUUUCCGGCAUAUAUUGGCCUGCAAUAUGAAAAGAUAAUCUUACAUUCUUACUGGUAGCCUGAUGAAACCGACAUGUACCACAGAUACAGAGUCCAAAGUCAACCAAGACAUGCUUACACAGGAACGUGAAACUAACCCCUCUAGACCUUUCCAUAAGUGAAACAAGAUACAAGAAUAAAGAUGUAUUUCAUGUUGGCAUGCAUCUGAGUUAUAGUAAGCGGAUAGUUCUAGUUUGAAGAGCAGGGUAUUUCCUGAUGCAUGAGGAUAUGAUUUUGUAAACACGGUUGUAGUGGCUUUGAUUGAUUAUACUUCAGUGAAUUGCUAUUUCACCGUGUUGUACUGUUGUUUAGUUAAUUUCAUUUUACUGAAGUCGUUAUGUACAAAAUCACCAAACAAUAAUUUACAUAAUACGAGAAGUGAUCACAACAACAACCUAACAACAGAGUUACCUGACAAAUAGAUGAGAAUCAGAAAUUUCAAUCACAUCCGUGAUUGGAGAAACAUCUAAAAGCGCAGCAGCCCGUGGCAGUAUGUUCUUCCCAAAUGAACCCGAAGCAGUGAUUACAUGUGAGUACCCACCUUUCUGCUGAACCAAAUGGAUCAGUCUAGCCCAAGGUUCUGCUAGAGGAUGACUAAAUUUCUCAGAAUCAGCCACAAGCACCUACACAACAGUUAGCAAUCAAACACCAUAACACUCUACAUAUUUCAAAAUCCCAUAUCAUCAUAUGGGUCAGUAGCCCAUUUGGAAAUAUAAAGGGCCGUUUGAUAACCAUUUCGUCUUCAAUUUUCAAUUUUUUUUAAAACCGAAAACUCGUUUGGUAACUAUAUCCUAUAUGCUAAAAGCUAAAAACUGAAAUGGUUAUCAAACGGGCCCUAAAACAACCUCAAAUGCAAGAUUUUUAAUUACAGCUUGAAGAACAUGCGGGGUGCCAUUUGAGAUACCUGAGAAACUGACGGGUCACACAAAGCAGCAUUCGCAGCCGCGUCGUGGAGGGCAGGGCCGGAGCCUGCUAAUAGCAACGAAAUCGAGUUUUCGUCGCUCAAAGAACUUGCAGCCUUCACUGCGCUGACUGAUUGGGGUUUGAUAGCACCACCUUCGUGUUCGGCUAAAACCAAUGUGCUAAUCUACUCCAUUAUUCGAAAUAAAUCAGAAAAUAAUGACAAACUGGUAAUGAAUUUUCAGUAAAUUAGUCGAAGCGAAAAUUUGAAAAUUUUGAAAAUUCUGAGGUGACUGGAGGAAAGUGAGACUUACGGAUCUUGAAUUGAAGGAUGAAGCGAAAAUUCGUGACUUGAAGGAAGGAACGAUUCGUUUCCUCAAGGCUCUGAAAGCUGCCAUUUCUGAAGCUCUCUCCCUCUGUGUGUGUGUGUAGCUUUUGGGGUCGAUGACGAUGGACGAAGAAUGACAUAGGCAAACGAUCGAACCGGCUGAGCUCCAAACUUCCUAACAAACGUGGCAUUCUUAUCAGUUAUCACAACGGUUUUUAAGAAAAAACGGUGCGUUUCACGUGGGUCUUCACUUUUACCUUCUCCCUUAAACUUAAAACAUGGUGAUAUGUGUGAAUAACGAAAUCACAAUCCUGAUUGGCAUAUGGUUUUGUAACUAAGAGUUACCAUGGUAACUCUAUCUCCACUUGAAAUUCAAAUAUUCAACAUGGUAACUCUAAGUUACAAUCGUAAGCAUGAACCUGAGUAAAUUAUGUGCAUAAGAAUUUAAGGUUCCGGACCAACUUAACGGAAUAGAAUAGAAAAAAGGAUUCUGGAUCAUUGAACACCAUCCAACAAAGAUAGGGUUCCCCAAUGCGGAUUAACCAGGCGGACUCUAGGUAUCAAUCUGAUAGCAUGGUUCCUUAAUGUAGAUUAACCAGGUAGGACCACCUAUGAUCUAGUGACCAAGUAGGCAGUAACCUCCCAAUGCGGAUUAAGUACGCAAACUACCCUUAGAAUGCAUAUGAUCCCCCAAUGCGGAUUAACCAUGCAGAGUCACCCCUAGAAUGCUCAUAGUCCUCAAUGUAGAUUAACCAGGCGAGACCAUCCAUGUACGACACUACUACAUGGUGAUGUCAUUUCAUCGCACAUGAUAUAACAUACAAUAUAGACUCCACAUAAAUGACGAUUGUAAGCACAUACACUAUAGACUCUGCACGAUCAACAAUUAUGUAAUCACAGAGACGUACAAGUUUUACGGAAUAAUUAUAAUAUGGUCCUCGACAUAUCUCUUCAUACUAGUAAUCGCACAUUAUCAUUAUUGUUAUCUAGAAGCUCAAUACACACGUAAAUCCCAAUAAAGUGCCACUUGCAUGCAAACCGAGACAUACAUCCCUAAGGUGGCUCACUAACUAAGGUAGACCCACUAGAUUCUAUCGGGUCUCUAGUAAUGCUAACUUCCGCUCCUAAGAAUGAUUCAAAAUAUGUUGACCAAAAGUCAACCUUCAGUCAACGUGGUUAUCAGUAAAGUCAACAACCCUAUGUAAUUCAAUACGAAAGAUCCACACAUUGAAUUUUUGAUCUGUAAAUUCCUAAGAUUCUUACAUAAAAUGAAUAACAACAUACUAUAUUUCGUGACGAUCCAAUGGUCAGAUCUUUGUUUACUAUAAGAGUUAAGUGGAGGUUCUUUGUGAAUUUAGGUUCAAACGAUGAAAUCUCAUCAAAUGGACAUCGAAAAUGAAAUCAGGGCAUUGAAAUUAGUCUAAGGAGACAAAAUAGGGUCAUUGGCAAUGCGCCACCUCCACAUGCCGCCACACAUAACAGGCGACGGUUCUGACUCGUUGGAGUUUUUAACGAUCACCUAAAUGAUUCAAAUUAUACUAGCAUUAAGAUAGUGAGGAGAAAAAUAUUUUUCAUAUCUUCACCACAAUGCAAAUUUGGCCAGAAGACAGUGAAAAUUGUCAUGGAAGUCACAUAUUUGCUGUAAUUUUGUGGCGUCACCGUGGAUGCUUCGAUGGGUGAUCAGAACCCAUGGAUCUCGUCCUAGGGUCCUAGGCUGUCGACUGGUGGUGAUGGUAGACCUCAGGGUUGGACGGAAGGGUAGUUUUGUUGUUGGUAAGGCUCGGAGCUGUCGAUCUCGGUACGCCAUGGCCAAAUAGGCACAAGGUUGGGUGGGUUGUGUUCGUGAGGAUGAGGAGUUUAAUGGUGGUGGUGGCAACAAGCCUUGCCGUUAGGGCUCGCUGAAAAAAGCCUUGAGAAGUCUGGAUUGAACACAGGUCACUAAGCCGUGUACUCGGGUCAAUGCUAGCCAACACCCAAAUGGGAAGGCUUCUUUAGUACUUCUUGAGCCUUCCACUUAUAAAGGUCUUAAUGAUGAAAAUCUGCCCGCCUUUGCUUGUUUAUUUCUCCUUCGUUAAAAUUCCAUUUCGCGAACGGUUUUCGCCUAUGCGUUCGUAGGGUUGAGCUUUAUCCAAAAACACUAAGAGUGACCUCGAAGGGCCUACAACCUUUUAAUGGCCAUUUACGAAAAUCAAACUUUAUAACUAAGUAAUCAAAACUCUAAAUUUGAUGGAAAAUAAUAAUAAUUUUCUGAAAAUAUGAUAUACGAAUAAUUGAAUAGUGGAAUCCAGUGAUGAGAUUUCACAUGGACAAGUGAGUCGAAGAAUGUUGGCCGAGAUUUGUAAGGUGACGAAGCCAUAAAGUGAUAGUGAAGUGGAAAGUUAAGAAUAAAUCAAAAGAUAAAUUAAAUGGAUAAGAGUGUGUAUGUGAGCGAGGUUAAAUCUUUAUUACAAAAAUAAAUGUCAGAGCAUAAGUAUCAUGGUGCAACAUAAAGUAUAAAUACACUUACAAUUUCCCUAAGCUCAUUAGUUAACUUAUUUAGUAAAUUAAAAAAUUUAAUUUUAAAUUUUAAAUAUGUAAUCUAAACUACAUAUUAAUAGUAUCACUUACAUGUGAUUUUAAGAACUAUAAUAUUUAAAAUUAAAAAAAAAUUAAAAGUAAACUUCUCCCCUCUCUCCACUCCCAUGUUAUCUCUUGCUCUCUUUCUCUCGCUCUCAUCCUCUCUUCACUCUCUACUCCCACGAUCUUUUGUAAUUAUAAUAAUUUUUUUAAAAGGAAAACUAAUGAAAAAUACUUGAAAACUUUGAGUUUUAACGAUAAGGACAAAAUAAAGAGUAAAAUGAAUAUUAGUAUGAUUGAUUUUUUAGUGUACAAAUAUGAUUUUUCGUUAAAUUUUUUUUUUUUGAAUUCCAUUAAAUUUUAAAAUAAACUCAUAAAAUUCAAGUGAUAUUACUAUAACAUCAAGUCAAGUUCCUCCACUCGAUCUGACUCUCUUGCUGCCCUAUUGGCCACAACAUCCUCAGGGGACCUUGGCUUAUCACCGUCGCACGUGACCGAUACGUAGGAGCGAAAAACAAAUAGAGAAAGCAAAAGGCGAGAGACUAACGCAGCAGCUCUCUCUCCCAUUUCAUUCUCUCUGUGAUUUUGCUCGGGAAAUCGGGAUUUGAGCUCUCCGUUGCUCUGGAAUCAAAUCCAGUCCGCUCAUCUCAGCCAUGAUUUCCACCGGCAAGAUCAAGUCCGUCGAUUUUUAUAGGUCAGAUCUCUCGCAUUUCCUUCACUCCCUCUCACCGUUCAUCAGCUCUGUGUGUGUGGUUUGGAUCUGAUCGUGGGAAAUUCAGUUGGUUUUGGUGUAUGUGAUCUGUGAAUUUUAUAUGGACAAGGGAAUGAAUGGCUUGGAAUUAUAAAUGGAAUUGAAGUGAUUAUAGUCAAGAUUAAUAAUUUAAUCAAUACUAAUGAAAGAGAUUGGUGAUUUGAUUAGUUUGGUUGCUUAGAAUUACUAUAGUAAUUUUUUUCUUUUCAGAUUUAGGUUGAUUGUUUUUUUGGAGGAGUUGGAAUAGUGUUUGAUUGCUUGAAUGAACAUUGGAAAGUAAUGAAAUUGGUAUUAUCCAUAAUUUUUCGAAAUCGAACUUUCUAUGGAAUACCUAUUUAGCUGUUACACAAAAGAUGAAUUAGGCAUUCCAUCCAUACGUUGGUGCCAUUGAAAGGUCCAUUUCAACCACACCACCGAAGAGCGAGGAAGCAUUACUAGAUUAUUUGGAUGUGCUUAGUGGAAGCAUUAAUAGCAAAAGAUUAAAAGGUUUUAGCUGCUGGGUAUCUGGCCUUUAUUGUUAUUGUUUUGGGGGACAAAAGUUAUAGAAACAAAAAGUUAAACGGAAAGAAAACCCGAGGCAAAAGAUAAUAAAUAAUGAUACAAAACAAGUAUUGGAAAGCAAAUGUGCUUUCAGAGUCGUAGUGCAUAGCAUUGACAUAAAAUUUUUUAACUACAUGUGCUAGGAAUUGGGUAAACUUUCUUCAUGCAUGUAUGAAACUAAAGUUAUAUUGUGCCGCAUUGCAUCUCUUCUAACCCUGUGAAAUAGAAGGAAAAGGAAAUUUUCACAAACACCACCUGGACUAUUAGGGGUGUGUGCAAAAUACCACCCAAACAAAAAAUCUUGCCAAUUUACCACCCGUACUCCACUUUUAGUGUGGAUAUGCCUACUCUGUCAAUUUCCGUUAGAAAUUCCAUCAAAUCUCAUUAUGAGAUGAGCACGUGAGCACUUUUCCUGCAUAUUUUGGGGUAAGAAUUUCGUUGACUAUAGCUUGUCUUCGAGGAAGCAGAAGAUAUGUCAUGUGAGCUUUUAGUCAACUGAAUUCUUACCCUAAGUCAUCUAGGGGCCUUUAAGUGUAAAAAAUAUACUUGUAAAGGGCUCACAUGUUUUGCAGUCUUUGCAGAUGAUACAACAACAACAAAGCCUUUUCCCACUAAGUGGGUCGGCUAUAUGAAUCCUAGAACGCCGUUGUGCUCGGUUUUGUGUCACGUCUUCCGUUAGAUCCAAGUACUCUAAGUCUUUUCUUAGAGUCUCUUCCGAAGUCUUCCUAGGUCUUCCUCUACCCCUUCGUUUCACAUGUCCAAAAGUCUUUGCAGAUGAUACAUUUUGACUAAAUGUUCAAAAAUUAAUGGAGGUGGUACAUUCACGCUGAAACAUGAAUCUAGGUGGUACUUUUGUUUGGGUGGUAUUUGCACACACCCCUAAUGGUGCUGGUGGAUUUUAUCAGUUUUUUCUAUAUAAAAUAUAUAAUCUGUGCUGUAAUUUCGGUGCAAUAGUUUCACCUAUAGGGGUUGUCCUGAUAUUUUUAUAAAUAUGUAUUUAAGCUACAAAUGCUUUACCUAUGUACAGGAAAAUUCCUAGAGAUUUGACAGAAGCAUCAUUAUCCGGUGCAGGAUUAUCUAUAAUAGCAGCUCUUGCCAUGAUGUUUUUAUUUGGAAUGGUAAGCAGCUCAUAUCUCUAUUGGUUACUAAUGCGCUCGAAUAUUCAAAUUUGACCCAAUUGACAUGGAUGGAGUGAUGAUUCUUUUUUAAGUUUUAUCUCCAAUGAUGUUUUUUUUGGGAUGCUUAACCUUUUUUCUAUUUUAUAAUAUCUAUGAGAAUUUCCAGUACUUCUGUUUCGUUUUCCAAGUUCGUUUCAUAAUUCUAUUUUGUUGAGAUAUUCUUGUGGUUAAUGUACAUCAUCAUAUCUACAUUUACCUUUCUAUUUUUCUUUUUCAGUAAUCUGUUUCAGCACUUUGUUACUUUAAUUUAAUGAUCAUGACAUUCCUUUACAUCCUGGUGGAACUUAUUGUGCUCAUUUUACAGGAACUGAAUAAUUAUUUGACUGUCAGCACCUCUACAUCUGUUAUUGUUGACAAGAGUUCUGAUGGGGACUUCUUACGCAUUGAAUUUAAUGUCAGGUAAACUUUCAUAGCGGCAUUGACGUUCAUGAAGUUAUUAAGUCAGUUUGUUCAAAGAUAACUAUUUUAACCAUCAUUUUGUAAGUCUACAUUAUCUUCUUAGUGGUGGUACACAUGUAGAUCCUAUAUAUGAAGUUAUGAACGAAUAGUUAUUACUAUUAUAAAUUAUUAAGAGGGGCAUAAGUGUCAUGGUUGAGAGUGGUGGGACUUAUGAAGUGUUGACAAAGUGAUGCCUAGUUAGGUUCAUGGCUUCACGUGCAUUUAAAUUGAUUAGGUUAAAAUGAUUCUUAGGUGCACUGCAUGCGAAUUAGUAGGCAAUGCUUUAAUCGGCCCGAAAGGGGCAAUUAUAUUGUGCGAGCAUUAGGCUAUCAGGGUGCCCCCUUUCUUACUCCUGGAAAAUUUGGUGAUAUCACAUCUCUGAUGCAAACUUUACUAAAAAAAAAACUCUUGGCUUUUCACUUUCGAUAAUUAUUUAUGCAGUAUUUCUUCCCCUGCCUUUGUCUCAGUUCCUUGGCUCCCUGACUAAUUUUAUCUCCUUUUUCAUGUAGUUUUCCCGCACUCUCAUGUGAAUUUGCAUCCGUUGACGUGAGUGAUGUGUUGGGAACAGUAAGCUUCUCUAUCUACUCUGUUGCUGAUUUUUUCUGCCUAAUCCUAUUUAUCCUUUGUUAGUUAUUUUUAUAUUCUUUAUGUGGUAUCCAUCUGUCCUGAAUCAGUUCCCUUUUAUUCUCAGAACAGAUUGAAUAUAACAAAAACAAUUCGCAAGUUCUCUAUAGGGACGGAUUUAAGACCAACUGGCUCCGAGUUCCGCUCCGGACCCGUUUUACAUAACAUUAAGCAUGGGGAUGGAGAUGAGUAUUCUGGUGAUGGUUCUAUUUCGCUAACUGCCCAGAAUUUUGAAAAGUUUACUCACCAGUAAGUGGAGCAAAGUUUAGGUCCAUACUUAUGAUAUUUAAUGCCCCUGAUGUGGGACACUUAUGUUGUUAUGUUGCAAAGUGAUACCUUUCCUAAUUUUGUUUAAACAAUUCUUUUGCAGGCACCCAAUUUUGAUUGUUAAUUUUUAUGCUCCUUGGUGCUACUGGAGCAAUCGCCUGGUAAAUAAAAUAGCUUCACAUAUUUUUCAAAUGUCUUUUGAUGAAAGUUUUAGCUUUCUUAAUCAAUCAAUUUCUACAAAUCUUGUUUUAUAAUUGCGUAUGCAUAUGCGUACUAUAUAUUUUUGGCAUGAUUGCAGAGAAAUUAAUCUCAUAUUUUGGCCAGAAAUUAAACGUUAGAUCAUGUAUGCCAAGAAUGAGAUCGUUCAAUCAUGGGAAAACUUGUCAAUUUCAGUUUUCAUUGGGAAUAGCACUAGCUGAGGAUUUGAAAUCUUUAAGUUUUGCCAAAAGAAAGAAAUUUAAGAGGUUGUAAUUUAUGUAUUUUGUUUCAUCUGACUUCUUUCUUACAUACAAUUUUUUUGGGUUUUGGAGACGUGUUUUACUAUCAUUUACUGCCUUGAUUGUUUCCCUUCAUUUCACUCUUGAUCAUGUAUGUGCUUGUGUGUGUGCAUUAUCUUUUGAUGAGUCACAAGAUCCUUGGGUUAAUUCAUGUUGCCCUCUCUUCAUUUUAGAUGGAACUGUUCUAUAUUUAGAAGAUACUUUGUGUGCAUUAAUUGUUUGGUUGAUGUAAUUGAACUAUUUAGUUGAAUCCAUUCAAAAGCACAUCUUUCUUGCUGCAUUUGGUUCUUCCUCUUUUAUUACUUACUUCACGUUAUCACUUUCUUUUCAGAAACCUUCAUGGGAAAAGGCUGCCAAAAUAAUAAGAGAAAGGUGCUUCACUCUGAAAAUUGUGCUGAUUUCUUCCACAUAAUAUGAUUUUCUAAGGGAGCUGUUAUUGGCACUCCUAAAUGGUCAUCCUGGACUCAUUCCUUACAAUUUGAAGUUCACAGUUCUUCUCUCUCUUUCGCUCUCUCUCACUCUCUCUCUGUGUUUCGCUCUCAUGCUCCCAUGGUUAACAGGUAUGAUCCAGAAAUAGAUGGCCGUAUUCUUAUGGCGAAGGUGGAUUGUACUGAAGAGGUUGACUUGUGUAGGAGGUAUAUUUUUAAAUGGCUUAGUCCUACUUUUCACUUGAUUUUCUAGGGAAUACAAAUUGUUUUUUUUAUACAUUCCAUUGUGAGCAUAUACAUUUUCAGUUCUUAUUAGCUGUAAAACCACUCUACAGUUGUAUUCGCAUUUUUCUUAAGGAAAACUAAUGAAAAGGGCUUGAAAACUUUGAGUUUUAAUGAUAAGGACAAAAUAAAGGGUAAAGUGAAUAGUACCAGGAUUGACUUUUUAGUGUAAAAAUGUGGUUUUUCGUUAAAGUGAACGGUACCGGGUGCUUUUCGUUAAAGUUCCCUUUUUCUUAUUGUAAAAGAGAGCUACACAUGCUAUAUAUAAUAGCUGACUUACGGCGGACAAGAAAACUGAAGGCAAAACUCCACUUAAUGUGCUGCAAUUGUAAUUUUGUAAAUAGCAGGUUUUUUUUUUUUUUUUUUUCAUUAAUGAAUAUUUUAAAUAAUAAAUUGAACUCGAAAUGAUCAGGGUGGUUUUUAAUUUUGCUUGAAAAUGUGGUCAAGACUUAAAAAGUGGAAGAGAAACCUAUUUACCUUUUAAGAAGAUUUUGGAACGAGUACUCUGAGCUGCCUACCAGUACCUAACUGGGGUGGUUUACGAAUCAGUACUAGAAUUUAGUUUUCUGAAGGGUGGUGCUAUCCACACACCUAUUUUUACUUCUCACACACCCUCUUAAUUUCUGACCGUCGGAUCAAAUGAAUUGAAGAAGAUCAGUGGACAAAAAUUAAAGGGUGUGUGGGGGGGGGGGGUAAAAAGGGGUGUGUGAAUAGCACUACCCUUUCUGAAAUGCCCUGUUAGAGCUCUAGAUUUUAUCUUAAGUGCAGUAUUCUUACCAACAUAGCAUUUUGCUAGCACAUUAGUAUGUUUGACUGUCUUUCUGCAUGAACAGAGAACUGUUAACCUCAGGUUGGGAACAUGGAUGAGCUCAUUUUAGACUGUCUGUAUCUUCUACAUUUUCACAUCAUAUUCUUGAAUGUUGCCCAGUUAAGCCAUCACUCUUUAGUAUCCCAGAAUUGAACCACCGUUUUGAAUUUUUUUUCAUAUCCACCAAGUUAAGCUUUUAUGUGCUAUCUUGUUACUUCAAUCCUUUACAUCACUCUAGAUACAACGUUGUUGUUCUCUUCUUUACUUAUCUCUCAAGUUUGCUGCAUGUACCACUGUCUCCCUGUUUUUUUGCUAUUAUUAACUAUGCUUCCCCAUAAUGUUCAGGAAUCACAUUCAAGGAUAUCCAUCAAUUCGUAUUUUUCGUAAAGGAAGUGAUGUGAGGUAAAUGCUACAAAAUUCUACGAACUUUUUCUUUUCGAACAGAUUUCUAAUCAUUCAUUUAUUAUCGAAAUGAUUUCAGCCCUUGGAGUCUUAACAUUACAUUUUAGAUCGCAUUAUUUAUGCUUUGUACUUUUUUUUUGUGUUCCAUCUUCAUCUAAUUUGUAUGUGCAUCUUAUCUGCAUCUAUUGCAUAGCGCCUGUGGUUUGUAAUAUUCUCUUAGGCUCCAUUUCAACAUGUGGAUUUUAAUGCAAGAUUUGAAUUUGAGUUUUUUUUAAUAUUGUGUGUGAAGUGUCAAAAAAAGGGAUAAAGUGGGAAAAUUAUGUAGACUAAAUUAGGAAGUUAACUUGAAAUAACAUUUUGUUCUCAAAUAUUUAAUCUAAUAUUCAAUUACAUGUUAAUUCGAUUAGCAUAGAAUUUUAAUGUCUAAUAUCUCAUACAAUUUAUAAUAAAAAUGCAAAUUCAAAUCCUUAAUAUCAAGUCAUCUAUCUAAAUACAACCUUAGGGCCAAUUAGGUCUUAUCUAGGUUUUUAUGAUAACAGUCCAGGCUCUUUCCUCCAGGGGUGUGUGUCCAUUUUGAAGUGAAUGUCCUGGGUUAUAAAAAGGUUAACUGUUUCAGUGUCCGUUCUUUAUAUAGAACCGGAUUAUUUUGAUUUAUACCUCCGAUUCUCAAUUUCAUCCCCAUGGCAUGCCUGUCUUGUACACAUGAGGCUUAACUUAAGCAACCUCUUUAUCUGGCAUUUUUUCACAGGGAUGAGCAUGGACACCAUGAGCAUGAAUCUUAUUAUGGAGAUCGAGAUACAGAUAGCCUGGUUAAGGUACAAGCAUUCAUAAGUUUCAGUUAGCCUCACUGCAUCACAUGUUUAACUUUGUCUGUGAACUUUCUAGUACUUGAUAUUGAAUGCCCCAAAUGAAAUUGUAAAUCUGAUCUGAAGCUUCCAUCCUUGCAGACAAUGGAAGCUUUGGUUGCACCUAUCCCUGUGGAGUCUGACAAACACUCUUUGGAGGAUAAAUCUGACAACAGGGGUGAGAAUGCAAAAAGACCAGCACCAUUGACAGGAGGGUGUAGAAUUGAAGGAUAUGUGCGUGUAAAGAAGGUGAUCUUUCAGUUGAAAUUGAAAUUACUAGAAUCAUUGGACACAUUAGACCUAAUCGUAUGGCAAUUGUUAUUCCCAUAGAAUUCUUUGCUUUAUUCUUCUUGAUCCCAAAGCAUGGAUUGAGGUGCUUCACAUGCUUGGAAAUGCGAUGAAAGUAGAGAAGUGAUAAGGAUUGAACAACUCAUAUCUAUCUUUUCCUGAAGCAUGCCUUCAGGUGUUUCACAUGCUUAAAAUUGGUAUGAAUAAAGAGAAAUGCUAAGGUCAGUCAUGACUACUCAAUUUGGUUACCAGACCCGUGCACACAAGUCACCCUCACACCCUGAGAACCACAUGUGCAGUCAUGGUAGCCAUGGCUGGCCUUGGCUUCUUCAUGAAUAAAUUUUUUGCCUCAUUAGCAACUAAACUAUGGCUUUGUGUAGUUGGUACCUCCUUAAGUUUUUAAGUUCUUGUACUUGAUGGUUAACAUGAAUAAACAAAAGAGAGAAUAUUGUACCAGUAAUAUGCAUUUACUCAUUUUCACAAUUCUGACCUUCUUUGACCUGUCAAUUGACCCUACAAUGAAACUCCUAGUUGUUAUUGAGUUGGAAUAUAGUAUGAUUUGUCCUGUACCGUGCAGGUUCCAGGAAACCUUGUCAUUUCUGCACAUUCAGGAGCCCAUUCGUUCGAUGCUUCUCAAAUGAACAUGUCUCACGUCAUAUCACAUUUUUCAUUCGGUAGGAUGAUUGCUCCUAAGGUGAUGAGUGAUGUCAAGCGAUUGGUACCUUAUCUUGGUGGAAGCCAUGAUAGGUUGAAUGGUCGGUCUUUCAUAAAUCACCGGGAGUUAGGUGCUAAUGUUACAGUAAGUUUGUCACUAUCCAUGAUUCUUCCUAUCUUAUUGUGUUUGCUGCUCCAUUUUUUUACUAAAUAGUGUUUAUUCCUCUUCUAGAUUAGCGAUAUUCCUUCAUCUUUAUUCAUUAUUCCUCUGUCCUUAACAUAUGAUCUAUUCAGUAGUGAAGAGAUCAUGAAUGAAGUUUAUUUUGCUUCGAAGGAAUAGCUAAUGCUUAAGCUGGUUAUAAAUACGUUUUCUGGUAAUUGUAUGUGCAGAUAGAGCAUUACCUUCAAAUAGUAAAAUCGGAAGUUAUAACAGGGAGAUCUCACAAAUUAAUUGAGGAAUACGAGUAUACGGCCCACAGCAGCUUGGUGCAAAGUCUCCAAGUACCAGUUGCGAAGUUCCAUUUCGAGCUCUCCCCCAUGCAGGUUUAAUUUUUGUUUAAAAAGGAAAACCAACACCGUAAAUGCCUUUUAGCUUUUAAUAUUUUCGCUUCUCAUUUCUCUUUCGUUGUCUUCCAUAACCAGGUUUAAUAACAGAAAACCGGAAAUCCUUUUCACAUUUUAUCACCAAUGUUUGCGCUAUUAUCGGAGGCGUUUUCACGGUUGGUAUCUUCGUGCCGUCGUUCUUUACUUCUCUCAAGAAAGCAAACUGAUUUUUUUCUUUCCUUUGGGUUGCAGGUAGCGGGGAUAAUGGAUUCAAUUCUGCACAACACAAUUAGAAUGAUGAGGAAGAUUGAACUAGGCAAAAACUUUUGAUAGAUAGGCGAAGCUUUCGUUAGUGUACAAGAAGAAUUCUUUUAGAAAGAUAAAAGUGGAAUGAAGCAUCUCAAGUGCCAAUUUUUCGGUUCGAGUUUUCAGUGCAAGAAACGAUUUUAUAAACGUUAUACAUGCCUGUAUGGUUCGUAACUCCUGUAAUAUUUGUUUAGCUUCUAUUUUAUUUUUUUCGAAAAUAAUUUGAUGAUGGGAGCGGAUUCAUGACACUACUUUUUGUACAUUAUUUUUUAUAUGUUUUUAUGGGGUUUAUUUUGUAAUGUAUUUUAACAAUCCAAACUGUAUCUUUUAGAAUAUUAUUCAUAGAUAAAAAAAAAUUCAAAACCACUAGGACAUUCGCUUGUAGGAAGCAAAAAGAUGGUUACGAUUUUACAAAAAAACUCUAAACUUUUAAUUCAACGAUCAUAUUGUUUCAGAUUUAGGUGAUUUUUGGUCAAUAUAUCUUUAUCAAAAGUUGUGUAAAAAAAUAGGGAAUUGGAUCCCCUCCUGAGCAAAAUGGUGGGGAUCAUCAUGACCACACAACACGGGCCGUUGAAUUUUGAUCAAACAACUACAAUUAUUAUAAUUUUGGAGGGACUUCUUUGUUUGUAGCCGUUUGAUUAAAAUUCAACAGUCCGUGUUAUGUGGUCAUGAGGAUCCCCACCAUUUGCUCAGGAGGGGAUCCAAUUCCAAAAAAAUAGUGCAACCUAUCUGUCCCCAUGAUAUUGUAAUUAUUAGUGAGGUAACUUUAUACUAAAAAGGAAAACACAAACUAGAUACUCUCGCCUUUUGUUCUGGAACAUGUCCACGAGGGAUAAGUCGAAGGAGCAAUUAUACUUCUGCUUUGUUUUUCUGCCUUCCAGAAUAUAUCUUUCGCUUUCUGUUCUUUGAUGUUUUUUGCUGCAAAGGAGAGCAGAAAGUAGGGAUAAAUGUGAGGCGUUGAUAUAAAAAUCAAAUUCGCUGUCCAAUUUUAAUUCUCAUUAUUUAACGGUCAAAUAUGCAACUAAAAAGAAAAAAAAAAUAUUAUAUCUGAUUGUUAGUUAAUGAUAUUAAGUAAAUGCGCAUGUACUGUAGCUAGUCCCUUCAAUUUCAUUGGUUUCAAUUACUUAGCCAGUUGGAUUGUAUUCCUAUAUUCAUUGAUGGACAUCAAUAGAUUAAAUUUAUGUGAUUAGUUUCUUUGCAAAAAUCCACUUAUACAAUUCAAUCUAGCACGCUAUUUUUCUGGCAUAGGUAAGGAUUUUCAAUUUUUUUUUGAAAUUAUGUUUACUAUACUAUUAAGCCAAAUAUAUAUAUAUAUAUAUAUAUAUUUUAGUAAUGCUAUGGAAACCAAAUUGCAAACCAAAUGAUCUGUCACCAAUAAGAAACAAACACGUUAAUUGAUACUUAAUUAAUAAUCCAAUCAUUUACAACCACAUCAUUUAGUUUGCAAAUUUUUUUUAAAAAAAUUUGGUCUAUCUAGUGUUACUUUUUUUCUUUAGCAUUCAGUUUUUGUUCUACACAGGACAACAAAAUCCAGGAUGAAAACUUCAGAACUACAAAAUCUACAAACAAAGACCACAAUGAAAAUUUCACAGAACUAUAACAAAGCAUAAGAUUUAGAGAUUUUUGGCUUGUGGGUAUAACUAGGUUUUAGCUUUGAAGGUUUUUGGGUCUAUAUGUUCAAGUGAGAUUUUUGUUAUAUUUGAAAGUUUUAUAAAAAAUUAAAAUUGUGGAAUUAGGGGCUAAAUUUUGGUUAUAAACGAUAAAAACUUAAAUUCACAAUAAAUUUUAUAUUGGAUCAAAUAUGGAUUAGCUAGCUAAGUUUAACGUCUUUGGAUAGACGAACACCUCAAAUAUCUUAUUGCUUCCAUAAUCGCGAGUCAUGGAAGAAGGAUAAUACUUGCAUCUCCAUGGGGAAUGCACAUAUACAUUUGCAUGCACCGUGUAAAAUCAACCAAUUUAUUUAUUUGUACAUAUAUCUACAAUAUUGGCCUUUAUUUUGGAGUCUCACGAGCACACUACAAAUGAGUAUGAAACAAAUAUCAAGCACCGGUACAAACAUAUACACUGAGCUUUUAAGGAAAAAAAGCAAGUAAUAAAAAGAAAGGAAACUCUCAAAAGGAAAAGAAGCUUUAUACUUAAGGGAUCCAAUCCAGUUAGAGUAGUAAAAGUGUUGAGGAUGCAGCAAAUGCCCCGACGGACCCAAUAAAACUCAUGAAAAUUGAAGAAGCCGCAUUCGGAGGUGGAGGAGGUGUUUCAGGAGCUGGAGUUGGAGGUGGAGACGCUUCACCAGAGGGAGCUGGAGAUGGGGUCAUAUCUGUUGAGUUUGAAGGUGAAGGUGAAGGAGGAGUUGCAUUUCUGUUGCUUCUGUCUGCCAAGACAAUCACUAGCACCUUCUCAUUUUUGAGACAGUUGUCUUUGUUCCCACUGAUGAAAUAGAACGGUCCAGAUUGGUUAAACUGGAAGGCAGUGUGGCCAUCAGAGUAUUUCGGCCGAAGGCGAAUCAGUGUUGCAGUUGUUGUAGUCAUCCUGGGUUACUCGAAGCACUGAGUCUUGUCCAGGAGGGUAGUUGAACACUGCAGUUGAAGUAUAUCUCAAGUAAAUUAACAAGGGCAAGCAUGGCUAUGUGGCAGUCACAAACCUUUUAUUUUUAUUUUUACUUUUUACAAUUUUAUUGUGCUUUUUUAUACGGAGAGGGGAAGGAGGGGAAUUUGAACUCUAUUUUUUUAGUAUGGACGUAAUUCAUUAUGAUUAUUUAACGUGUUAUGUUGUCGUGACUCGUGAGAGACUAUAAAUUAAAAUCACCCAUAUACACAUAAUUCCACGAAAUCAGCAAUCCUAAUUACAGUUAGUCAAUAAAUUUCAAAUUGUCUAGCGACCUAUAUAUACAACAUACCAGACUGUGUAGUAAGGUCGAAGAAAUUUACUUUUAUAUUUAUUCUAAUCACAUAACUUCGAUUUUUAUCAUCGUUGAUCAAUUUAUGAACAUGAAUAAUGACAAGUAUAUCCAUUGAAAAGUAAUAUAAUUCUGUCCUCAAAGUUUGACAUACUGAAAGCUGAGAUGAAUAUGUAGAGCCUCAAAAUAUAGAGCAUAAAAAAACUUACCAAUGGAGUCUCCGAUUUGAAACCUGUUUCCUUCUGCCCAUUGACUAUAGUGAGUAGAAGAAUCUGGAACACUCCAACCCUUUGAACCUCCAAUUGCAAAGUCAGUUGCACCACUCUUCUGUAUCAACAGCAUCACACAUACGAUCCCCAGAACAAAAACUGCAUUAAUAUUAUUUUUGUGAAUGGGGUUGGCCAUUGUUGAAAAAUUAAUUCAAGAUUUGGUAUAAUAUAUAUUUUGAACCAAAUAUUGCUUGUAUUUCCCAGUUAAAUUUGGAAGACGAAGAAAAAUGGGGUGGAAUGAAUGGUGUUCGAGAGGGGUUUUUAUAGAGGGCAAGUUGCAUGAAAUACUUUUAACAAGCUAUGGAGUCAGUGAAGCUUUUGCUACUUUUCUAUUUCUUUUUCUUUACCUUUUAGGUUUCUUGGCUCUCAGAGCAAAGCAUACGUGCACUUUCAAAUUGCUAAAGGGUUGUUCUUUGGGACUUUAUGUUUGGGAACUUUUAAAUAACUUGUUGUGUGGGUUUAUUCUUUGCUUAUACAUUAUCAAGAAUAUUCAUGGCUUGUGUUCUGGGUUAGACUAAUUAAUUAUUCAACGUGAUCAGUCAUUCACACAAAACCUAUGUGCCAUUCAUUUCCCACUUUCGAAUGCAAAUAUAAUUGAAGAUCUCUGUCUGUCUUGUUAAGCAAUAUGCAGAAGGAGAAACAGAGAGAUCACAGAGGAAAAAGAAGAAGGAAUCAGAGAGAAUUUAGAGAGGAAGAAAGAAAGAAUUGCACUGAUAUUUUCUUGAUUAAUUCAAUGGUUACAAUGAUAUGCGUACUAUAUAGAUGAGUGCUAGGCUAACCACCUUAACCGACUCACUCCCUUACCAACAAUCCUAACUAAUUAUUCUAACAGUCACAUUCCUAACUGCCUUAUAUACUCUAACAUGUCUGUCUAUCUCUCUCUCUCUCUCUCUCUCUCUCUCUCUCCUGGCAUUUGCCUAUGUCAAUUUGCAGUGGAGUUCAGGAACUUAGUAAUAAGAGUCUUGCAGAAUGAUAAUUUGCAUUGAAGAACUGACUUAUACUGACUAGUGACCGAGCACAUGUUCCAACUCCAAAUUGCAGAACUCAAGUUUAAGUUUAACUUUGUUUUUCCGUCAGACGUACGGAUGCAAUCUCUUUUAAAAAAUAUACAAAUUAAUCAAAUCAUUGUGAGAAGGUAAUGAAGUACCCUUUUGGAUUAGAGUUGGUCUUGUGGCUGUUGCAAAUUCGUUGAAUGAUUCUGUUCAAGGGGAUCAUUAUAUAUAUGCAUCACAAUUAAUGAGGAUGUUAUUCCACUAAUGCUACAGUUUAAUGGUAAUUUUAUCAAAUUUUUAAGGGUGGGUUUGACACUAAAAUAUUAUGGCUAACUCAAUGUAUGACUUAACCCAUCAUCCCUUAGUGUAAAUGUUGAGUGUAUAUAAGAGACCUACCAUAUGCUUACAAGGAGUUUUGCUACUCUCCAUGUUGCCAUUUGAUUUUUUGGUGAAACCUCAAUUUCCUUCAUAUAUUAGAGCAUGUUAGACCGUGUUAAGCAUAAGAAUUUGUGACACGUGAAAUUUUAUGAAGAAACCUAACUUCCUUAUGUAAAACCGAUUCUCCAAGCAUAAUAUUGUGCUGAGCUAGCUUUGCCAAAAUCCACUUUGAAGAAGAUGCUAUAUCGUAUUUGUUUGCAUCGAGUUUGUAGUUUAUAUAUGUAAUAAUAUGAAGGACACAAUUUUUUCUCUAGAUGGCUAGAUUUUAUCCCCUUCCUCUUACUUUUGUUUUUGGUGUAAAAUUGUCACCUUGAAACAUUGAAGUCGCCGAGAUAUUCACCAUCAUUUUGCCUAUCCACACAACUACCUCAAGGUUUUGAAUCCAGUUGUCACCUUCAAUAUGAGUUUGGAGCUGCAAAGCGUGAAAGCUAUCAAAUUGCAUUGUAUAAGCUAUGAUUGACUUAUUUCCUUAAAGAUAAAAACCUCCGACUUUGUGUUGUGGUCAAAGUAGAGUUUAGGGUUAUUGUCACUUGAUGAGCUUGGAUUGAAGAAUGCCCUGAAGAAUUGAAAGCUUCGUACUGAAGAAUAUCUUAGACGCUCUACUAAGGUAGAGACAUUUCAUGCAUUGCAUAUUGCUAGUGUCACGCCCCAGACCUGGGGUUGGUGAAGAAAUUUUUUUAAGCAGUAUCGGAUAAAAAAUUAAUAUUGCCGCUUAUAGCAGACAUAACCUAUAUAUAUCGUAUAUAACCAACAUAAACUCAUUAUUAUCCGAGAGGAAUAAUGAAGUGGCAAAAUUUUCGCCCUUAGCUUGUACUCUUGGUGGAUAGUUUUUAUUUUUUUAAAUAUUUUUAACCUAUCUUAGCGGAUAUAAGUUAAUAAUGGCGUAAGUUGUUUCAUUUCUUCUUCACUGUAAGUUGUUCAGUUCUUGUUCUUAUUUUUCUUCUUUUUCCUUCUAUUCUUUUCAUCUUUUCUUCUCAUCUUCUAUUUCUUCUUUCGUUCAACGCCUCUUGUAUCUAAUUCUUGUUUCCGAUUUUGUUUUGUAGGGGUAUUAUUUGAGUUGGCUGAGUCCAAGAUGUAUAAAUCGACGACGAAAUUCUUCAAUUAAUUAGAUAAAUUAGUAAUAUUGAUGUUAAAUUAAUAAAUAUUUAAUAAAAUUUAUUUAUUUUUUCACUUAAAUUGUUAUGAGAAAAUUUAAAUGAACAAUAUUUAGAAAUAUUUAUGUUAAAUUAUUUAAUAUAGCAUAAAUUAGUAUAUUAAUGUUUAUGUUAAAUUAAUUUAUUUUUUCACUUGUAAGUGAGAGGUCUUUGGCCAUAGAUGGUGAAGUCAAUACCAAAUUAGGUUGCCCAUUGUGUGACUUAGUGAAACUGCCCCUCCUCUUAUUGUAAAAUAUAUCGUGGUACUAAAAAAAAAUUAUUUUUUCACUCUAAUUGUUACGAGGAUGUACAAUACUUGAAUUUAAUGAAUAAUCAAGAUUAGAUAAGCAUAAUUUUGAUUACCUUUUGUUGUUUUAAAUCUUUUUCUAUUAUAGGCAUUGGAAAUUAAAAGAUUGCAAGUGUGAUAGAGUUCGAGGGUUAAAAGAUAGGGAUUGAAAAUUGUAAAGUUAUGCCUACAUGAUAAGGAUUGAAAGAUUGUACGGAUCUUAAUAUCAACGUAAUAUUUUGCCCUCGUAAAGUGGUAAAACAUGGACAUGAGUUGGUUGAUCAACCACGAAAUUUGGAAGCGUAUACAGAUGGAAUUAAGUUGUGUUAAUGUCAUAAGACAUUUACUUGAACUUUGAUUUUUCACUUUGGUUUGUACUAACGCAAAUACAUGAACUUUGAUGUUAGAUUGAAUUUGUUGAUGCUUAAUGUUGUUAGAUUGGAUUUGUUGAUGUUUGAUGUUGUUGGAUUGAAAGAAAAAAAAAAAGAUUUUGGCACUAGUAUGUGUCGUGAAAUUAGAUGCUUGAACUUUGAUGUUUGUUGAAUUGAAAAAAAAGGACCUAUUUACAUUAAAAUAAAACUAGCAACAAAUUAAAGCCUAAAAUUGAUUUGGGCCUAUUUCUUAAAAAAAAAAAAAAGGCUUCGUAAAUAAAAGGCCUAAAACCGAAUUGGACUUGUUUUGGACCGAACUGAACUGAACUCAUUAGGUUCGGUACUAAUUCAGUACACCCAGGCAUACAUAACCGAGUUGUAUCGAAGUUUUGCUACGAGUUUGGUUUCGGUACCAUCUUUAUACUGAACCAUGCCCAUGCCUAGUUCUUAUUGACAUGAGUAUGUAUUUAGUAUACAUACAUAGAUCUCUAGGCAAUCACAUUCAGUGAACUUAGUCUUUAUUAAACACUUAUACACUUGUCUUAGCGACUUUUGCUACUGACGUGAGACUAGCCAUGCAUCUCAUCCUACAAUUGCGCAAACGUUAUGUGUUCCACUCUUACCAUAUUAUAAGAUAUCAAAUCAAAUAAUCCAACAAUUAGAAAGGGAGAGGGGCCGGUGGCACAGGAGAGAGGGAAGAGAGAUGUGUGUUUGUAGAAUUGUAGGGGAAUGUGUGUUGUUAUCCCUCCUACAUUGUGCCUUUAUUUAUAGUAGUAAAGGGAGAUAAGAUAUUCCUUCUUCUCCAAGUAAUACAAGUUGUAAUAGGAAAGGAUAACUAGAAUCAAAUCUAAUAAAGGAUUUACACAAUCAUAUUUAAACUAGGAAUGUUCACAACGCUCCCCUUUGAGUGUGUAAAUACUAAAGGUAGAUUCAGCAUCAUGUAGAAGUUGAGGAAGUCGACUCGUCGGCACUGAUUCCAAGGAAUAACGCUUAUUCUCAAUAAGGUAGGAACUUGCAUAAGUAGUAACUCUCACUAAAAAACCCAAAGGCUAUGGCAAAAACUCGAGUAGGGACAAAAUCCAUAGUCUAAGGAAAAAUGUAUGAGAAAUGCAAAGUUAAAAGAAACGUUUACAGGACGUCAUCAGGGAUAUGACCAGCCCAAGGUGGGUCCUCAUUAAAACCUAGUUAGGUAGCAAAAACCCAUUGGAAAAAAUGCUCCUAAUCGUAGGGAAAAAGAGUACAUUAAGAUCAAGCAAGUAUCUACAUGAUACUCCCCCUGAGUUUGACAUAAUUCCAAAGAGAAAUAGCAAAGUUACAACUUAGAAAGUUUACGCAUACCAAUUCCAUGAACAAGCUUCUGAAACGUCGCAUUCGGCAGUGAUUUGGUGAAGAGGUCGGCCAGAUUAUCUUGCGAACGGAUUUGCGUGACUUCAAUCUUCUGAUGCUCUUGUUGUUAAUGUGUAAAGAAAAACUUCUGCACAAUGUGCUUGGUGUUGUCUCCUUUGAUGUAACCCUUAUUGAGCUGUUCGAUGCAACCUGCGUUGUCCUAAAAAAUUGUCGUCGGGGCAUUAACGGCGGGAUGAAGAUCGCAAGAGCUUCAAAUAUGGCCCACUACUGCUCUUAACCAAAAGCAUUCUUGAGUUGCUUCAUGUAAGGCGAGAAUUUCAGCAUGGUUAGACGAAGUGGCAACUAAGGACUGUUUAGUUGACUACCAAGAGAUUGCAGUGCCUUCAACGGUAAAGACAUAACCCGUUUGAGAACGCGCCUUGUGCUGAUCGGAUAAGUAUCUAGCGUCGGCAUAACCAAUAAGGUGAGAAUCAACCCGAUGAGCAUAGGGUGCGGCAUCACUUGAGGAUUCGUAGGGAUAGAACAAGCCCAAAUCCGUAGUACCCUUAAGGUAAUAGAAGAUGUCUUUCACGCCAGUCUAAUGUCUGUGUGUUGGUGCAUUGCUGUAUCUUGCCAAAAGAUUAACAGCGAAGGUGUCGGGUCUAGUGCAUUGAGCUAAGUACAAUAAAGUGCCUAUCACACUUAGAUAAGGAACUUCAGGCUCCAAAAUCUCUUCAUCAUCCUCUUUUGGACGGAAGGGAUCUCGUUUUACAUCUAGUGUACGAACGACCAUAGGAGUACUGGAAGACUUCGCUUUAUCUUCAUUCAAACGGCACAACUUUUUGGGUGUAGUUCGAUUGAUGUACUAGGAUUCCAUCCGAACAAUGCUCUAUAUCGAGACUGAGACAGUAUUGAGUCUUACCUAGAACUUUCAUCUCAAAUUCUGACUUCAGGUGCGAAGCAGUUCUCGUGAGCUCUUCACGAGUUCCGAUGAGAUUCAUGUCAUUGACAUAUACUGCAACAAUCGUAAAUCCGGAAUGUGACUUUUUAAUGAACACACAAGGGCAUAGUUCGUUGUUCACAUAUCCCUGACUAGUCAAAUACUCACUUAGACAGUUAUACCACAUUAUUCCAGAUAGUUUCAAAUCGUAGAGUGAACGCCUCAACCAAAUUGAGAGCGUGUUCUGAGGUUUGGAAAUAUUUGAACCAGUCAAUGUAAGUCAUUCGGGAACUUUCAUAUAAAUUUCCGUAUCAAGAUCCCCAUAGAGAUACGUGGUUACUACGUCCAUCAGCUGCAUAUCCAGUUUUUCAGAAACUACCAGACUGAUAAGGUAGCGAAAAGUAAUCACAUCCAUAACGAGUGAGUAAGUUUCAUCAUAGUCAAUCCCGGGACGUUGCGAGAAACCUUGUGCUACAAGACAAGUUUUGUAACGCACAAUCUCGUUUUUCUCAUUAUGCUUCCGAACGAAAACCCACUUGUAGCCAAUGGGCUUCAUAUGUGGAGGAGUAGGAACUACAGGUCCAAACACCUUACGUUUCGCAAGUGAAUCGAGUUCGACUUGGAUUGCUUGUUUCCAAUUUGACCAAUCAACUAUACGUUGACAUUUAUCAACGGAACACGGUUCAAUGUCCUUACUUAAUAUGAUCUCAGUAGUUACUGUAAAUGCUAAUGCAUCAUCGAUAAUCAUCUCAUUUCUACGCUACAUCAUCUAAGCUAGUAUAAGAGACCAAAAUCUCAUGAUUCUCAGGAGGAGGAUUCGUCUCUUCAAGAACGCUUCCGUAAUCUAGAAUUUCCUCAUGAGUUGGGUAGAAUGAGUAAGCGAUAUUCAGAUUCACGGUAGGCUCUUCAGGACCUUAUGCCGUGGUUUUCCUCUUCCAGGGGUGUGAAUCCUUUGAACCAAGGGGUCUGCCACGUUUUUGUGUAGGGGCAGAUGAUUGGCUAGCCGCUAAUGUACGUGGAUCACCAGAAUUGACAUCCCGGGCUUCCAGAAGGGCAGUCCGUCGUACAUUUGGUACAUCCAUCUUUGCAGGCGUAUUCGCAGCUGGAAUAUGUGAUCUUGUCACGCGCGCUAGAUUGGUGAAAGCAUCUGGCAUGCUCUAAGCUAUGCUCUGGAGAUCUAAUAUGUGCUGCACUUCAGCUUCGAACUGAGGAGUGCGGGGAUCUAAAUGAGACAAAGUGGAAGUCAUCCACAAUAAUUUGUGUCGUUCAUUAGGAACAUUGAUGUUCUUAUCUCUCCAUAACGGCGGGAAGACUGUCUCAUAGAAGUGACAAUCAGCAAAACGAGCGGUAAACAGAUCGUCUGUCAAAGGUUCUAAGUAACGAAUAAUUGAAAGAGAAUCAUAUCCGACAUAGAUUCCCAUCCUUCGCUGAAGCCUUAUUUUUGUACGUAAGGGCGGCGAGAUCAGCACAUAUACCGCACAACAAAAAACGCACAGAUGCGAUAUAUCGGGUUCGCAUCCAGUGACCAACUGAAGGGCACUAAAUGGUUGUGUCGCAAUAAGCCUUAGGCGGACUAACUUUGCUGCGUGCAAUAUUGCAUGGUCCCAAGCAGCGAUCGGGAACUUGGUACGUAUGACCAAUGAUCGAGCAAUCAUUUGUAAGCAUUUAACGAAAGCCUCUGCCAGGCCGUUCUUGGUGUGAACAUGGGGUACAUGAUGUUCAUCUUCAAUCCCAACUGACAUGCAAUAGUCAACAAAAGUUUUAGAUGUGAAUUCUCCAACAUUAUCCAAUCGAAUAGAUUUGAUCGGAUAAUCAGAGUGGUGAGCCCUGAGCUUGAUAACCUGAGCCAACAGUUUGGAGAAUGCAACGUUCCUUAUGGAAAACAAGCACACAUGUGCCCAACGUGUGGAAGCGUCAACCAAAAACAUAAAAUAUCUAAAUGGUCCGCAGGGAAGUUGAAUCGGUCCACAAAUGUCCCUCUGAAUCCGUUGUAGAAAAAAUGGGAGGAUUUGAACGAAUCUUGUCAUAAGAAGGCUUAGUAAUAAGCUUUCCCAUAGAACAUGUUUGACAUGCGAUUUCAUGGAUCAAACCUAAGCUUCGGGUUAGUGGAUGCCCGUGUAAAGAUUUGAGGAUACGGCACAUCGCUAUUCGUCCUGGAUGUCCCAAACGAUCAUGCCAAAGCGUAAUUUCGUGCACGGUCCCUGUGGUAGGGCCGGCCACAUAGUGGCAUUCUAUGGGGCGUAUGGUCGUAGUAUAUAGACCACUCGGGAUACGCUCUAUCUUCUUGAGAAUACGCUUCUGGCCAUAUUUGUAGGAAGUUAUGCACAUAAAUUCAACUCCGUUUUCUACGUGGUAAUUGUUAUCUUUAAUGUCCUUGAAACUGAGUAACGUUCUUCUGGAACGUGGAGAAUAGAGUGCCUCAGCAAUGGUCAAGAUUGUACCAUUAAACAACAUUAUACGUGCCUUACCGUAUCCUUCUAUCAGGUUGGAUGGGCUUGAGAGGGUUGUCAGAGAUGCAUUCUUAGGUAUGAAGUUAGUGAAAUAGAUGCGUUCACGCAAAACAGUGUGCGUGGUUGCAUUAUCUGCCAGACAACUAACUUUCCCACUAGUCAUACCUAGAAUGAAAAAUUAAUUUGAAUCGGUCACAUGCAUAAAAGUUUAUAAAAACAAAUAUCAAUUCAAAAAUAAUUUCAUUUAUUCAAGGAUUAAAACUUAAUAUCCAAAACAAAUCGCCAACGAAUAAUCCAAAAACAUAAAGGAAAAUUGUUCAAAAUCAACAAAAAACAAGGGGGGGUUCGGCCACUAGGUAGAAUUCGGCCCCAAUGGUCUUAUUUUAACUAAAAAUAAGUCUAUGUCUAAGAUUCUAAUCUUCCAUAGGGGUGGUAUCCUCCUGAAAGUCAGAAACCUCCAUUUUUGUAGUCUCCAGUUCGUCCACUUGCAUGAAGUUUGAUUCAAAGCUUAAAUUUUUAUUGAAAAAUUAAACCUUAAAAUUUUUUGACAAAUAUUUCGUCAGGCAAGAUUUAUAAUUUAAAAAAAAAAUCUGAAAUUUAAAAGAUAAAUUUUAUUUAAAUCCAUAUAACUUCUUUUUACACCCAACUUAAAUUUUAAAUGUUAAUUGUCAUUUUUAUCCUAUUGCAUAAUUACUAUUAAGUACAAAAUAAAAUUAAUAAUAAAACUCAAAUUUAUCAAUAAACUCACACACUAUAAUUAAACUCUACCAUCACUCUGUGUUUAUCCUACAUUUAUUCCGGCUAAAACCUAAUAGCUCUUAUAGAGAAAAACAAGUUUUUUUAUUGGUGGAUGGUGAUUUUGAACUUUUGAAUCCUCCAUGACUCGAUUUAUGAAUUAUUCAAGACAAAUAAUUAUUUCUUUCAAUUAAUUUACAUCCAAACAUGACAUAACAUGCUAAUGAACCCUAAAAGGGGCUCAUAUUUUAGCACAUUAGAAGGUGAAAUAUCAACCAAGGCAUCUUAGGUAAAGCAUGAUAAGCUGAAAGUGAUUUUUGCAGGUGUGAACGUCACAUCCCGGUCACAACUCCGUCGUAGCACGAUAUUGUCCACUUUGGGCCCCGUUCACUCCCUCACGGUUUUGUUUCUGAGAACUCACACGAGAACUUCCCGAUGUCACCCAUCUUGGGAAUGCUCUCUCUCGAACUCGCUUAACUUCGGAGUUCCAAUGGAAUCCAAAGUCAGUGAGUUCCCAAAAGGCCUCGUGCUAUAAGAGGUGGGCAUGUAUGUAUAAAGCACAUCACCCACUCUUCGUUGGUCGAUGUGAGAUGUUACAAUCCACCCCACUUAAAGGGAACUCGGCGUCCUUGCCGACACAUCCGCACCGAACGGUAGAGUGGCUCUGAUACCAUUCUGUCACAUCCCAGUCUCGGCUCCACCGUAGCACAAUAUUGUCCUCUUUGGGGCCCGGCAACGCCCUCACGGUUUUGUUUCUGGGAACUCACACGAGAACUUCCCAGUGGGUCACCCAUCCUAGGAAUGCUCUCGCCCGAACUCACUUAACUUCGGAGUUCUAAUGGAAUUCGAAACCAGUGAGUUCCCAAAAGGCCUCGUGCUAUAAGAGGUGGGCAUGUACAUAUAAGGCACAUCACCCCCUCUCCGUUGGUCUAUGUGGAAUGUUACACUGAAUAACUAUAAGAAUAUGGGAAAUCAGAAAAAGAUGAACACGCAAAAAUUUAUAAAGUUGGUAGAGAUAUUUAUGAACAAGACAAAUGGGUGUAAAGAUAAAUUUACAUAUUGAAUUGAGUUUGUGAGGUAUUUAAGGUAGUAAAUUUGGGUUUAAAGAGAUAUUGAUAGUUUAGUUAAAAACCAAAUGGGUGUAAAGAGUAAGUUGGGUGUCGAAAGAGGUUACAUGAGUUUAAAUAAAAUUUCCCAAAUCUUAACCCAACGAAUGAUUUCGUGGUAAAAUUUAAUUAAAAAUAACGAUUUAUUUAAUAUUAAAAAAAAUCAAAGGUAUAUUUAAACUUAAUAAACUAAAUCCUAUAAUAUUAAAAUCAUAAUAUUAAACAAAUUUAUUUCAUUAACAAAAACAUAAUGUUUGCACAAUUAUAUUGUAAAUUAAAAAAUAAAUUUAUUCUGAAUGGAAAAUUUGUUCAGUCGUCCAUUAACCCGAAAGACAUCAAUUUUCAAAAUUUAUAAAUCCUGAAAAUUACCACUGAGCCAUUGCCAUUCGUCCAUCCUAUGCUCAAAUUCAAGAGACGAAUGGGUAAGAGCUUCCUCAUGACCUUCAAAAGUUUUGUAGUGGUUGCGUGGCUCAUACUUCCACUCCAUGAACCAAUCAUUCCACAAACGGUUUGUGUAGGCCGUCGUACCUGGUCUUCCACGCCAAUCUCAAAAUUGAUCUAAACUAGAAAAAAAUGAAGUAUUACGCAUAAAAAUACAUUAAGUAAUUAUCUAGAGUAAUUAAAAAUAUUAAAUUAAAAAAAAAAAAAAUUUACCAAGAGAUAUGCCAUCAGCCCUACUUCGUUUCAGGGGAGAUGUUCUUCCAUCUAUCAAUAGUCAUAGGGCACCUUGCUCGGAUGAUGACUCCUAUCUCGUGAGCCAAUAUUGAAUGAACACAGAGGUCCGCCGCAUGCAUAUAUCUUGGGUCAUGUUCUACCCUCACUCUUAGGCCUGGUUUGGUACUGAGGUGAUUCUGAAAAAAGUCCCAGCUUUUUUAUGUUUGGUAAACAUUCAGCUUCAAUUUUUUUUCACAGUUUUGGGUGAAAAAAAACCAAAAACACAAAGCUGCAAAACCCAGCUUUGAAAAACCAGCUUUUUUUCAUAUCUGUUUUAAAUAAAAGUUUAUCAAACACUAUAAUACUGCUUUUUUUUUUCAAAAACAUUUUUACAGAAAAGUUUACUAAACACUCUGCUGCUUUAUUUCACAGCUGCUUAUUUUCACAACACAGCAGAAGCAAUUUUUUUUCAAAACACAGUAAUACCAAAUCAGCCAUUAAGCCAAGAUUCUUCUAGACGCCCCGCUCACGGGGCGUCUUCCAAAACAAACUGUACCCAUUCUCAUAUCACCCAUCCCUAAACCGGACCGCCCUCUUUCUUGAUCCCCACAACAUCAAAUCAUUCCCCCACCUCCCAAACCCUUCCCUCACCAACUCUCCAAUUUUUUCCAACCCAAAUUCUCAUAAUUACAAAUUCAAAAUAAUUGAGGAUAGAUAUCAGACCUUUAAAUUUGUGAGAGUUUGAGAGUUGAAUAGAUGGCAAGUGUGAGAGUUUGAGAGAGGGGAAACGAUUUUGAGUGGGGUAGGGGGCAUUUUGGAGAGAAAAGAGAGAAUAAUCUACGACCUAAUAUAAAACGUCAGGAUUUUGCUCGACGAACCAUUUUAUCGGACAAAUGUCUUAAAUUAAAUAAAAACACACGGUAGAAUGUUAAUUUUUCCGACGAACACAUCCAUCGGCAAGUGUUCUAUAAAAAAAAAAUAGGGCCAAAAUUUUGGCCAAAUAAAUUGUUGAAAAAGCACUUCGGCCGAUGAGUUUUUGGUCAGUCAAUUGGGCAAACCCAAAAUUUGGAGGGAAAUUCGAUUUUUAAGAAAAAAAAUCGGGGGAUAUUUUUCACAUUGCUCGACGAAUUUUAGGUUUGGCGUAACGAAAUUUUAUACUUUGCCCUAUGAAAUUACCUUUUUCCAUCGGGUAAGUAAUAAAAUUAAAAAAUAUCUCCAAAGUUUGAAAUUUUUUUUGGGAACAAUUCAAUGAUAACCGAAUUUGAUGAUCAGGUGUAUUCAAUAUGGGUUUGAACUCUCAAGUAGCAUCUUUAGAAAAAAUAACAUAAAUCAAAAGUGAUAUAGCCGUUAUAUCGUUAUGCUAAGUUUGUAAAUUUCCAACCUUUUGAACCAAUCCCUACUCCCUCCACCUUAGUUUUGAUAGUGUUUUAUGUAUGCAUUCUCGUACUAUACCGAAACAAUUUUGACAAUUGGAUCAUGGAAAAUAAUUUUGUAGAAUUCGUAUCCCCACAAUGCAAUCAUUUUGUGAUAACCACUAUUGUAAGCUUUUUAAUUCAUGAUCCAUUCGAUUCACAUGACAACCAGCAUUUGAAGUUUCGCACAAUGAGUCUUUUAACCCUUAAUCUAUAAAUCGAGAUUUACAAAAUAAACGGUUCGAAUCGUUGAAAUUCGAUUUAAAGUGGAUUCCACAACUUUUAUACAAUUCUAAAUUUUGUAUAAAAUGAUAUAGUAUUUGAGUCAAUUCAUGUAAAUUAUAUUUAACCGUUCCAAUGCCAACAAAGUUGACCCACUUCACUUAUUGCAUUGACUUGACUCAAUACUGGUUUGUUACUAACGUGCUUUUAUAAAAAGUGAGUAUAAAAAAAAACUGAGCUCAAAAAUGUGUUUGGUAAACACUUAAAAACAUCUUAUUUUCACAGUUUUGGGUGAAAAAAAAGCUGAAAACGUGAAGCAACAUAAAUGUCGAAUUAUGAUUUCUUGUUAAACGUUGAAUUAUGAUUUUUUGUUAAACGUUGAAUUAUGUGUUUAAGAUAAAGUUUAUAAAUAUUUUUCUUUUAAAAAAAUUAUUUUUAGUAAUUCACCUUUAUUUGUUAAGAAAAUUAAAUUAAUGGCACAUCUAGUAUUAUACAAUUUUUUGUCAUUUCACAUAGUUACAACUGUUUUACAUAAAAAUUUACCAAACAAUAUAAUACUACUUUUUUUUUCCAAAAGCACUUUUACAAAAAGGUUUACCAAACACAGCUACUUUAUUUCACAACUGCUUAUUCUCACAUGACUUUCUCUGUUCCCGCGAAAGUGUGGAAAUCUAUCAACUUCUCAACCAUCCACAAAAAAAAAAACCCAAUAAAAAAUAGGGAACUUUAAAGAAAAGCUCCCGAUACUGUUCACUUUAACGAAAAACCACAUUUUUACACUAAAAAGUCAAUCUUGGUACUAUUUACUUUACCCUUUAUUUUUUCCUUAUCGUUAAAACUCAAAGUUUUCAAACCCUUUUCAUUAGUUUUGCUUAAAAAAUAUCCCACAAAACAGUAAAUUUAUUAACCGUAGAGAAAAAGGAGACCCACGUACAGGUAAUUUAUUUCAGGAUAAAAAUGUAAGGUAUUUACGUGCGUAAUAAAUAGAUGUCAUAAAAUUGAGACAGUGAAAGUGAGUGCAAAACAAAGGAAAACAGAGGAGGUUAAAAACAAAACUAAAAAAGUUAAUAAAUAUUUGUGUGGGGUUUUCUCAGGUGUGGUGUGCAGUGGCAGCCGUCCCGUCACGACUUUGACAGAAUAUUUACCGCGACAAUCAUCAUCGUCGUCAACAACCACACCCCCACACCAGCUAAUUUUACACAGAAAAAAAGAUAAAAUAGUACCCAAUAAGGCAAUAAAGAAAAACAGAGCGUUUUUUGGUCGGGUUUUGAACUUUUUAUUGUAGCUGGAGCUUCAUUUGCCACUUCAACCGCCUCAUCUGGGUCCCCUUAAACCUUGAUCCAAAAGGGUGUGCAGAAGUUUAAUUUAUCUGGGGUUUGAUAGAUUUUUUCUGGGUUUUGGUUUAUUUUUUUUAGAAGGGGUGGGUGUUCUGAGUGCUGGUUGAGGGCCAUUUUUGUUGGUUUGGGGCAAUUGCUUUUGUGUUUUUGUGAAAGUGCUUUUGGGGAUUGGAAUGUGGAGGGACGCCGGAAUUCCUGCUGAUUCUUUCUAUGAAGUCCGCCCUGAGUGUACAGAUGUGCCCAAAACCCGCUUCAAGAUCAAGGUUUCUCCUUCUGUUCUUUGUUUGAUUGUUGGAAUUAGAUAUAAAGAUUGAUUUUUUGGGUAUCCAUUAUCUUAAUUUUGAUCUGUUUCCCAUUUGAAAACUAAGAUAUUGCCUAAUGCAUCAGAUUUGAUAAUUGGUGGUGAUUAAUUUUGGUUAAGAUCAUGAAUUGUGUUCAUAUGGAUCACAAAAUGUUGUGCAUUUUCCAAUUUUAUAGAAUUUUUGGAAGGAAGAAUGUUGGGGACUGCGUUAAUGUUAACAUUAAUUGGUCAGCUUGUUGAAUUUUGUAAGGAGAAUGUAGGAUAGAUAUAGGGAUUAUUCGGGCGAUAAAAAUCUGAGUUAUCAGGAUCUUGUUGGUUCUCAAUAUGGAUCCGAGAGUCAAUAUGCUCCUACUCGGUAACGCCCACCCAAUAUGUUGGGAAUGGUCUGGUGUUGGUUAUGCACAACUUUAAAUAAAUUCUGAAUGCAUAAACGCUUACGUACACGAACAUGAAAAAGAUAAAUUGUGAGCAUUUAAGGGAAAUAUACCUAUAUCUGCACAAAAAUUUUCCUCAAACUCCAUCAUGUCAGGAUCUUUUAUUUGAAAGUUUUCUGAAGUUUGGACAUUUUUAUCUCUUUCUCCUUCUCCAUUUAUCAAGAUAUGUUUGUAAUGCCAAUUUUUGCUGGAUACCAAAGUACUAUGGAUCUGAACAUUGAUCUAGAUUAUGGUUCAUAGGGGUUAGCUCUUAUAAGAAUCUGAUUUGAUUAUAUUAAGGCUUGUAAACAUUGAGAAACUGAUAAAGACUCAUUGUGUAUUCUAUAAAAUGUGUUUGCAAUUAUCUUAUUACUUCAUAAUGAUUUCAAUGUCUCAUUACCGUGAUGUGCUUCUUCCAAUUUCAACGCCUUAUUUCUAUUUGCUCAUGCAGGCAGGUAAAACUCUUAGUGUAAGGAAAUGGCAGGCUGCAUUUAGUCCUGAAGGCCAACUGGAUAUAGGCAAGACUUUAAGUCGAAUUUAUCGUGGGGUGAGUGAAUCUUCAUAAUUCAUAGCUGCGCCCCUUAGUAUGUUAGAAUUUUCGUUAUAUUUAUAAAAAUCAGUUUUUCAUCCUGUGUAGCUAUCAGAGUGUCUCGACAAUCCUAUCAAUACUCGUCUUUAUGGAAUCACUUUUUUCUGUUUUUGUUGUUGUUGUUUUUUUAUUGUAAAAUCAAAUGAAAAGCCUACCCUUAGCCUGCUUACAUGAUGGGAAAUAUCUACGAAAUCAGAGCCAUCGGUUUAGUGAAAAAAUCAGAUUAACUAUUACUUAAUUUUAUUUAAGUAGUAUUUGCGCAUGAAAUAACAUAGAUGCUUCAUUGUUUGACCUUCCAGCUGUUGUUAGCCUGGUACUAGUUCUUCAUUUUGUGGAUAUCUUUAACUUAUUCUUUUAAAUAGUUUUCCUCAUGAAAUAAUCAAUUUACAAGGCUAGUAGUCAGCUUCAAUCCAUAAUUAUAUUAUAUUUGGCAAUCAGGGAAUUCAUCCAUCAAUUAGAGGAGAAGUUUGGGAAUUUCUACUAGGUUGUUAUGAUCCUAAGAGCACAUUUGACGAAAGAGAGCAGAUUCGGCAAAGUCGAAGGUAUAUCUUGUUUCCUGCCUUACUUGGGUUACUUGAAAUUUAUUUAUUCACUUGCCUUUUUUCUUUCUCUUUAUCUAAUGAAGUUUCCUAGUGGUAGUACACUUGCAAAUGAUGAUAACAGUCUAAGGAGAAAUUUAUUUCUGGUUCAUGUAUCUUUUAGUACUGCAGUCCAAUAUGUUUUGUAAUUCAAAGAUGAUCUUUUGGGAAAUGAAUGGUCAAUACCAUGAGUUGAGUUUUAUAACUUGCAAUGUACCCGAGUAAAUAAAUUUAGUUGACAGCAAUGUUGAAACUUGCUAGCAAAAGACUAAGGGUUUCCUCUUCAUACGAUAGUGAUCCAGACUCCAGCAUCUCUAUUUUGUGUGGGCUGUGUAAAUUCCCAAACUUACAGGCUCUACAUAAUGUUAUCUUGUCAGAUUCCAACAUGUUAUGCUUCACCUGUCCCGUUAUUCGGUUUUAUUUAUGAAGUAUCAUGUUUUGCCAUUUUCAGAGUGCAAUAUGCUAGGUGGAAGGAAGAUUGCUGCCAAAUGUUUCCUGUUGUUGGGAGUGGUAGGUUUAUCACUGCCCCCGUAAUCACUGAAAAUGGUCAACCCAUUCAGGAUCCCAUAGUACUUUCACAAAUAAAUCCAGACAAGGGUUCUCAGGAUAAUGGUUCAAGCACAAACCGUAAUAAUGCUAUGGAACCAGUAAUGGACAAAAAAGUAAUCCAGUGGAUGCUUACUCUACACCAAAUAGGUUUGUGAUAUAUUUAUGUGUUCAUAUUUUAAUAUGCAUCCUAUGGUUAUUUUGGAGGAAUAUGUUUUUCUUAUGGUCCGGCAUUUUUUCUUUUUGUUGUUGGAUGUACAACUCAGACUUUUUUAUUGUUCAAUUCUCUGUUUUCGUCACGUCUUUACAUAACCUACCUGCAAGAUGUGAAAAGUACUGAACAUGAUGGAUUGCAGAAUUUUUCAUGUUUUAUCUUGAUAGGGUAGAUAACUUUUCUGUUUGUCUUUAUUUGUAUGCCAGGUCUUGACGUGAUUCGUACUGACAGGACACUAGUAUUUUAUGAGAAGCAAGAGAACUUAUCAAAACUUUGGGAUAUUCUAGCUGUUUAUGCCUGGAUAGAUACAGAUGUUGGCUAUUGUCAAGGUUGGUAACAUAAGAGUGAUCAUUUUAGUACUGAUUGCAUCCCUUCCCUACACUUUGGGAAGGGACAAUAUUUUCAUAUUUGAUUUUUUCAAACGAAAAGAAAAUUAUGUUUCUAAACUCCACAAUUCAUGACGUGAUGAUCAGGAAUGAGUGAUCUUUGCUCCCCCAUGAUUAUCCUUCUAGAUGAUGAAGCAGAUGCAUUUUGGUGCUUUGAACGAUUGAUGCGCAGACUGGUAAAACUUUGAGCUAAAUCUUCGACUUUGUUUUUCAUUCUGGUGUUGCAUCAAAUCAAUGCCUAUCAUGUGUGUCUAAAAACUAGGGUUGCUAAGCUCUUCUUUCCAGAAAUUAACAGAGGAGAUGUGCAAUCUUAAAUCCAUGUAUUAAUGAGAUUCUUUAGAAGUUUUUGUUGAUAUCCUUCUGUUUUUGAAAAAUUGCUACAAUAUUUUUUUUUUCAUUUGAAGUUACAUGCUGUUUCUUUAAAGCUACAAAGUUAUUUGGUGACGGUUAAUUUGGAUUCCAGUUUCUUAUGACUUGUUCUUAUUUGAAAUUUAAAGCGAGGAAAUUUCAGAUGUACCGAUAGCUCUGUUGGGGUGGAGGUGCAACUAAGUAAUCUGGCUUCAAUUACUCAAGUCAUUGAUCCAAAACUUCAUGAGCACUUAGGUAUUGUCUUUUUAAUUUGUUGUUUACAAUUUAUGUCCAUUUACUUGUCAAACAUAGAGAAAAUAUAUGUUUCUUUAUCAAAAAAUUUGGAGACAUCAUAUGCGAUUUUCAUCAUAUUUAAUUAUUCAUAAUCUUCUUCUCAGAAAUGAUCAUGAAAAUACAUGUUCGCCAACCGUUUGGAAGAUAUUCGAUACAUUUAUUUAAGGAAAAAAAAUGUACCGUUUAUUAGGAUUUAAAUAUCAAAUUGGCUAUGUUUGUGUCAUGUUUCUCUUACAUCGCUCAACAUAUUGCUCAAAAAUGAGGGAGAUAGUAACAGAUAUGCUUAAUUCGGAGUGCAGAGACACUAGGUGGAGGUGACUAUUUAUUUGCUUUCCGGAUGCUUAUGGUUUUGUUCCGUCGAGAAUUCUCUUUUUGUGAUUCUUUAUACCUUUGGGAGGUGAGAAUAAGUUACUGUUAGUAACUUUCUGAUAUUUUUCUGUUCUCCCUUUUGGAUUUUUUUUAUUAUAUCUAAUUAUUGCAUGUAUAAAUACUUUUACAGAAUCCUUGAAAUUAUUUCUGGGAACCCACUUCAUUCUUUCCUAAGUAAUCAAAAUUUUCUCCAUAAUUCCACUUAUAUAUAGUUCCUUGAAUUUUAAUACAUGCAGAAAUUUUUGUAUUAGACCUUAUUUCUUCCGACUAAAAGUUGGCAAGCUAAUACUUACUUGACAAGUACUUUUUGAACAUAGGUUUUAAGAACUAUUGCACGCAUUUGAUAUUAAAGACCAAUACCCCAGAGCAUUUGUUUGUGUGAUUGGGAUAUAUGUGUUCCUGAUUGAAUAGUAUCUAUGCACUUCUGCUCUAUAAUGAAGAAAGGGCGUCGUGCGCAGUAAAUUUCUGUAGCUAUAUAGAUAUUGCUUUUUCUUUUUUCGUUUUUUGCCCAAAUAUAUCCUUGUUAUUUGUGUGUAAGUAUAUAUGGUUAUGUAUAUUUUUAUAAUAACUAUUGCACAUUUCUUAUGGUGCAUCCCGAACUUAAAAGAACUUAUUUAUAUUGGUAAGAAUUGAUCUCAUUUAAACUUUGACAGAUGAUGUGGGCCCUUGAAUACGACCCUGACUUGUUCAAUGUGUACAAAGAAUCUGAUCCUGAUACUGAGAAGGCUGAGGGGCCUAAAGGGAAACCAAAGUCAACACGUCAGUGUGGGAAGUAUGAGAGGGAAAACAUGAAAAGUGGAGCAAAGAAUUCAGAAGCACCGCUCCCAAUUUCAGUUUUCCUUGUUGCCAGUGUCCUGAAAGAUAAGAGCUCAAAGCUACUUACAGAAGCUCGGGGUCUCGAUGAUGUUGUUAAGGUUAGCAUUAUCAGUUGACAAUUUGCAAUUCUUAGAACCGAUUGACUUUCGGAUUAUAUUGAGAAUGAUAUUACAUGACUUAAGCAGAAAACAUGUCCAUGUGGGGACAGCCUAGUGAUAAAUUCAUCUAAAACAAUAAACAAGAAUUACUCAUAGUAAGAAUCCGCUGGCCUUGGCCAAACUAGGGUCCAGGAUGUUGCGUGGAUUUGGGAUAUAUAGUAAUUUACUCUGAAAUGUGAAAUGAAGUAUGAAAAAAAUAGGAAUAGGAGACUGGAGCGGCGACAUUUAUCAGCCAACCCUAUUAAAUCUUUCCUUGAAAAAGUGGAUUCAGCUAUGGUAGUCAAACAUGGUUCGGAGAAGAAUAUGUUGCUAUCGUUUUGUUCUUUCACAAAUGAUUACAUAUAAAUUCUAAAAGCCAAAUGAAACUGUUCCAAUGUUAUUAUCUUGGGUUUCCAAUUUUUUCUGUGUAGUUUUACAGCUUACAUUAGGUUGCAAUCAAGAUCAAAACCCUAAAAAAUGAUCACAUCUUCAUGUUGUUUUGUAAGGGAUUGGACCAUGAAUUUGACAUGGUUUUACCUCAACGGUUCUUAAAAAUUUCAAAUGCGUUGUCUAAUCCCUAAAAGAAAACAUUAAAAGUGAUCAUUUUAAGGAUUUUUGGCUUGAUUGCAACCUAAUGUUAACUACGAGGAUGUAGUUAGGAGUUUUUCAGGACGAAAUUGGAAGCCCUAGCAAACUGCAUGGACUAAAAUUGUCUUUAGGCCAUUUCUAACGCCCUAAGGGAGAAGUUCAAAAUAAUUCUCUAGAGUCGUUAGGGACUGGUGAAGAAUCUUUGAUCCGUUUGAUAAACAAAUACUCGAGCUAUCAAUUUUUCAUUUAAAUGAGUUGGAUCUUAAUUUUUGUACAACUUUUACCCGUUUACCUCACUCAUUCUCUCUGCCAGAUAUUGAAUGACAUAACUGGAAAUUUAGAUGCCAAAAAAGCUUGCACUGGGGCAUUGAAACUCCACAAGAAAUAUCUGAAAAAGGUACUUCAAUUUAUUUUUUAGCAGUGUAGAAUGUUGCUAUUCAAUUUUCAUGUCUAUAUUUGUGCAUUUCUUGUGCGUGUGCGUGCGCUCAUUUCAAAUGUUCUUAUAUUAAUCACUCAAAGUUGCAACAUCAUUCGUUGAUUUGUUACUGCAGGCGCCCAAGAAGACAUAGCAUCACUUUACACACGAUUUUUUAGCCACCCGAAAAAAGUAAGACGAUGUUGCUUACAUUGUUUUUUACCUGAUUUGGCAAGAGAUUAUAAUUUACUUGCACAUGAUCUUGGCUUAGAGUUGAGAGAGCUGCACAGUUGGUCCACUGUGCAAAAUAUUCCCAAUAGAAAUUGUUGUUUGUGAGAUUAGUCCAAAUUAAUUGUACAUUACAAACAUUCUUUAUAGGCCUAUAUUUUGUACAACCAUAACCGAACCGAGGCCUAUAUUUUGUAUAACGAUACGUUGUUCGUAAUGAUAUUAUGAGGGCUGGAAAAUGCUGAAGCUUAUGCAGUGCUCCAACCCUAAGACAUGAAAUUAACUUGCAGUUUUCUUUCUGAAAAUGUCUUCUUGUAUUUCCUUCCUCUCAUAACCAUAUGCAGUUAGUGCAGGCACUUAAUUUUUUUCAUUCAGUAAUUAUAUGGGAACUUUAACGAAAAGCACCCGGUAUUGUUCACUUUAACGAAAAACCAUAUUUUUACACUAAAAAGUCAAUCCUGGUACUAUUCACUUUACCCUUUAUUUUGUCCUUAUCAUUAAAACUCAAAGUUUUCAAGCUUUUUUUAUUAGUUUUCCUUAAUUAUAUUGGGAAAAGAUGUGGGUAGUUCUCCUAGUGUGUCUGUGUUUAGAAAGAAGUGAAAAUGCAAUAGGUAUAACCUACACAAAAGUUCAUUGCAACAUAAACACAACAAAAGAAUUAGAAAUGAAAAGAUUGGCCACAAGUUGGCAAAUUUAGGGCUCGUUUAUAGGAAAUAAUUACGUUUGUAAGCGCUUUUGUUCGAAAUACUUUUAUUAUAAAUAUGUAGAAGUUUUCUUUAUGUCGAAAAUCCAAGUGCUUUCUGGAAGCAUGUCUACAAUCUAGAAAAGCACGUUUAAAUUUUUCGGCCAAAGAUAGUUGAAAUCAUUUUUUAUUGUCAUAACGUAUUCUAGUCUUUUCAGAAGCAAUCCCAAUACAUGCCUUUUCAAGAGUGCAAGAUAUGACUUUUAUUUUUUAAUUUUUUAUAAUAAGUGAGCAUUUAACAAGUUAAAUAAUAGGCCAGGCACUUAUUCAAACUGAGUCUUGUCACGUAUCUUCUAUCGUUGUAUAAAGAGUCAUUCAUUACAUAACCAUGUAAUAUUAUUUUAUUAUUCCCAAAUUAUAUAAAGAUCAUUUCUAAAAACCUUUUUAACUUGGAAAUUGUUUAGCCAUGAUGAAUGAAUUGAUGAUUCGUUGUAUAAAGAGUCAUUCAUUACAUAAUCACGUUAUAUAUAAAUGACCAAACGGUCUCCAAGCUUAAUGAAUUUUGUAGAUAUAAGAUUUAAAUGAUAAAGAAAAUGAAAAUUUUAAAUUAUAAUGUUUGUACUCUAAAAUGUUGUCAUGUCGUCAUAUAAGAGAAAUGGUUUCUUACAUGGGAAAUAGAUCUUUUUCACCAAGACCACCGGAUCAAGUGAUCUGGAUCCUUAAAAUUUAAUCCAACGGCUAAAGUUAUUAUAACUUUUCAAGGAAACCUUUGUUUUUAGCCGUUGGAUUAAAUUUCAAAGAUAACGAUCACUUAAUCCAAUGAUCUUGGUGAAAGAGAUCAGGAGAGAAUCUCUUUCCUCUUGCAUGAAUGAUCCACACUGACUGAACCUACUCUAGUGUAGGCAAUAUGAACCAUGCUGACUGACUAAACCUACUUUCAAAAGUCAGGAUAGUUUGCGUCGGUAAAGGUUGUGCUCUUUCUUUUUCAUUUCUUAUCCUCACUCAUCAUCCUUCUUCAUCCCUCAUUUCCCGAAUAUACGUUUUUCAUUUUACAAGCAUAAAAAAUAAAAAUAAAGGAACGUAAUAGUUAUCAAACAGACUCUUAGAUUGUUGUAUAUUGAGAGGAGGCAUGGAUAUAAAUGUCAGUUCUGGUAUAGUCCCGUAUUAACUUAUCAUAAACAAGGAAAGAAUGACCACUGGAGAAUUUGACGUUAGCUUAAAUGUGUAGUAUAGUCUUCACUAGUACUGCGGUUUAGUGUAAAGUUUUAUGUACAACUCCAAGGAAUGACAAGUUCGAUAUUUAUUUAUGGUUGACCCGUUAUUUGACUAGCCCACAUCUCUUCCUCCAAUAUAGUUGUAUUAAAAAAGAAAGUAAAAAAAUGGUAUAUAGUUAUUUCUAGUUAUACACAACAUUCAAUAAGGAAUUCUAGGAGGAGCUCCUCACCCCAGGUAACAACAUCAUAAUAGUUUAGAGAAUGUUUUGCUUAUGUAUGGGCCACAUUAUUACAACUUCUAGGAAAUUAUAAAUUGAAAUCUUACGAAACAGAUCCAUGCACCCCUUAAUUAACUUCCUCAAAGAGGUUACCAUCAGAGGCAGGAUCUUUCUGCUCUCACAGAUAGAGCAUCUGGUUAGGAAAAACCAGCAUCUAAGGACAGUUUCAAUUCGAAGUAAAAUGCUCGAAAUCUGCAUGUUUCGGGGAAGUGGUAUUGCAGAGGGAAACUUGCCGCCACCAAUAUCGAGUUUGAAAAUGCCACGAUGAGGGGGAGACCAACCCGAAAGAACCCCUCAAACAAGCUGCCAUCUUAAUUUCUCUACCAGGACAUUAACAAGUAUUUUCAUGAACUAAUUAGAUUAGUGCCAAAUCCUUAAAAGUGGAUUUGUACUAUACUAAUUAAUGACCAUAGUCCUAUGAUACAAAUUUAGGUUCAUCAUCCUUUCCACAGACCAGCUAAUAGAGAUGAUCAUUUAGCGAUUGAAUUAUUAUUAUGAUUAUUUCAGUGUUCAUUGGAAAUUAACACACAUGUUCAUCUAUAUGUGUGCGUAUGUAUCAAUCUGGCUUGUCUUAAAAAUCGAUGUUUGUAUUGUAAUAUGUUAUCUUGAAUUUUCUAGUUACCCUGUUCCAACAUUUGGAACUGCUACAAACAUUAGAGACUGCAUCGAUCCUAGAUACACACAAAAAAAUGCUAGGAAAACAAAAAGACCACGCGAAUCCAUCCUCAUGAUUUGUAUAUAAUAGCUACGCACAUAAAAUCUUAUUCAAAUUAUCAUAACGUUUGUUUUGUGACUCGUUACAAUCUCUUCAUCAUCUGCUUUAUGUGUCUCGAGUUCGAGUAUGCAUGGACGGGCCUCGAAAUCAUGGUAGCAUCGUCACUCAUACAUAGUUCUUUAUCAGCCUUGAGUGCAUAAACACCGGUCUUCUUGCAGCUGACGUCAGACAACACCCAUCACAUGAGGAUGACAAAACAAAUAAAUCCGUCAUUAAUCAUGAAUUCUCAGAAAUAUUAAAACUAAUUAAUUAAUUUUCUAGCUAGUGAAAGCUAGAUAUAUCAAUAAUCUUUAACUAGCUACUGAAACUAACUCAAAAAUACUAUCUUUUGUAACUGGUGGUCAUCACUGUUUGGUGUAGCGUCACUCAGUCUUUACUUUAUUUGAAAAGCGACAUAGGGUUCAAAUCUACGUAGGGCCUAAAUAGAAAAACAAAAGCUAGCCCUAAUUGACGUUAUAAUUAACAUUUCAUUUUGUUUAUAUUUCCACUUUGAACCUCAUUUAUUCAUAUAAUCCAAUGACAAUUGCGAUUGAUGAACAUAAUUAAUUAGAUAUUUAUAUACAAUUAACUACUAAUUACCUGCAGAUAGAACUAGCCUUGCUGAUGGUUAGUGGAAGCGAUUUGUCAUGAAAAGGAAAGACAUGAUGGCUAAACAUAGGACCAAAAGAGCAUUAGACUUGAGAUGCCCUGCAUUGUUCUUGGGGAACACUUUAGGAAGAGCACACUCUUCUCCAUUGAACAACACUCUCGUUGGGAACCCUUGACCCGCUUUGAUAUCGAUAUUAUGAUAGUGCUUCUUCUUGAACGAAAUCACCGAUUGCUGCUUCCCGGGGAUCAUCGGAUUCUUUUUCGGAUCCGUCCCGUUUUUUAUCGCCACCAAGUAGUUCAAACCCUUGAGCCCUGUGAACAAGAUUGUGUUGUUGACUUCCUUUUCCAUCCUCGUACCGUUGAAGGAGUAGACGUUUUCGUAGUCCUGGUAGGCCUUGUUCAUCUUCACCGCGGUGUACCAAUCUUGAAACUGGUCGGUUCCCCAGUUGAAGAGAGUGAGCCUGGCGGUCCACCCGUUGCUGUAAUCAGAGUCGAUGUGCCAGUUCAAGCUGACACCGCAGUUGUCAGGGCACGGAAGCUUUUUAGGCACGUCGUAGUGCUUGAUUUUGGCCCAUGCUUUUGCCUUCUCGGUUCUGUUUGCGAAUGGCACGAGGAGAGCUUCGGCAGGCAAAAGCAUGGCGGAAGCCUUAGGGUUACAUUUGUUCGUCUCAGAUGUUUUGCACCCGCACGCGCACGUGCUGCAUGGAAUCACAGAGGUGCUGUAAUAAGCCGAAAACGAGACGCAGCAUCUGGGGACCGGGGUUUUGGUGAUGUUGCACACCACUUGCCAGCUGGCAAUGGCGUCUGACGUGGCCUGGAGCCCACUUGGGUCGGGGAACUGAGUAGGGUCAACCCUAAUAGGGGGCCCGCAUCUGUAAGUAGGGUUCAGAACGCCACUGAUUUUCCACUGCUGAGGUGGAGUUAUGGCAGUUCUGUUGUCGUCGGGUGGGAUCUUAAACACUUGCAGCUGGAAAAUGGACUGGGACUGUGCAUUGUCCAUGAGGCUCGGCAAGAUGGUCCCGUUGCGGCAGCAGCUGGGCAGUUUGCCGACCUUGGGAUCAUCCUUUCGCUCGGCUGGGAGGUCGGUGAUGACGGGCUUCUUUUCACAGUUCAUGACCUGAGAGAAGUCCAAGUCCUUGUAGAAUUUUCCGGCUUGGCCGUAGAGGCAUGCACUUGUGUCCUUCUUGUGAGUGUAGGCUCCUCUCAUGGUGUUGAUGAACUCUCCCCUCAUCCAUUCCCAGGUUAAGUUCCAGUGGUCGAGGCGGCCGAGCGGGUGGACGUUGUCGAUGGUGACCUGAGCCAGGUAGUUCAUUGUGUAGGUUUGCAUUACAUCGUAUGUGAUUGAGAGAUCCCCGUUCUGACGUGGCAUGAAUUUGGUUUUCUCGACUUUCUUCGCCUUGAAUUUUGGGUCCUUUUUACAGCACACAGACAUUGCAGUCUUCCCUGCAUGAGGAAAACAAAAAGGAUAUGCGUCAAUGCAUGCAUUUGAACCCUUUCAAGGUUCGUAUAUUAGUAUGUUCUUUUUGCCAAAAUAUUUGAUUUGUUAUCUUGUCAGAUAGUGAAUUGGAAUAGUGUUAAUUCGACAUAUGAUAUUGACAUUAUUAUUCACAGGUAAAGCUCACAUGUAUUAGAGAGAGUGUUGAUGUCAGUUUUAUAUAUAUAGUUAGAAAGUUGACCGUAUACAAUAUGACAAAGAAAAUAGUAACUAACACAUAUUUACAUAAUACAAGUAUGAAGAGAUUUAUGGAAUUGAGAUCACGGUUUGACAACAGAGUCAUUGGAAGAAUUAGGAACUGAAUUGAUACUCUUUUCAAGUUUUAUAUGUCUACUUAAUAGCAUUAAUAUAUCUUGGACUAAAAACCAUAUACAUUUCUUGAUGUUCAAUCUAAUCGAUCGUCCUAAAAGAUGUAAAGCCCAGAAAUAAGAACACCAAUUUGAUCGAAAUCAAAAUAUUCAAUCUGAAUCUCAUAAAAUCUUAUGUUCUGCAAACAUAUUUCUCAAAACAUCACAUGUAAUGUAAUGCAUGUUAAACAUUAUCAUUAAUAACACAAACAACCUUAUAAUUAAUUAACUAAUUACCUUUAAAUUUAGCAGCAGGGCACUUGAAGCCAUCAUUGACAAUGGAGAUGGUCUUGGGCAUCGGAGUAGACUUCUCUCCCAUCCCAAACUGCGUCCCUUUGAACGCAAUCUUAGCCUGAAUCUGGGUAUAAUCUCCGGCGGUAUCAAUCAUAGUUUUCAAAUCUGUCAUUGGAUACCCGGCAAAGUAUGCCCCUUUGGUUCCAACAUCGACGGGCAAAUCACCACCGUCAACCAUCUGAGCUCCUUCCGCGGCCACCAAGAUCUCCCGAUGCUGAAACCCUAUGUACAUCUUCCACGCCUUGAGCUCGGUCGACCCGGCGUUCAAGAUCGUCGCCUCCGACUUGAACGCCCAAGCCUGUGCCGACACAUUUUUCGUGUGCGGCAACUCCUUCUCCCUGGAGGUAAACGUGUACGACAAGAAAAUGCCAUCACAGUCUUCUUGCUCGGGAGGAGGAGCUGCCACAACAGCAUCUUCGUCUUGUCCGUAACAAAUCUCAACCCUAAAACAUGAAAACACCAAAAACACCACGAGCAUUGCUUGAAGAAAGGACGCGCGGGACGUCCAGGGUAUUUUCAUGCCCAUAUUACUUGUUUCCAUCAUUGCUUUUUACAAUAAUGUGGAGCGAGCUUUGAGGUUUCAAAUCUUUUCUUUUUGUUUUUGUCUAUUUUUCGAGGUUGAGGGUUGUUUCGUGUGUCGCUUGGGAGAGAGACAGAGAGAAAGAGAGAGAGAGAGAUCUAUUGAACGGUAGGCGGCCGCGCGAGGACGCGGCGAGUGAGAGAUGCUAUGAGGCCCUGGGAGGUCUGUGUAAACCCCAGGGUAGAGAGAGAUGGCUAGGUAAAAGAAGAGGAGCGACAUUAAAAGACUGGGUCAAGCUCUAUUUUCUUCCGCUAGUUUUAGCGGCAGGUUCGGAACGUUGUCCAUGCAACCGAUACUGUUUGAUUUCUGGUAGACAUUGUACGGAAAUAUAUCUGAUACACACGCUGUAAAUAGAUUUCGGUAUCGAAAACUAUGCCGUUUCUGAGUUUUUCUUUUCUCUUCUUGUUUUCGGACCGAAACCACCGAAACGGUUGCUGUGAUAACCUUCUAAUUAACUGUUUUGAGCUGGCAAAAACUGCAUGUCACAUAACUUGCAUUGGACUAGUUUGCUCACCUCAGAUUGCCGACAUGGCACUUCGAACCAAUCAUUUUUUUUAUUUUUAGUAAUCACAAAGUUCAAGUACUAAAAUAAAUAUAAAUUGGCAUGAAAAUGUGAAAGAGUCGAAUCUGUGUUGGAUAUCACUAUGCGAUGUGCUGCACAAAAGGGAUUGGCAUGAAAAAUCAGUAGCUAUGGGGAUCCUAGCUAGGUUUAUUUUGUUCUAGAUUUUUAGCCAAAAUGUUUUCUGAGAUUAAGUGGUUCUUAAUUUUGUCUACUCUACAUCAUUUUGGUCAUUCAAUGAAAAAUACGUUCAAUAUUCUUGUUAAGUUGAGAUGUUGGUUUGACAAAAAUACUCUUUGGAAAGGUAAACACGUAGUUGUUUACGUGACAAUUUAACAAAGAUAUUGACAACUUUUAUCACAAAAUGACCAAAUUGAUUUACGAUGGACAAACUCAAAUACUGCUUUUAUCAAUUAUCAUUGUCAAAGACCAAAGUAAGGAGAUCCAAUCUCAGAGACAAUUUUUGCUAAAAAGUCGGUUCUAUCUUCUUUCUUACUUUUUCAGUAUUUUAAUUACCCUUUAUUAAUUCUAUAAUGGAUAUAAUUGCGUGAAUGACUUGUAGCUCAAGUAGUUUAAAGUGCUCACUUUCAAUAAAGAGUACCCCUAUAUUUUCAUAUAAUUUUAAUUGAAUUGCUUUCUUCCACGCCUAUCCGCAGCACAGUCAUUAUUUGUUCAAGAAGUUAGCUCCCCGCUAAUACUUGGGAACUAGGGUAUCCAGUUAGUACAAUAAACAAGGCAACACAGCUAUAACCGAAGAUAAUAUCAAAACGCUAAUUAAGAAACCUACCCCUACGAUCUCUUAUGGUUACAUAUCCUGUUAAUUCAGUGUGCACGAUUUUCAUUACUUUAACCAAAUCAAGCGACAGUUAUCUCCGUCCCGCCGCUGAUUUCUUCAACGAACUGCGCUUUUGGCUCCAAGUCUAUGAACUGGUUGGACUUGCUAGCAAGAUGCGAAAUGCUUACCCUUCCCUGACGCUUAAUGUAGUCUGCUACAGCUUGCAUCUCCUCUUGGGAGAUGUAUAUGUAUUUCCCUCUGUCAUCCAUGACGCCAGAAAGUCGCCCUAACACAGACAAAUACAACAUUUUCAUUCUCAACGAAAAGGUAUUUUACCUUCUGAAGCAAAGGAAUGAAUUAUUCAUUAGGUACCACAAGUCACUGAGGAAAUAGCUCUGCACAUACCCAUACUCUCGAGAUUGGUAAUUCGAUAGAUGCAUUCCUGCAUGAACCAUCAGUUGCAUUGAAAAAUUAGUAAGCCAAAUCUGGCAAAUUAAGUUGACUAAUCACUUUCAGAAAAUAUACUUCCAUAUGCCUUACUAAAUUUCAAAUUAAAACUUCAUCUAUUAAUGCACUUUGAGGCACGAAGAAGACAUGAAAAUUGCUGAUUUAUGUGUUACUUCAGGAUAAAUAUAAGUUACCUGAGUCCUUAACUUAGAUUCAGCAGCAAGAUCUUCCAGAGGAAUGCAUUUAUGUUUCUGCAAUGUCAAAAUUAACAGUAGUAUUAAUAACAAAAUCACAACUCAACUUGAAAGCCUCAUGUCUCGAAUAGAAACAAAACGACACAAACAGUUAAAAGAUUAAUAAACUCUAAACUGGAUUGGAUAAGUUAGAAACUACAACCCAACCUUAAACCCCCAAAACUUAGAAGCUCCAUUUCAUCCCUAGUUUUGUGCAACCCGAUGGCGAUGGAGAUAUUAGGGGGCUAGAGUAUGGAACAAUAUCUUUGAAUGAAUUAACUGAACUCUACCUUUAUGUAUUCCACAAAAUCAGAAAGCAAAUCCUGACAUCCAUCCUGCACUUCAUUCUCGGUCAUACCUUCAGCAUCUAUUGAAAACUCGCCUUUCCACUUCUCAAACUCUAAAGCAGCAGCUUCCUCCUCCCUAGCCUUUUGAGCUUUGGCUUCUUCCUCCUACAAAACCGUGGCCAAAUCUUUGGGCAGUAACUUAACAACACAAUAAUACACAUCCUCAUUUUCCAAAACAGAAACAAAAGAGAGACGUCAACGCACCAGCUGACGCUCCUGUGCUUCACGCUCCUCAUCUUUCCUCCUCCGCAUUUCAGCAUAGCGGUCUUGUUUUGUUACCCUUGAUUCACGUGCAGCUUGUUCAGCCUUCAAAUAAAGAACGGACUCAAGUAAAUAAUUACUUGUGCUUCGAUUGAAGGGAAAAGGGAAGAAAAUAAUAUAAAAGCAGUACAAGUAAACCAUAAUCAAGGAUCCUCCGAGAGCAUAAGCAUAAACGCAAUUGAAGGUUUCAGUUACUUCCACCAUUUCGGUAAUUUAAAUCGAUUGAAUGAUGUAGUAAUCAAACUUCUAACAUGUCCUACACCUCAGUGACUACAUAGAAGUGGUUUCUGUCUUUAUUACUCAAUGUAGAUAGUUGGAUAAUUAGAAACUCGCUAAAAUUUAAGGCCUGUUGGGUAUUCAGGACAGGACAGGACACAUUAACUAGAAAUUUUAAUCAGGACCGGAGAGGGGGAGAGAGAGUAUGUGCAAUCCUUCAAAUCAGGAAGUAAAAGAAAGAAAGAAUACUUGUCGUUGUGCUUCCCGCUCUUGGCGCUUCUUUUCCCUCUUCUUGGAUGCUUUAGCAUCAUACUCGCCCUCAACAUCUUCCCCAUCACUUCCCUCAACGGAUUCUGUAUUUAAAAAUACAUACUAUGAGUUCAUUUGACAGAAUAACACAUUUUUCAACUUAUUUAAUAUCAUUAGCACUUAAAGCUAGCUAGCUAGUGCAAAAGCUCAUAUACAAAAUGUGCAGCUAUACAAGUCCAAAUUUGCACUUCAUACGCCGCGUACAUUUUCCAUACAGAAUACCUAAUACAUCCUUUACUUCCUCAAUUUUUGUACCCUCCUCAUGAAUCCAUAAACCUUAUGACUCCUCUCUGGAAAUAAUCAUCGGUCUACCCCAACAGAUCAAACCAUGUAAACCAUCAUCACCCCAAAUCCUAAUUUGAUCAAACCUUUAUCUCUCACAGAUACGGUUGCUUAUAUUUUCGUUCCAGAUUAUCUCGCCACUGCUUACCAAUUUAUUCAAUCCCGCCGCUGAGAUGCUCAGUUGAUGAUAUCUAUUUCAAUCACAAUUCAAUCAAUUACAAUCGCUUCUCGAAUCAAAGAGAAACGAACAUCACAAAACAGCAGAGUCACAAUUACUCAUGAACUUAAUCCAAUCUCUUACUAAUAUAAAAUCAAAUUUAGUCACUUCAAAGUAAAACACAAACCUUCUACACCUGGUGCAGCAGCAGCUGAUGUGCUUGCUCCAGAAGCCGGCCUCCUACGGAUCCAGCGACCGCCAGGCGCACGCACCACCGCCUCCCUCUGAGCAACCUAGAUCAAUAUGAACAAUCCAGAAAAAAUCUAUAUAACUAAAAACAAUUACGCUGCCGCCGAAUUAGGGCUCAAAGAAUCAAACCUGAGGUUCUUCUUCGUGUUCAUGCGAAGAUCGAGAAUCUUGACGGCGUUUCCAUAGAAAUAGUGGAAUUAAUCCCAAAACAAGAAGCAUAGAAAGAAAAAUUGCCAACAUUUCCUCCAUAUUUUCUCAAUCUCAGGCCCCGUUGAUGUUCCUUUUCUUUCUCUCAAUUCUAUUUUCUUAGGAAUUCUCGGAAACCAAACAAAGAGUUAGGGUAAAGCGAAUACCUUGAGAGCGGUUAAGCUUCGUACAAUCAAUGGAGCCUGGAACGGUUUGAAUAGUGAUUAUAGGACCUAAAUGUAAUUAGCAUGAAUUGGGAAUCAUUAAACUUACAUGGAUAAAAAAAAUUAAGAUUAUUACCUUAUAUUUGGAUGAAGAAAUUUAAGAUAUUAAUAAAUUUUAAAAUAAGGUAAAUUGAAAUAACGGAGUUUUAUUUUCUAAAAUUUGUGAAUUUUCUUAUUUGGUUAAUCUAAAAGAAUAAUGGAAUUGAAUACAAAAUUUAAUAUUUUUAAACUCUCAAUAGUAGAAAUUUAGAAAUACACCUAUUUAAUUUACAUGGAAUUUAAACUUGGGAAAAUUAUAAAUUUCUAUUUAUGAAUUUAAACAAGGGAAUUGGUGCAUGUCAAUUUAUAAAUUCUGACUUUUAUCUAAAUCCCAAAUUUAUUUUCCUCGUCUUAACAUAGUGUUAGAGAUUAGAUUUCUUCUGUUGUAUAAAUCAUUUUAUUUCUAUAGAGAUUUUUCUGUGUUCGAAAUAAAGACGUGUCAUUAUAAUACAAGUAAUGAGAUGCUUGUAUUAAAAAUUAACAACUUAAACAAUAAAACAUCCCUCCACUUAUAUAAUGACAUAGAAUAUAUUGUUCGUGUUACGCGCACAACCGCACAAUGAAAGAUUCCCGUAUUUCUCUAUACAUAAAUAUUCACACAAUUAUCACUUUUUCAAAAUUUAAAUAUUUUAAAGUCAAAAUAUUUAUAAAAAUGAAUAUGAUUUUUAGUUUAAUUUUAUAUAAAUAUCCUUUAAUAAUAUGUGACUUGAAUUUCAAGGCAAAAGAAGGAAAAAAAUUGUUUCUGACAUAUGAAAAUUGUCUAGGUUAAAUUUUUAAAUUUUAACCCACACUAUUAGAUAUGAUCUAUCAUAAAAUAGCUGAAUGAAAACAAAGUUUCACGUUCAAUUUUGAAUUAAAGACGUUAAAAAUAAUGAAUCAACGACGUUAAAAAUAAUGAAUCAACGACGUUAAAAAUAAUGAAUCAACGUCGACUAUAACCCCUUACCUUCCAAGCUACCGAUGCGAAUUCGAAUCUCAAAACUAACGAGCUUGCAACCAUUAUAUCAAAUAUCCAUCUAUGUCCCCUAAUAUUCUAUUUAUACUCUUCGUUCAUCCACGAAAACUCGAUAAUUGCUUGGCACGCUGUCUGUCAUUAUCGUGCUUAGCAAAUAACACAUCUCGUGCGAAUUGAGAGCCUUUAGGAUCGCAACUACGUGCCUCUCUGCAACCGCGCAGCAGCACCCAUCAAUUCCCUCUCCCCUAUUUCCCACAAAUUGCCCACACCCCUCGAACCCACAACCUCGACUUACUCCCCUACCCCAAGACUUCUUCAGCGAAUACCCAAAAAAACCCAUAAAUUUUUUUUAAAACGGUAAUAACAGAGAGACUAAAUUUUUAAAUUAAAUUUGCAAAUACAUACCUAAGAAUCAAAUGAUGUGAUGCUACCAUUUCAUUUCCAACGAGUCCGAGCCAAACAUCCAACGCACACAGAGAAUCCAUCCAUCCACAUUAUUAUCAAAACUCACGUAUGUCCCAAAACACAUCAAAUAUCUACAACAGCCAUCACUUAGCCACCAUAAAAAAUCGCUCGCUCACUCAACCGCGCUAUUAUUUUCGGCUUGAAACUGGUUUUUCCCUUGUUUAUUAACAUAAAACGUCUGGAACUGGUUUUUCCCUUGUUUAUUAACAUAUAAGGUGACAAUUAAGCCUCGGCGAUCUCAGCGGAUUCUGCAGCAGCUAGGAUCAGCUCCGGCUGGAUGCCUCCGACGUAUGAUCCAUCCAAUGCGUUGGGGAGUCCCAGUGCCUUCAAUGCCAAGUGAGCUGCCUUUUGCCCUGAGAUCAUCAUGGCUCCGAAUGUAGGUCCCUGCAUCCCCAAUAAUGUUACAAAUUAUAUUAUUAGGACUACGUUGAUAUCGACGGAUACCAAACCCACAAUGUUUAUAUCAAGUGGGAAUCUUAUUAGGACCACAUAAAGAUCUAGUAAUGGUACUAUUCCAAACAUAAAAGAACAGGAAAAGAAUGGAAGAGCUUUUGGACCCACGUUCUUUCGAAAUCACUAUGCAUGGAUUGAGGCUUAAGUAAUUCUACGGUCCUAAGGUGUUUUUGUUUCGUAAUUAAACGCCGAGGGGAGAGGCCACUGUCUAUCUACGCUGUGCAUUUACAUGUCAAAAUUCGAAGCUUAAAACUAGGACGUUAUGCUUGAUAAAUCAAAUAUUCUAAUCCUUAAUGUUUUAUCUAAAUCGUCUAAGCCCACCACCGCGAUCACCAUUUUGACUAAAUGUGAUCGCGAUGGCUUGAAGCGGUUGGAUAAAAUCAGCCAAGCACAGUAAUGGCUAUACCAAAAAGUAAAACAGUAAAUAAAUCAAGAACAAAUGGAAUGAGUCAGAAAUGUACCAUUCUUGGGGAUCCAUCAAUCUCGGCAACUUCCAUGCCGGUGACGAUCAUUCCUGGCACAAUUUCCCUUGUGAGCUUCACGAUAGCAUCCUCAGCUGCGUUCAUGUCCAAGGCCUUCAUCCCGGGCACGCUCUCAAUCAUCCCAACGCUCCUCAGCCUCUUUACGCCGGUGGCUCCCAUGGGUCCGUCAUGACCACAUGAGCUCACCACAACCUUGGCCUCCAUGACGUUGGGGUCCAUGCACGACUGUGUGUCGUGGUUCAUUGAGACCAAGGCCCAGUUGGUGACCACCCCACCAACUCUGCCACCCUUAAUGAUCAAGUCCUCGGCGGCCACAGCGUUGAAGAGCUUCACGUUGGGCCGGGCAAGGAGCUUGCUCAUGAUGGUGGAGGUGAAUAGGGCGGCGUGCUUGAUGACAACGUAGUUGUCUUGCUCAUCGUAGUCAAUGCCGAGCUCGUUAAGGAAGAGAUGGGCGGGUUUGCGCAC